Non-coding RNA from Podarcis lilfordi (Lilford's wall lizard), 95350 nucleotides. The record is from the annotation of a GenBank genome assembly. NCBI's taxonomy places the organism in Eukaryota, Metazoa, Chordata, Lepidosauria, Squamata, Lacertidae.
GUCCAGUCGUGGCCAACUCUGGGGUUGCAGCGCUCAUCUCGCUUUAUUGGCCGAGGGAGCCGGCGUACAGCUUCCGGGUCAUGUGGCCAGCAUGACUAAGCCGCUUCUGGCGAACCAGAGCAGCGCAUGGAAACGCUGUUUACCUUCCUGCCGGAGUGUUAUCUAUUUAUAUACUUGCACUUUGACAUGCUUUCGAACUGCUAGGUGGGCAGGAGCUGGGACCGAACAACGGAAGCUCACCCCAUCACAGGGAUUCGAACCGCCAACCUUCUGAUCGGCAAGUCCUAGGCUCUGUGGUUUAACCCACAGCACCACCCACGUUAAGAACAGUUUCAGGUUAAGAACAGACAUCUGGAACGAUCACCUCAACCUUCCCCAUGGAUUGGCCUAAUCCAUUUUUUUACAGCCAUCCAAGCUGAUGGCAAUCUCUGCCUGCCUCCUGUGGCAAGGAGUUCCAUAGUUUAACUAUGCUCUGCAUAGUUCCUUCUGCCUUGAGCAUCUUGAGUUCUUCCGUGUGUUCCUGAGUCUUUGAUCAUGCUCCAGUCCAGGUUUUUAGCUUGCUCCUUGCUCUGGUAAGUCCCAUAGCUGUGACUUGCCCUUUAGCCUCGACCUCAUUCCAUGAUCCUUCCUCCCACUCUUGUCCUGUUGUCCUGACUUGCCCUUUGCUCCUGACUUCCGGCUUGAUAGGUGAUCCUGCCUCCUGGCUUGCCCUUCAGCCCUCGCUUGGCUUGCCUUGCAACCUUCUAGUUCAGGACUCCAGAGUCAUUUUGGCCUGCAGAGGGUCCCUCCCACAACAGGCCACAAGAAAACAUUAAGCAUUACCAAGAACUUUCUGAGAAUAAGAGCUGUUUGACAGAGGAACGGACUCCCUUGGAAGCUGGUGGGCUCAGUUUUUAAGCAAGGGUUGAAUGGCGUUCUUUAGUUUUAACUCCUGCAUUGAAGGGGGCUGGACUCACUGACCCUAUGAUCCUAUUGAAAUUCUGCUGUCCUUUAACAAAUCCCUUAAGGGUGCCACUAAUCUGUCGUAGCCGCCCACACCAGAGUUGUGUCAGCUACAAACGUCAGAAUUUGGGCGCCUCCAAACCUGUGCCAAAGCUUUGACAUCAUUUUGCAGUGUCCUGGAUUUGAGCGCUGUUAAAGCCUCUCUUGCACGGCAUAGUUCAUAGCUUCUCUGAGUUAUUGAAGCCCCUUCGCCACGGCAAGGCAGUGAUCCAUGAAGGGGGAAGGACAGAUCGUGAAGCUGAGGCUCCAAUACUUUGGCCACCUCGUGAGAAGAGAAGACUCCCUGGAAAAGACCCUGAUGUUGGGAAAGAUGGGGGGCACAAGGAGAAGGGGAUGACAGAGGACGAGAUGGUUGGACAGUGUUCUCGAAGCUACCAGCAUGAGUUUGACCAAACUGUGGGAGGCAGUGGAAGACAGGAGUGCCUGGCGUGCUCUGGUCCAUGGGGUCAUGAAGAGUUGGACCACGACUAAACGACUAAACAACAACAACAACAAGGCCUCUCCUCCUCCCAGAGGGGAGGAGUUGUGAGCGGGAGCAGCUUCCCGCUAGGGCAGUGAGGCGUACUCCGCUCCCUGCUUCUGAUUGCUUCUGCUGCCACAGCCAAGCCUUCCAGCCGACCAAUAGGGCCGGCUGGUGGGCAGGGCUAGCCGCAUUUAAACAGCUGCGGCAAUGCUCUGCUCCCAGUCUGUUCCUGCUUUCUUCGGAUCUUGUCAGAUCAAGCCUCCUUGGAUCAAGACCCUCUUCGGAUCAAGACCACAGCAGAGUGCCUAAUUCUCACCUGCAUGGUUAGGCAUUGGAAUAUGUGUGCUGUGUUGGGGGAUUGGGUAUGCACCAUCAUCUACCCCUCCUCUUUUGGGAAUUCCGUUAAAGGAAUCUGGCAGUCGCAGAUCCUGUCCAAUGCCUUGCUGGUGGCUAGGGCCAUGGCACAAUCCCCAGUGAUGUCAUGGGGGAGCUUCCAGUUGUAUUUGCAUCAACAAGCUCCUCCCAUUGGUUGUUAACCCUGAUAUGACUCCCAGCUGUGCGGGGUGGAGUCUGGUAUUGCUGUUUCAUCCAAUGCCUAAGCCAGUACUACUCACAUGCUGUAACCAAUAAAAGUUGUGGCCUAAUUUUGCCCAUUAAGCUAAAAUAAUGUGUCCUUGUGUCUUAUUAUACUCCUAUGUGGGUGGUGGGUCCUUGACUCACAAGUAGGAACCCCAGUGUGUUGUUUGACUUGCAAGUGCAGGGUUUAUAUUGCCGAACAACUGCAAAAGUUUGACAUGGGUACAAGGGAUCCCACAUUUGGGGGUCACUUCAAGAGCCAACAAAGAGGAAUAGCUGCUUGUCCCUGCUUUCGGAUACCAGUUCCCCGCUUUGUGUAUGUGAGAGAGACUGUUGCUGUGUUCCCAGGUUUAAGUUGCCAGCAUUAAGCACACUUCAGAAGAAACUGCUAUUUUCCUGACGCCCGCCCACUCCUUCUCCUUGUGAUGGUGCUUACAGAUUGCCAUCGUGACACCCUUCUCUAACCUCUCUCACAGUGAAAACACUCCAUGCUUCCCUUCCCUGACUAAGAAUCUUGCAAAACAGGCACCUUCUCUUGCAUGGAGGACUCUCCUGCAAACAACACCGAGUGGCUUUCCUCCCCCUGCUGUUAGCCAAAAUAGACACUCUUAAGAGGUUCCCCUGGUGCUCUUCCAACAGCUGAGCAAUAGUUUCAAGAACACCUUGCAUGUCACUGCCACGCCCUCCCCCCUCGCUGUGAACCUCUGGUCCAGGUGUCCUGUUUCCAUUCUUCUUUCCUUGCCCACAGUUCAGGAGCAGACCACCUGCUUUGCAGGCAGAAGGUCCCAGGUUCCUUCCCCAAUGACAUCUCCAGGUAGGUCUGGGAAACUGCUGGAGUGAGACUGCAAGUCAGGGUAGGCAAUACUGGACCACCAGCCUGACUCAGGAUAAGGCAGCUACAGUACUUAAGUCAGAAUUAUGAAGACUAGAAGCUUGAGAGCCAGUGUGGUGUAGUGGUUAAGAGCGGUAGAUUCGUAAUCUGGUGAACUGGGUUCGAUUCCCCGCUCCUCCACAUGCAGCUGCUGGGUGACCUUGGGCUAGUCACACUUCUCUGAAGUCUCUCAGCCCCACUCACCUCACAGAGUGUUUGUUGUGGGGAGGAAGGGAAAGGAGAAUGUUAGCUGCUUUGAGACUCCUUCGGGUAGUGAUAAAGCGGGAUAUCAAAUCCAAACUCCUCCUCCUCCUCCUCCUCUUCUUCUUCUUCUUCUUCUUCUUCUUCUUCUUCUUCUUCUUCUUCUUCUUCUUGUACAGUGGUACCUUGGGUUACAGACGCUUCAGGUUACAUACACUUCAGGUUACAGACUCCGCUAACCCAGAAAUAGUACCUCAGGUUAAGAACUUUGCUUCAGGAUGAGAACAGAAAUCGUGCUCCAGCCGCACAGCAGCAGUGGGAGGCCCCAUUAGCUAAAUUGGUGCUUCAGGUUAAGAACAGUUUCAGGUUAAGAACGAACCUCCAGAACGAAUUAAGUUCUUAACCCGAGGUACCACUAUAAUAUUUUUAAGCGUGUGACCAUAGCACCUGCUUGGCAUACAGAUGAUCCAUGUUCAAUCCCAGGAAUUUCCAGGCAGGGCAAGGGGAGCCUCCUGACUGAAACCUCGGAGAGUCUCUGGUAGUCAGUGGUCUGGUGGCAGUUUGCUUCUGUGUUUCUGUGCCUUCAGGUAGGGAUGAGAAACCUUCAACCUCCAGAGCCUGCAGAGUCAAUUUGGCCUCCCCAUUUGAUCUUCCUCAAGCUACACUGAUAUAUGAGGUCCUAUGCUCUUGCAGGGAACAGGGUGGGGGAAGAUAAGGACCAGGCCCAUUCCGCCAAAAUAUUCCCCCACCCCCUUCUUCAAUGGAAGGGCCAUAGUUCAGUUAUGGAGCAUGUCAAAGGUCCCAGUUUUAAUCCUGGUGCCUCCAGGAAGGACUUGGAGAGUCUCUGGGGAGUCUCUACCAGGAAGUGUAGUCAAGUCUAAGCUAAAUGGACCAAAGGGUCUGUCUUGGGAGCUUUCUCCUUCUCUUAAAACACUAUCAUAACUCAUGGACAUCUAAUGCAGACCCUCCAAGUUUCCCUAUUUUCCAGGGACAGUCCUGGAUUUACAGAAGACGUCCUGGUUUCUGAUUUGAUCCUGGAAUGUUCCGCUUUUCCUUAGGAUGUCCCUAUUUUCAUUGGAGAAAUGUCAGAGAGUAUGGAGCUAUUAUGUUUUUAUACAGUGGUACCUCGGGUUACAGACGGUUCAGGUUACAGACGCUUCAGGUUACACACUCCAUUAUCCCAGAAAUAGUACCUCGGGUUAAGAACUUUGCUUCAGGACGAGAACAGAAAUCGUGCUCCGGCCGCACAGCAGCAGUGGGAGGCCCCAUUAGCUAAAGUGGUGCUUCAGGUUAAGAACAGUUUCAGGUUAAGAACGGACCUCCAGAAUGAAUUAAGUUCUUAACCAGAGGUACCACUGUACAUUGAUGCAAAAUCCAGCAUCGCCUGAGCUCUGUGAGUGCAGCUUUCUCCCGACUGAAGUGCAGAGUGUUUGAGAACUGGGACAUUUGCAGGGAAACCAAAAUGCUUGUUUACAAAGCUAUUGUACUACCAACGUUACUGUAUGCUUGUGAAACAUGGAUCACUUAUAAAUGCCAUCUAAAACUCCUUGAAAGAUUCCACCAAAGGUGUCUCUGAAAAUUUUUACACAACACUUGGGAGGACAGGGGAACUAAUGCCAGUGUACUGAAAGAAGCAAAGAUCACCCAUGUUGAAGCGAUGAUUCUUCAACAUCAACUUUGUUGGACUGGUUGUGCGGAUGCCUGGUUAUCGUCUUCCAAAGCAACUGCUCUAUUCCAAACUUAAAAAUGGAAAGUGUAAUGCCGGUGGUCAACAAAAGAGGUUUAAAGACUCUCUCAAGGCAAAUCUAAAAAAAUGUAAUAUAAACACUGACAACUGGGAAACACUAGCCUGUCAGCGCUCCAACUGGAGAACAGCCUUUACCAAAGGUGCUGUGGGUUUUGAAGACACUCGAACUCAGGAUGAAAGGGAGAAACGUGCUAAGAGGAAGGCACACAUGGCAAACCCUCACUGUGAUCAACUACCACCAGGAAACCAAUGUCUCCACUGUGGAAGGAUGUGUGGAUCCGGAAUUGGCCUCCACAGUCACUUAUGGACCUACUGUGAUGACUGUGUUUAUGGAAGACAAUCUUACUCAGCUACGAGUAUUGGCAAAGAGAAGGAUUAUGUUUCUAUAUAUGCUGAAAGUUGCCCACAUUGCCUGGGGCAACCAAGACAGAUGGGCAAGGCAUAAAUAAUAAAAUAUUUACCAGUUGCCAAAAGUCACAGGAGGGCAGAAUGCUCUUGCACUUGCAUUCUGCUUGAGGGUUUCCAGUUGGGAGGUUGCCACUGUGAUGCUGGACUUGAUUGGUCUGAUCCAGCAGGCUUUUCUUGUGUUCUUAUGACUCUCUGGGAGACAGAGACCCCCCACCGUGUCCUUUCGAUGCCCCAAAUCUAGAUUUGAGGCUGAUGGACGUACCUAUAAGAGGUUGCAGCUGAAGGUUACAGACAAAAACCUAGAGCUGCUUUUGCAAGUCUGAAGGUAGGCUUGGGAGCUAAUUCCUUUUCUUUUCUUAAAGAACCACGCGGUGUGUUUCUCACAAACACUUGGAUAGAUUUCCUCCUCAGCCUCAAACAUCCAGAACACAUCCUGCUCAGUUUAAAUGCAAACUGACAGGUACCGAGGAAUCCAUUGAUUGUGUACUUUCAAAGCUCCCCAGGCUGCUGUGGUGAAGGUGGAGAUGUUAGAGGGCAGGACUCCUGGGUUCGUUUUCCCCUCUACCCGACAGGAACUUUUCUCCUCCAAACUUUCUCUUCUCCUGCCUCAGAUCUCUGUGGUUGGGUUUCUUUUUAUUGUUGAAAAAGAAGGCAGACAGGAUGCCUCACCUAAGAACCUAAGAAAAGUCUGCUGGGUCAGUCCAGUAUCCUGUUCUUAUAGUGGCCAAGCAGAGGCUUGUGGGAAACUCACAAGCAGCACCUGAGCACUAGAGUCCCCUCCCCUCCUGUAGAGAUGAUGCCAGGGACCUUCUACAUGCUAAGAAGAUGCUCUGCCACUGAGCUAUGACCCUUCCCCUUGAAAUAAAGUAAGACUCCAGUCCAUUUGGUUUUGAAUAAAGGCUGGUAGAAAAUGUUUCAUGCCAGGACUUGUAAAAGAGAAAAAGAGUGUUGGGAAAUGAUCCAGAAUGAAUGGGGGGGGGAUGUUUAAAAGUACUCCCCCCCCCAAAAAAAAACCCCAGAGUCCUUUCUGUUGGGGAUAAUUCAGACUGAAAUUCCCAAGCGUCAAAAAAGGUUAUUUAUGUAUGUCACUGCUGAGUCACAUGUUUUGUUAGCCUCAAAAUGGAAAACGAGCGAGGUCCCAACCAAAGAAGAAUGGCAACUUAAGCUGACGGAAUAUGCACAACCUGCAGACUUCAUGUAUAGAAUAAGAGAACAAGAAGAACAUACGUUUAGAGAAGAUUGGAAAGUGUUCAUUGAAUAUACGGGAAAUAAUUGUGUACGGCUGAAAACGCUGGCAGCGUUAAGAUAAAUUCAACAGUGUAAAUAAGUUUGGAUGGAUGUAAUAAUGGAACACCGAUUGGUAUAGUUUUUGUAAAAUAUGCAGGGAUUUAUGUUAUGUGAAAUGAACCAUGAAAAGAGAAGAAAGGAAGUCCUUGAUGUCUUAAGGAUGUAAAAUGAGUAUUUUAAAUUGUAAUGAAAAUUGUGUGUGUGUGUGUGUGUGUGUGUGUGUGUGUGUGUGUGUGUGUUAUGGUUUUUAUUAAAGAUUUUCUUGGUUUACAAAAGUUCUAUUUGAUGUGGGAUGUUGAUAUUGUAUAUAGUAUAAAGUUGGGAGAGAAGGGAGGUGGGGAGAGAGAGCAGGGAGGGAGGGAGAAGCUUCCAAAGCAACUACUCUAUUUCAAACUUUAAAAUUGAAAGUGUAAUGCCGGUGGUCAACAAAAGAGGUUUAAAGACUCUCUUAAGGCAAAUCUAAAAAAAUGUAGUAUAAACACUGACGAAUGGGAAAUAAUGGCCUGCGAGUGCUCCAGUUGGAGAACAGCCUUUACCAAAGGUGUCGUGGGCUUUGAAGACACUCAAACUCAGGACGAAAGGGAGAAACGUGCAAAGAGGAAGGCAUGCUUGGCAAACCCUCACCAUGAUCAACUUCUGCCCGGAAACCAAUGUCCCCACUGUGGAAGUACGUAUGGAUCCAGAAGUGGCCUCCACAGUCACUUAUGGACGCACUCUUAAGACCGUGUUCAUGGAAGACAAUCUUACUCGGCUACAAGGGAUCGCCAAAGAAGAAGGAGGAGAAGAAGAAGAAAACUUUAAUUCUUUUACGUAGCAUAUGUGCAAGGUUUUAGUGUCAGCAUCACGUGGGCAGGUUCUCUUCCUAUGCAUUUAUUCAUUUUCAUUGGCGGUGAGAGAGAUUGGGGGAGCAGGGCAUAGUUGGUUGUCUAUAGUUGACUGCAUUAAGUUUUGUUUGCAUGUGAGAAGGCGGAAGGGGUUGUUGGGUCGGUCAGCUUAGCCAUAUCGAUUCGUAUGCUGUUGGGGAGUUCUUGUCAUGUUGGGCUGUAUGUGUGAAAUAUACUCGGGAGUCCUGUAGUGAUUUCAUGCUCUUUAUUGCAGCUUGUAAAACAGUGAUUGAAUUGCCCCCCAAACCUCAGGCUUUUAUAUACAUUAUUUACACAAUGAGUCCCAUCUGUUUGGCUGAUUCUGCUUCCCUCCUGGAGCCUGAUUGGUCUUUUCCUGCAGGCCAAUCAGUUAUUGCAUUCUAUGAUCCUACCAGCCUAAUAGGCUGAUUAUCUUCCUCCUGGAGCCUGAUUGGUCUUUUCCUGCAAACCAAUCAGUUGUUGCAUUCUAAGAUCCUACUUGCCUAUUGUUCUAGGAUCCAAGCUUAGUACAUAACACCGUGUAAUAAAGGGGAGGCACAAUGGGUGAAGGUAUCCCCUUUUAUUUGUCCCUGUGCUAGUUUCAGUUUGUUGGUUAGAUGUUAUUAUGUUUAAAUAUUUGUUGGAAGCCACCCAGAGUGUCUGGGGAAACCCAUUCAGAUGGGCAGGGUAUAAAACAACAACAACAACAGACAUCCCUAUUUUCAUUGAAUAAAUUUUGGAGGCUAUGCUGUUGACUGCACUGACUGGAAGACAUUCUCCAGGUUUCCAGGAGUGAACCUGGGACCUUCUGCAUGCAAAGGGCCCCAGACCUGCGCCCCCGCUUCAUUCAAAACACCCCACCUUGCUGGCAGACAGUUGUCUAGAUGCGAAGAUCAGGCUCGAACUCUUUGCCCGCUGCCCUUUCUCGAGGAAGAGGCGAGCUCAGCCAUGCGGCAAUUCAGCAAAGAGAAAGGGACAUUGUUCUCCCGGCCUCGCUCUGCUUGCAGAGAGCCGGUGAUCCACCAUGGAUCCCUCUUGCCUGAGUGAGAGACAAAUUGCUUUGCGGUGGUGACACCGCUGGACUCAUCCAGAUGUGACUCAGCAGGUAUUAGCCGGGAUGCUCUCAAAAGCUGGCAUGCACCGACGCAUGCGUGUGCGCGGCACACAGAUCCGCUCUCUCUUGCUCCCGGCUGAGUUCAUGCUUCUCCCCUGCUCCCAGCCCAGAGGAGGGAUUAGCAGAGAACAGUCUGCCCUUGUUCUUUUGCCAAACCAGCCAGUAGAGUGAUGAAAAAAAAGAGCGCUGACUUGGCUUGCAGCCUGCCCUUUGCUCCUGGGUGUAUAUGUGUCUGUGUGUUCCCUUGGCUGUGAGGCUUUAAAGGAGGGGGGGAAGAUGCAUGCUUUGGGACAGCGCCAAUCUUGUGCAGACUGAACUGGAAGGAGGCACACCAGGCGGAGCUAGGAAACUCAGGAACGUUGCGCUGUGUUGGGAAACGAAAGCGUGUUUAUUCAGAAGGCAUGCAGAAGCCAUUAGCCUCCUGCGCAUAGUUAAACUGUGGAACUCACUGCCACAGGAGGCAGUGGUGGCCACUAACAUACCCUCCAACCUUUCUCCAGCAUAAAGGUAAAAAGGUCAAGGACUCCCUGGAUGGUUAAGUCCAGUCAGAGGUGACUAUGGGGUUGCGGCGUUCAUCUCACUUUCAGGCCGAGGGAGCCGGCGUUUGUCCACAGACAGCUUUCCGGGUCAUGUGGCCAGCAUGACUAAACCAUUUCUGGUGCAACAGGACACUGUGAUGGAAGCCAGAGCGCAUGGAAAUGCUGUUUACCUUUCCACCGCAGCAGUACCUAUUCAUCUACAGUGGUACCUCGGGUUACAUAUGCUUCAGGUUACUUACGCUUCAGGUUACAGACUCUGCUAACCCAGAAAUAGUACCUUGGGUUAAGAACUUUGCUUCAGAAUGAGAACAGAAAUUGUGCUCCGGCGGCGCAGCGGCAGGAGGAGGCCCCAUUAGCUAAAGUGGUGCUUCAGGUUAAGAACAGUUUCACGUUAAGUACGGAUUUCCAGAACGAAUUAAGUACUUAACCGAGGUACCAUUGUACUUGCAAACUGAUAGGUUGGCAGGAGCUGUGGCAGAAAAACGGGGGCUCACUCUGUCAUGGGAAUUCGAACCGCCGACCUUCAGAUCGGCAAGCCCAAGAGGCUCAGUAGUUUAGACCACAGUGCCACCCAUGUUCUCCUCCCUCCUGCAUGUGGUGAGUGGGGACCCUUUUGCAACAGUUCCUUCAAUUAAGAUCAGGCUUACUAGCCACUUUACUUCUGAAUAUACUCUGGCUGGCCUCUGUUUUUUCUCCCACCGAUAGGGAACCCACUUAAGGACUCUCUACAGGCUCUUGGAUACCCCAUAAGGGAAAGGGAGCAGCUUUUUCUUAAAACAACGAUAAUAAUAUCUAUCCACACUGAUGCAAUUCAUAUUUCCAGGCAUUUUGGGUAUGUGUGUUUGCAUGUGUGUUGAAUUGGCACUCAAUUCAGGAAACUGUUUGACAUGGAGAAAGGAGGAGGGGGAAGGAGCUGAGGGUCAAGUGGAACACUGCGAUUGCCUGCGUUUCACCAGGCAGGCAGGAUUCGCACGUGACACCUUCCACCUUUUCCCGUGCCUCUCUCCGCCUGGACGAGGAGAGGUCCUGACAGGCCUUUUCACUUUGAGCGAGGCUGGUGGGCCAUAAUAAUGCUCUGGUAAAUAAUAUACAGCAGUCACAGCGCCGGCACUUGAGAGCGCAGCACUAGAUUCUGCUGACCCCUGCAUUGUUGCUACCUGAAGGGAAACAGGCCCCAUAAAAUAUUGAAGGGAACUAAUAGAAAAUGAGACAGCAUGACUAAUGGGGUGGAGUGAGGCAAGGGGAGCAGGCGGGGACGAAAGGGGGCGGGCGGGCGGAGCUCUCUAAUGCAGCUCUUGCUCUCUCCCGCCGGCUGCGAGCGGGGGAAUCCCACAAUGCUCUGCAGCUGGCGGGGGCUUGCAGCAGGGAGUAAAGGAAUCCUGGCCCGUGAGCCAAUCUGACACCUGCAUAUCCCCCAAAGCAUCUGGGGGAGUUCAUUAAUUGAAAGCAUGCCUAUCUCUCUCGCUAAAAUAGCAACAAGGUGGCAUAUCAAAAAACAAGCUUUUGCAAAAGAAAAACCCAAUAUGCAAUAAAAACAAGGUGACUACAUCACGCAGCUGGUACCAGAGGUCCAGGGAAGCCUGAUAGAUGCUAAGCAGAAGUUGACCACAGUAGGUACCUACCGUGUCUCAGUGGGCAGUUCAUUCCGCAGCUUGGGGGCUACCACUGAGAAGACACUACGAACAUAAGAAGAGCCUUUCUCUAGAUCAGGCCAGUGGCACAUCUGGUCCAGCAUCCUGUUCUCACAGUGGCUCACCGGAUACCUAUGGGAAACCAGCAAGCAGGAUCCGAACACAAGAGCACUCUCCACUGUGAGGUAGGUUAGGCUGAGAGAAGGCAGUAACUGGUCCCCCAGUCACUGGCAGAGGAACAGGCAUGCGGAGGGAGCGCACCGCCCCCAGUGGCACGAUCCCGGUGGGGUGCCAUCAUGGCUGGCCCCCCUGCACUAGGUGCCACGCCCCCAGGAUGCGUGCCACAGCCCCAGGAUACGCACCACGCCCCUGCAGGCGGCACACCAAGCCCCCAGGGUGCGCGCCAGCCACACCCCCGCCUGUUCUCCACCACUGUCCCCAGUGAGUUUCAUAGCCAAGCAGGGAUUUAAACCCUGGUGUCUCCCAGGUCUUUGUCUGGUGCUCUAACCACUGCACCAUACUGGUUCUCUUAGACAGAAGAACUUUCUCCUGGUGGGAGCCAUUUGACAGGGGAACAGACUCCCUCAGAAGGUGGUGAACCCUCCUUAAAUCUCUUCUUAAAUGUCCGUCAGAUGAGCAUCCAUCAGGGGUUCUUGAGCUGCGAUUCCUGCAUUGCGGCACGGGGUUGAACAAGAUCACCUUUGGAGAGCUCCCUUGCAACUCUACAAGUCUAUGACUCCUGAUGUCCAGGUAAGCAAAGAGCUGUGGAAGGAACGUCUUGCUGAAAAAGCUUCCUUAUUUUCUCUCCCCAGCCUGAGGACUUUGCUUAAGUUACACAUCUGCCCAGGUGUGUGUGUGUGAGUCUCCUACACAUGUCACCAUUGAACCUCUCUUCAAAUCAUCUCCGACAGGCUGGAAAAUCCAUACCUUGAGGGCCUCAUUAUGGUUUUCUCUCCCAGGUCCUUAUUAGCUUGAAGACAUCGGGCAGAGUAACCUGGAACGCCAAGAGGUGAACGGGUGGGGGUGCAAUUUCUGCUGAGCCCCAAAGUGAGAGGGCUGGCUUCCAAUCCAUCCAUCCAUCUCUUCUAAUCAUGUCACUCAUUGUUUUUUGAACGAUCAGAGUGGACUCCUGUCUGCCGAACCUUGCCAAAGAUGCCUUCAGGGUUCAGUAUCAUCUGUGUACGGGCUGAGUCACUUGGACUUUUGUCCUUGAUUUCCUCUGUGUUUACCUACCAGUGUCGUUCUGUUGCAAAGGCCGAGUGACGGACCCCACCCCACACACAUUUUAUUCUUCCCAUCCACCCAUUCUGUUUUGAGUUAUUGGCUCCAAACUUCCAAUCAACAUUCGCUGAAACACAUUAGCAAGUGAAACACAGAGCAGUGUGGGUGUAUAUUUGUGUGUGUUGGGGCUGAGAAUCUGAAUUCUCUUCGCCCUCUGUUAUAUGAGAGGUUUUAUCUGCUUUUUAAGAAAAUGUUAUUACAGUUUGAUUCUUUUUAUAGCACCCAAAGGGUUUGUCUUCUAACUAAGACUGACUCAAAGGAGAUCCGCUGGAAUCAAUGGACCUAAGUUCAGCCCAGCCUUCAAUGUCAAUAGGUUGGAUCUGAGCAUCGCUAAUGUCAAAUGCAGUCCAAAUGAAGAUAUCCAACAAAUUCAUACUUAGACCUGUUGAAAUCAAUGGGCCUUAGCCUGCUCUUGAGCAGGACUAACAGGUAUUUAUACCUUCAGAGAAUAUUGAAACUACGCCUUCAUCCGAAUGAGGAAAUCCCAACGAAAGAACAGUGGCAAGAAAAAUUGAUGAGCUAUGCAGAGUUGGCUAAAUUGACAUACAAACUGCGGGAUAAAGACAACUGUGACUUUAAGGAAGAAUGGGAACUUUUUACAAAUGAUCUAAAAAAACAAUAAAAUGAAUUGGACUCCUUGGCAGGUUUUGAAUAAACAUACAAAAAUUUAUUGGUUGAUUACAUAGGAGGAAGGUGAAACGGGAGGCGUACGCUUCCCAGUCUCCUAAUGCUGGGUUGAAUGGCAAGAAGUUGCUGUCAGUUGCCAUUCUGAGUUCCUUGGGUCCCGGAGCUGAAGCCUGGAUACACGGUGCGAGGCAGCGGUGCGGCAGGUGGCGGUGCUGUGUGUGGCGGUCAGCUACGUGGGAUCCCACCUUCGUUGCCAGUGAAAUAUACUCGGAGUCGAGAGUGGAUUUCAUGCUCUUUAUUCAGUUCAUAGUGGUGAGGAGGACUGGAAGUUCCCCCAGAAUAUCUGCUUUAUAUACAUUAUUUAAACAAUGGGCCCCACGUGAUUGGCUAUUUCUGGGAUUCUCCUGUAGGCCAAUCAGAUUGCUGAUCCACUUCCACCUGGAGCUGGAUUGGGUGGCUCCUGUGAACCAAUCAGACUGCUGCAUUCUGGACCCUCUUGUUCUAGGACCAAUCAGACUGCUGCAUUCUGAAUCCUAUUGUUCUAGGACCAAUCAGACUGAUGCAUUUUGGAUCCUAUUCAACUCAGUACAUAACAAUAGAUAAGGCAAGGAUAUGUAUAAUUUUAUAACAUGCAGAGAAUAAUAUGUGUGAAGAAAUCAGAGAGAGGAGCUGAGGGAACUCCUUGGUGGGGGGGAGGAUGGAAGGGGGGGGUGGAAAAAAGGGGGAAAAUAACAUAUGUGAUUAUAUGGUUUGAUAAUUUUUUAUGUUGAAAUUGUUUAAUAAAAAUAUUUUUUUAAAAAAAGAAACUAUGCCUUCAUCCAGGAGGAGUAUACAUAUUUAUAUUGCUGAGCUACAGAGCUUCUCCUAAAAAUCAUAGAACAGUAGAGCUGGAAGGGACCCCAAAAGCCAUUUAGUCCAACCUCCUGCAAUGCAGCAAUCACACCUCAAGAAUCCCUGACAGGUGGCCAUCCAACCUCUGCCUAAAAUCCAUGAAUAUAGGAGAGCCCACCACCUCCCAAGGGACUCCGUUCUACUAUUGAACAGCUCUUACCUUCAGAAAGUUUUUCCUAAUGUUUAGCCGAAAUCUCCUUAAAUCUUGUAACUUGAAUCCAUUUCUUCACAACCUACCCACUGGAGCAGCAGAAAGCUAAGUUCCUAGUCCUCAUGGUUUGGAAUAAAAAGCUGUGUUACCCUGAGUCGGACUAUUCGUCCAUCUAACUCAGUACUGUCUGCACAGACUGGCAGCGGCUCUCCAGGAAUUCAGGCAGAGGGCCUUUCCCAGCCCUACCCAGAUUGAACCUGGAGUCUUCUGCAUGCCAGGCAGCUGCUCUACCCACUGAGCUGCAUCUGUUUCCCCCUUAAAAAAUUAAAAUAAAGUGAGAUACUAGUCCUCAUGCUUCUGAAUAAAGGACUGGUUUCAAUCAGAAUAAAGGAAGCUGCCUUAAAGUGAGUCAGGCCAUAGAAUCAUAGAAUUGUAAGAGACCACAAGGGUCUUAUCUCAUCAGGAAGUCCCCCAUCCCAUUUGAAACCAUACCAGACCCUGCUUAGCUUUGCAGAUGUGUUAGCAGUUUUAUUACUGCACCACUGGGAUGGUCCAUUUAGCUCAGAGAGGGGGAGGUAUGAUAUUGUCCACAUUGAACGGAAGCGACUUCUCCGGGAUUUCAGACAAUUAGCCUUUUCCAGUCCUAUCUGGAAAUGAUGUCGCGCAUCGAACACGGCAUCUUCUGCAUUCCAACCAGAUGCUCUACCAACUGAGCUGUGGCCCUCCGCCUAAAUUUAAACCCUCUGAUUGGGAGUGGAUGCUGGCAGUCUCAGCUGCUCAGCAAGUUGUGGGAUAAAGGUAAAGGUAAAGGGACCCCUGACCAUUAGGUCCAGUCAGACUCUGGGGUUGCGGCACUCAUCUUGCUUUAUUGGCCGAGGGAGCCGGCGUACAGCUUCCAGGUCAUGUGGCCAGCAUGACUAAGCCGCUUCUGGCGAACCAGAGCAGCGCACGGAAAUGCUGUUUACCCUCCCGCCGGAGCGGUACCUAUUUAUAUACUUGUACUUUGACGUGCUUUCGAACUGCUAGGUUGGCAGGAGCAGGGACCAAGCAACGGGAGCUCACUCCGUCGUGGGGAUUCGAACCGCCGAACUUCCGAUUGGCAAGUCCUAGGCUCAGUGGUUUAACCCACAGUGCCACCCGUGUCCCAGUAAUUGUGGGAUAACCAGCCUUAUAUAACCAACAAGCUUAAGUCUAUUUAAUGCAUGAAGGGGUUAAUGCCAUAGAGUAAGCUGUCCUGCCAGGCUUAGCUAGGUCACUCCUUCUCCCCUUGGGAGGAAGGUUAUGAGUCUAUUGUUCUCUCUCAGUCUACCUAAGAAGUUCAGUGUGUAAAGAGGUUUGAGCUAGUUGCUCCGAGCUCAGACCACAUGGCCCUAACAAGCCUUUUGAAUACUGUGUCCAAUUCUGGGCACCGUAAUUUAAGAAGGAUAUUGGCAAGCUGGAACAUGUGCAGGGCAGGGCAACUAAGAUGAUCAAGGGUCUGGAAACCUUAUGAGGAACGGAUGAAGGAGUUUGGUAUGUUUAGCCUGGAAAAGAGGAGACUGAGAGGAGAUGAUAGUUAUCUUGAAAUAUGUCACAUGGAAGAGAGAACAAGCUGUUCAACAGUGGAACGGUCUCAGGAGGUUGUGGACUCUCCUUCCUUGGAGGAAUUUAAACAGAGGUUGAAUGGCCACCUAUCAUCUUAGUUGAAAUUCCUACAUUGCAGGGAGUUGGACUAGAAGACUCUUGGGGUAGCUUUCAACUCUUCAAUUCUAUGAUUCUUGAGUUCCUAAACCAAUAAUUUUCACCACUGUAACUAAGCCAACUUUUACUGCCUAUUCAACCUUUUCCGAAUGCUGUAUGAAAAAGCACAUGAAUCUGACCUUUGGAGGGUUUGUAAGUAAACCAUUUUUAACGUCCCAAAUGUGUGGCCUUUUCACUGGGGGGAAAUGGAAGUUUUGGAACUCACAGGGGGAUGUUUUAAAGGUCUAAUAGCCUAUAUUUCCACGCCUUACUUUGCUGCAUGUUUUAUGAUUUUAAAUCUCUGCUGAGAUUCUCUCACCAAACAGUACUUCCUCCAAACUUGGCAUCCACGAAUUCUACUUUUAUACCUAUUUUUUCCCCCUUGCCACCAACACAAAUGACCCCGCGGUGCCCUUUCCCCUGCAUGUGAGCUUUGGUGGCAUUGCAGCUGCCACUACGUGAGAAGGAGGACAGAGCAUGAAUCGUGCCACCCUGUAGGGUUGCCCCUGCCAAUUAGUCCUGCCAUCCGCCUGCCCACUUGCAUUCUUUUAAGUGAUUCUGACAGCUCUCGAGGAAAGCAGAGAUAUGAACUCAGCAACCCAGAUUCUCUCUCCCCCUCUCCCCCUCUCCCUCUCAUCCAUUAAAGACAAAGCGGGGCACCAACUCCCUCUUCACUGCCGCCCUCCUGACACGCAGACAGCUCUUUAACUUCCGAGCUUUAUAAAUCUUUGGGAUGCGAGAUUUUAAAUCACAAUAUUUUUAUUAAAGGCCAGGCUGGAUGGGGAAAGGCCAGCUUGUCAGAGGACAGCUUAAAGUGCAUCUGUUUGCACAAAAGGCCAGGACUAGCUGUGUGGUGCAGUGGUUAGAGUGUCGGACUAGGAUCUGAGAGUCCAGGGUUCGAAUCCCCCACUUGGCUAUGAAGCUCACCUUGGACACCAAUCAUAGCCUCUCAGUCUAUCCUACCCUACAGGAUUGUUGUGAGGAUUAAAUGAGGAGGGGGAGAACCAUGUAUAGCUCCCUGGAGAAAAAUGUGAGAUAUCAAUGCAAUAAAUAAGCAAUAAAUAGCUGGAGCAUGGAUCAUUCUAUCUGAGAAUUGUCUACACUGACAAGGCAACAACUUUCCAGAAUUUCAGAAUUCACUUACCAGGAGAUGCUAAGGUUUGACUUGGGACCUUCUGCAUGCAAAACUGGGUCAUGGCCACCGCAGGUUUGCAGGGAGUAAUUUGAUUUUCUUUGCUUUUUCGUGAUAAACGACCCAAUUCACACACCUUGAACCUGACCCAAAACACAGCAGCCCUUUGAAAACCACACUUCUGAGAAAGCUGUCCUCCAACCAAACGAAUGUGUACAUCAAUGCCUAUUUUAGGCAAAAUCAAACACAAAAAUGCUUUAAUAGGGAAACGGGUAAUGUGCCUAUUAGUCAAAACCUCGCUUAAAAUGUGUUUAUUAGGAGAAAUUUGCCCUAAAAUGCAUGGCGAAUUUGGGGGAGGUUUUCUUUCAACAGUUUGCAAAUUGCUGUGUAAAUCACACUAAAAGGUUGAUGAAUUUCUGUGGUGGUUUUAUUUUAUUUUUAAAUGGCUGUGGAAAUGUGGAGAUCUGAAUUUCAGACUGGGGAAAAUAGAGAAUAAGAGAAACUAAAACGAACAGAUUCUUCCAUCCCGGUCUACCCCUUACUUAGUAUCUUCAGCUCAAGACAUAGGAAUCUGCUGUAUAUUCAGUCAGGCCGGCACUGGCUAGCAGUAGCUCUCGGGGGUUUCAGAGGCAGGAAUCUCUCUCAACCCUACAUGAAGAUGUCAGGGAUUGAACAUGGCACCUUCUGCCUGAAAAGCAACUGCUCUAACCACUAGGCAUCUCCCCUCUCCUGAAUAUGCAGAUGGGACUUUAAUUACCUUUUGGAUUUUGCACUUUUUCUCAACUUUGCAUUCUCAGCUUAAAAAAAACCCACAAAGCCCAUUACAAUGUGCCUUGAGUACGCCUAUUUUAGGAUAAAAUACAAUUAGAAAUGUACAAGCUGAGAUAAAACAUGCAUUUAAAUAUGUGAUUUUGUAAAAUGCAAGACUGGAUAUGAAUAUUCAUGCUGAAAAUGAAAUCAGAUUCUAGCCACUAGAAUCUAGCGCUCGUGUUUCUGGCAAGGGGCUGGUUCAAAGUAAGUUGUCUGAAGCUCUGUGUAUUGUUUGCACUGAUUGGCAGCAGCUCCCCAGCCUUUCAGGGAGAGAAUUGAAUCUGGGUCCUUCUGCUUGCAAGGCAGACAUGAUGCCACUGAGCUACAUGAAGAGACAUCAUGAUAUUAUGGGGUGCCGGUUUCUGGUGCCGAAGAGAGAGCAGGAAACUUUGCCAUCCCUGCAAAGUCUCUCUUUCUCUCUCUCUCUCCCUUUUCUCAAUUGGCCUUAUUGACGCCCUAGGAGAAUAGAGAGGUGUGUUAUUCAGUGGGUCGUAGGAUCUGAUUCUGCCUUAACCUAACAUCCCGUCAUUCUGCCUCCCUUGCAUUGUCACUGCAUCCUUUUGUCCUCGCUCCUCUGCUCAUUGUGCUGCUGCUGCUCCGUUCGCGAUCCCUGAGCUUCCUGUUCGAUCCCUGCAGCGGCAGAAACUAUUUGUGUCUUGGUGUUGCUAUAUAAUUAACGGCAGCCGCCGCUCCAGUGCAACGAGGGAAGCGAACGGGGUCAGAUGCGACUGUUGUCUCACCUGUUUGGAAGCUGAGAACAAUGGAAUGGUAGAGGGGGAGAGAGCGAGGAGGAAGCAGCAGCCAGGUGUGUCUUUGCGCAUGAGCGCAGACCUUGGGCACAUCUUCUGUGUUCUUGCUCUGUUUAUUUGUUUGCAAAUAAACUUGCACUCUGCUCUUCAGCCAAAAAGGGCUACCAAAGUGGCUUGCAUGCAGUCCAUUGAAACAAGACAGAGCAGAGUCUCAAAUUCUCCAUGAAUUUGUCUGAUCCUCUCUAAAUAACAUUAGAUUAUUACGCUUGCUUUUGAUCAGGGGUUGGCAAACUAAGGCCUGCAGGCCGGAUCAGGCCCAAUUGCCCUCUAGAUUCAGCCCGCAGAUGGUUCUGGAGUCGCUGCUUGGAUCAGCGCAAACGCCAUUUAAAAAAAAAAAAUUCGGGCACCAUUUUUUCCGCUAUUUCCGCCCCUCCAUCCCUCACACAGAGGGAUGCAGGUGGAGCUGUGGGUUAAACCACAGAGCCUAGGACUUGCCAAUCAGAAGGUCGGCGGUUUGAAUCCCCGCAACGGGGUGAGCUCCCAUUGCUUGGUCCCAGCUCCUGCCAACCUAGCAGUUCGAAAGCACGUCAAAGUGCAAGUAGAUAAAUAGGUACCGCUCUGGCGGGAAGGUAAAUGGUGUUUCUGUGCACUGCUCUGGUUCACCAGAAGCGGCUUAGUCAUGCUGGCCACAUGACCCGGAAGCUGUACGCCGGCUCCCUUGGCCAAUAAAGCGAGAUGAGCACCAAAACCCCAGAGUCGGUCACAACUGGAAUUUAUUCAAUCUCUCUUGAAUCCUCCAAUAUUCAAAAUCAUUGGACGUUCAUGAGUUAUGAGAGAGAGAGAGAGAGAGAGAGAGAGAGAGAGAGAGAGAGACUUUUCUCUAUCCAUUUUCUCAAUGCCAUGGAUAAUUUUAUAAACCUGGCAGAGGAGGGUGGGGUGGGUGAGUGGAACUCUCAGCAGAUGGGCUUUCCUCACUCUUCACUCUGCCCCACCUUGAUAUAAUUUUCUCUCUCUGUCCUGCCCAGUUGUCUGCCUUCGACAGAGAGCAAUGUGGCUGUAAAGCGCAGGGUGCCUCAGAGCAAAAAAGGAUAUUGUAGAGCUGGGGAAAGGUUCCAGAUAAGACAACUAACAUAAGCAGGGGGGUUGGAGUGACUCCUUGAUGAAGAAAGAUUACAAAAUUUGGACCUUUCUAGUUCAGAGCAAAGGAUGUGUGUGAAAAGUUCACCAUGACAUGGAGAAAACAGAUAGAGAAUUUUUCCCCUCCUCCUCCCAUGACAUUAGGAUCCAACGGGUCAUUUUAUUUUUAACUGAUUGCGUUUAUAGCCCACCAAGAAGCUCAAGGCUAUGUACAUGGCUCUCCCCCUCUUCAUUUAAUCCCCACAACAACCCUGUGAGGUGGGUGAGGCUGAGACGCAGUCUUGCCCAAGGUCACCCAGUGAGAUUCAUAACCGAGUCGGGAUUCGAACCCAUGGCCUCCUAGUCCAGCACUUGAAGAACUACGCCACACUGGCUCUCAUGUCAUAGAACACGACCUUCCCAAUGCUGCUGGACUCACUUCCCUGACCACUGGUCAACUGCAUCUGGAGGGCCACAGGGUCCCUCUCUCUGCUUUAUCCAGUCUUAAGAAAAACCAGAGCAGCAACUCAUGCAGAGACACAGCAGUGAGCCUCCUUUCUGGUUAGUGCUUCCUUGUUCCCAGCAGCCAGUAGUCUUAGGGAUAUAAGGCAAUGGCGGCUCUAAGAUGUUGCUGCACUCCAACUCCCAGCAUCCCUAACCACUGGUCCUGCUUGCCGCUGAGAGCUGGGAGUCACAGCAACACCUGGAGGGUCACAGACUCCCGCAGACUCUGGGAACACAUGCAGGAAGUGGUUCUGUCAACCACCCACCCUUUUGAAACUGGAGGUGCCUGGGUCGAACGUGAGGCCUUCUGCAUGCCCAGCAGCUGUCGCUCUGAUGAUCUGUGUCUCCACCUCCCAUACAUUCCUGGAACCCCUCCACUCUCUCUCCCUACUCUCUUUCCACACUGGCAAUUCCUGCGCCUCUCCAUCUCUCCGAUACAAAACUGCAUUAACUAGCAAACCUGUAGUGCUUUUUUGCUUCUUCUUUUUUAACAUUACGUCCUCCCGUUGCCAUAACGACCUAAUGCAAAUCGCAACCCCCGCCCGCUCUCCUUUCCUCGCACGCUUUCCACACAUCCAUGCCCAGCCUCCCCGAAUUCAGCGUGCAGGCAAACAGUCCCAAAGCGACUGCUUUUAUAGUCGCAGCUCAUCCUUCGGCUUUGAGGGAAAUGUCUGCUCAGCUUCCCCACUGCCACCAAAGAGGGUUUGAUGACGAGGGGCGGGAACCCGAAAUACUCGCUCUGUCUCUUUUUGCAUGAGACAGGACGGAUAAAAGAAAAAAGCCCUUCUCCAUGCAGCGCAAGAUCUGAACUGCGGAAGUUGGUCCCGCAGGAGGCAAGGAGGGCCACAAACUUGGACAGCUGCAAAAGAGGACUGGACAAAUUCACGGGGGAGCAGAGGGGGCUAUUGAUAGCUCUUAACCACAAUGGCUGCACUCUGCCCUCCGCAAUCGGAAGCAGCGAUGUUUCUCAAUACCAGUUUCUGGAAACCACAAGGGGGGGGAGAAUGUUCUUGUGCUCCGAUCUUGCUUGGCAGGGGCGUGGCGUGGGUUGCCAUUGCCCGGGGCAGGGCAAGCGUUGUGCCUGCCCUGGUGGACUGCUCUGCCCCUUCUGCAGCCAGCGUCUAACCAAGGGAGCGUCUCCUUGCAAACUAGCCCCAACCUGGGAGCAGAGAUAAGGCGGAGAAACGCAAAGCCAGGAGCGCUGCUGUGUCGCCUCAUCCUCCUGUCCUUGCAGCGAGGCACACUGGGCUCUAGCAGUGCUUUCCCAUCUUCCUCUUCCUCUUCCUCCCUCCCUCCUUGGUAGGCAGUGGCGGUCCCUCCCUCCCUUCCAGCUGUCCCUUCCCCAGCCACUGCCCCAGCUUCUGAAGGCCUGGCCUGGGGACAGUUUGCCUCCCGGGAGCUCCAUCCCCCCAUAAUGGGGACGCCUGGUUGUGCCUCCUCAUAAAUUUGUGCCCGGCGCCACAGCCCCCUGCCCACCAUGCUAUGCCACUGCUGGUUGACCACUGUGAGAAGAGGAUGCUGAACUAGGUGAAACAUUUGUCUGAUCCAGCAGGGAUCUCCUUAUCUUAUCUGUCUGUCUGUCCAUCAACCCAGCUAUCUCCAUCUAGGGGUCACCAGUGUGUGAGUGGAUCUGGAAGCCGAGUUUAAUUCCGUGGGAAACUGUGUGAACACUUCUAGUUUUUUAAAAUAUAUAUAUAAAAAUCUGUGGUUCAUAAAUCACUCAGAGACUUUUGUGCAUGGAAAGCGAGAAAUAAAUGAAGAUCGUCCCCACUGUCUGUGGCCCAGAGAGGGAUACAUUCUGAAAGCUAGAGGCUGUGAUGGAGAGUCCUCCUCUUCUUUGAUCUUUUAACGUGUGUAUUUAUUUCAGAAGUCUCUCUGCGCCACCUUCUCAGACACAUUUCAAAAGCAGUUGAAUUGAAGAAAAAACUAAUAUGCUCUAGAAAGGCACACACAUCUAAAAUAUUUAUAUGCUGCCUUUUCAGGGGCGGUGGGAGGGGGGUCGGAUUCUUCCAAGGUGGCUCUUAAAAGAUAAUGGGUGAAACAAGAAAACCACAUUUGAAGCUACGAAUAAAACAAUCAAAUUGCAAAACACAAAGAGAGGUUUGUAAGAGCCAUGCGGAAGCAGAUAAAGGUAGUGACGACUUUGGUCAUAGAGCACCUGCUUUGAAUGCAGAAGAGCCCAGGUUCAUAAGAACAGGAGAACAGCCUGCUGGGUCAGUCUCCUGUUCAGUCUCCUCACAGGUAUAUUGGGCCAAGGCCGUUUAGGGCUUUCAAGGUCAGCACCAACACUUUGAAUUGUGCUCAGAAACGUUGUUGUUGUUUAGUCGUUUAGUCGUGUCCGACUCUUCAUGACCCCAUGGACCAGAGCACGCCAGGCACUCCUGUCUUCCACGGCCUCCCACAGUUUGGUCAGACUCAUGUUGGUAGCUUCGAGAACACUGUCCAACCAUCUCGUCCUCUGUCGUCCCCUUCUCCUUGUGUCCUCCAUCUUUCCCAACAUCAGGGUCUUUUCUAGGGAGUCUUCUCUUCUCAUGAGGUGGCCAAAGUAUUGGAGCCUCAGCUUCAGGAUCUGUCCUUCCAGUGAGCACUCAGGGCUGAUUUCCUUAAGAAUGGAUACAUUUGAUCUUCUUGCAAUCCAUGGGACUCUCAAGAGUCUCCUCCAGCACCCUAAUUCAAAAGCAUCAAUUCUUCGGUGAUCAGUCUUCUUUAUGGUCCAGCUCAGAAACAUACUGGGAGCCAAUUUUCAGCACCAGUGUUAUGUCGUCUCAGCGGCUGCUCCCAGUCACCAGUCUAGCUGCCGCAUUCUGGGUUAGUUGUAGAAUCCCCUUCUAAUGAAAGCCCCAUGUAGAAUGCACUGCUGUAGUCCAAGUGGGAGAUAACUAGAGCAUGCACCACUCUGGCUGUGAUGGCCUGGGACUCGGGCUCAGACUCGGAACCAGAGGAGACUCAGUCUGCACCAGAUCAUUUGCCUCAGGCAUCAUCUGAACCAAGUCUGGGGCCUGAUCCUGAAGAGUCCCAGUCUGCACAUGUUCCCCUGCAACAAACACCACCUGGGCUGAGUCAGGGGCCUGAGCCUGCCCUGGCUCCAGAUGCGAGGAUUACCUCGUUGACUUCAGCUGGGCCAUCACUUACAGCUGCUCCACUACCAGUUGGGUCAGGGGAGGCUGAGGCGGCCUCUGGGUCUAGUAACCCACCGACGUCUCCCGAGCUGCAGAGACUAAGGUUGGAGAGAAGGAGAGACCUGAGUACUCGCAGGAGAAGAGCUCACCUUUGGGCGAAACAGGGAGGUGAGUUGCCGGGGGAUCAGGACCAGCUGCUGCCCCGACAAAGAUAAAAGGCUGUCGCACCCUGCCCCAGGUUGCAGGAGCAACAUUGCUGUAUGCUAGAUCCUGCACCUGUCCUUGCCUGGUUUCCUGCUUUGUGUCCUGCCUUGGCCCUGUUGGACUGACUCCUAGCAGAACCUUUGCAUUCUGGACUGGUCCUGGACCACUUUUCACAGGUUGCCCCUGGGCCCAGCACACUGGCAAGACAGUCUAGAGACCUUAAAUGGGUUAGUAGCCAUGGCCUUCAUGGUUAGUAGCCAUGAAUUUGUCUAAACAUAGGAGUGGUCACAGGCCAGAUCCAGGUGCUUUGGAAGAAACUGAUUUCCUGGUUCCAUUUCAAUCGGGGCUUAGGCACAGUUUUGGCACAGAAGCUGCUUUGGUCAUCCUGUAUGAUGAUCUCUGUCGAGAGAGACACAAGGGAAACAUGUCCUUGUUAAUUCUCCGUGAACUCUCAGCAGCUUUCAAUACCAUUGACCAUGGUAUCCUUCUGGAGCAGGGAUAGGCAAACUAAAGCCGAGGGGCCGGAUCCGGCCCAAUUGCCUUCUAAAUCCGGCCCGCAGACGGUCCGGGAAUCAGCGUGUUUUUACAUGAGUAGAAUGUGUCCUUUUAUUUAAAAUGCAUCUCUGAUGAUUAUUAUUAUUUUUUUAAAAAAAGGAGCAAAGUUGUACACUGCGUGAUUGUGCUAACUUUCCCGGGAGUAGCCAGGAAGGUAUCUGUAGUGUGGCUAUUUGUCUUCACACCGUGAGCAAACGUGAGUGGUGACGGUCCUUAUUUUUAGCACAUCAGCCAAUCAGACAUUUCCUCCUCCUCUUUGUACUGCGAAGAGCUGCUCUUCACUUCUGUGAUGGGGAUCUCUGACUGACACCCAAGGGUGCAAGAGCAUGGCAGGCAGCCCCCCCCCCAAGCAGCCCAGAAAGCCAGCGAUAACAUCUUACCUCUCCCUGUCUGUCUUUUUAUUUAUAGCCUCCUUUCACGAUGUCAUCAACCUAUUUAUACAGAUGCUCCUUUUCCUCUGUGUUAAAAAUACAUAUCUUUAUCUUCCCCUCUGGAUCCACACCUCCAUAUUUAUAUUUAAACCUGCCCCCCUCCCACCCACCCGGCAGAUUCAUCUAGCAAAGUUUGACUGGUGACAUUUCGACAGAUGACUCUCAGGCGAGAACACGGAAGAACUUUUUCUGCACGUGCCGGGGAUGCAAUGCUCGGAGCGGAAGACUCCCCCUUUCACCAUUCAGAGAGUUUCGGAGUUAGGGGGUGCGCUGAACAGCCUCACAGUUUGAUAGACAAACUGGGGGGGGGGAUAGUGUUUUCUGCCCUUAUGGCUGCUAUUUCCCUAUCCAACCUGUGUUCAUAACGUGCCAAUCAGGGACCACAUUUGUUUUAUUUCAUAAAACUUGUAUACCACUCGAUUGGAGGUGGCGGGGGAAGCCUUCUCAAAGUGGUUUGCAAAAGUAAUAAAACAAAUUGCUGUAUCAGUUUUUUAAAAAGCCCAUUGAAAACAACUAUUUAGAAUGUUCAAAGCAUAACUGAAGUCAACAGUAAGCUAGGAACCAGAAUGAAGUGUGCCCAGAAAUGGAAGCAAGAAGAAAUACCGACGAAAGAGGAAUGGCAGACGAAAUUAAUGGACUAUGCAGAGUUAAUAAUAAUAAUUAUUAUUAUUAUUUAUUUAUACCCCACCCAUCUGGCUGGGCUUCCCCAGCCACUCUGGGCAGCUUCCAACAAAAUAUUAAAAUACCGUAACACAUCAAACAUUAAAAGCCUCCCUAAACAGGGCUGCCCUAGACAAGAUGACAGGAAGGAUUCAAAACCUGCGGGACCAGAGAUUCACAGAAGAUUGGAACAAAUACACGAACUAUUUGAAGAGCAAUUGUAAUCAACGAAUUACACCAGUAGGACUACAAGAAGUUUUGUAAGGAGGAAUAUACGAAAUAUUGCAAAGAAGAUAAAGAUGAAAGAUAUUAGUUACGAUACUUAAAUGUAAUAGUGAAAGUAAGAAAUGUAAACUAAGUGGGAAAGAUAGGAAAAUGUUUAGAUGUGAUUGAUGGAAGUCUAAAAAACUGUAUAAGAUAUAAAAGUAUGUUUCAUUAUUGUUGAAAAUGAUACACACACACAUAUAUACACACAUAUAUAUAAAGAAACCAGAAUGAAGUGCGUGCCAACAUUCUACAUAUUUGGAUAAGCUUUCCGAAACAGAAAUUUUUUUAAGUAGGUACAGGAAAGAGUUCAUGGAGGCAUUUGCCUGAUGUCAAGUGGCAGAGAGUUCCAAAGUGUCAGUCCUGGCACACUGAAAAGUUGAUUCCUUGCAGAUCUCUCUCUCUCUCUCUCUCUCUCUCUCUCUCUCUCUCUCUGUGUGUGUGUGUGUGUGUGUUUCUCUGUCUCUCUCCACCAACCUAUUUGUGCAAACACUCCUUUUUGUUCACGUUAAAAAUGCAUAAACUCCAAGUCCCCCAUGGCAAACAAGUUGGUAAACUGUGGGCUGGAUGAGGUUACUGUUAGGGGAUUUGUAGCUGGUUGCCUGACCAAACUCAGAUAAUGCUCAUUAAUAGUUCUUCGUCAUCCUGUUAAAAAGUGACAAGUAGGGUGACGUAGGGUUCUGUCCUGGGCCAGUUGCUGUUCAACAUCUUUAUGAAUGAUCUGAGGGGUAGCUAAUGUUGCAGAAGACAAGAUGACCUUAACAGAUGGGAGAACGGACUAUCAAACUAUCAAAAUGAAUUUCAAUAGGGAUAAAUGUCAGGUUCUGCACUUAGGCAGGAAAACCAGAUGCACAAAUGUAAGAUGGGGUACAGCCUGCAUGUGAAAAGGAUCUAGGGGUCUUAGUGGACCACAAGCCGAACGUGAGCCAACAGUGUGAUGCAGCAGCAAAGAAAGAACUAAUGAUAUUCUAGGUUCUAUCAACAAAAAUAUAGCAUCCUAAUCAAGGGAUGUAAUAGUUCCACUCUAUUCUGCCUUGGUCAGACCGAACCUACACUACUGUGUCCAGUUCUGGGUGCCACAAUUUAAGAAGGAUGUUGACAAGCUGAAAUAUGUGCAGAGGAGGACAACCAAGAUGAUCAAGGGUCUGGAAAUCAAGCCAGAUGAGGAACGGUUGAAGGAGCUGGGCAUGUUUAGCCUGAAGAAGAAGAGACUGAGAGGUGAUAUGAUAGUCUUCUUCAGAUAUCUAAAGGGCUGUCACAUGGAAGAUGGAAUAAACCUGUUUUCUGCUGCUCUGGAGGGUAGGACCCAAACCAAUGGCUUCAAGUUAUAAGAAAGGAGAUUCUGUCUAAGCAUCAGGAAGAGCUUUCUGACAGUAAGAGCUGUUUGUCAGUGGAACGGACUCCUUUGGGAGGUUGUGGAUUCUCCUUCCUUGGAGGUUUUUAAGCAGAGGUUGGAUGGCCAUCUGUCAUGGAUGCUUUAGUUGAGAUUCCUGGAUUGCAGGUGGUUGGACUAGAUGACUCUCAGGGUCCAUUCCAGUUUCACAGUUCUAUCAUUCUAUAUUUUAUCUUCCACUCUGGAUCCAUACCUCCAUAUUUAUAUUCACCUCCCUCCCCCGGCUCAGGAGGAUUUAACUGGCAAAAUGUGACUGGUGGCAUUUUGACACCCAUAAUGAUGCCAGUCAGAGGACGGUGAUCAGAGGACGGUGAUGUCACAGUGCUGCAUAACCCCUCUGAUCUGGCUCUGUGAUGACAUCACUGAGGGCUCAUGAAGUCAAGUGAGACCUGUUUUCUGGUUUAGCCAGAUGGGUGACCCCAGCCAAUCAGGGUUCACAAACUGAAAAAGAUGGAAGAACUGAUUAAAACUGAGAGAUAAUUGGUUAAGAGGCCAAAGGAAGGAUGUUGCUACACAAUAAUAAUAAUAAUAAUAAUUUUAUUUACCGUAUUUUUUGCUGUAUAAGACUCAUUUUUUCCCUCCUAAAAAGUAAGGGGAAAUGUGUGUGCGUCUUAUGGAGUGAAUGCAGGCUGCGCAGCUACCCCAGAAGCCAGAACAGCAAGAGGGAUCGCUGCUUUCACUGUGCAGAGAUCACUCUUGCUGUUCUGGCUUCUGGGAUUCAGAAUAUUUUUUUUCUUGUUUUCCUCCUCCAAAAACUAGGUGCGUCUUGUGGUCUGGUGCGUCUUAUAGAGCGAAAAAUACGGUAUAUCCCGCCCUCCCCAGCCAAAGCCGGGCUGAGAGCAGCUAACAACAAUUAAGUGAUUGGAUGUGGCUGCACAGUGAUGUCACUAAGGAUAAGGAACACAUGCAGAGCAAUUUUACAAACAUUUCCCCAAAAAAGAUAAUUCAAAGGGCUAAACAAACUCAGUUUUCUUGAGCUGUAGAAUAUUGUCUUGGUCUUAGGUUGUGGGACUUAUCACCCCACCCUUUUUUUUUUUUUGCAGGACUGAAAGAUUUUUAUUUUCUUUCACUAUCUAAAGGCCUAAUGUUGCUGAUGGGGCAGAAAUUUGCUUCAAUUCACAUUUUAAUGCAAAUCUUAUUGGUUUUUAAUGCACAUGUAAUGCAAACCUACCGGCUUCACACUUCACUGAUGUGAUACAUGCACCAAAAUGCAGCCAUCCUUUGAGAUUCAAACACUUCCCAGUUUUGUGAUUGUGGCCUCUUGUUGAGAAAUGUGCACACAAAUGUAUAUAUAUAUAUUGGCAGGGUGUGUGUGCUUAUGUCAGUGAAAGCAACCAAAAGAAAUGCAGUAUAUUAGGGGGAAUGACUUGCAAACAUUAGCAUGAUGGGUAGAAUUGUUUGCAGAAAGGGGCAUAGCAGGCCAAACUAGCUGCAAACUGGGGCAUAGCAAGCAAAUGAGUUGGGGGAAAAGCUACAGCAAUGGAGAUAUGCGAUCGUCAUCCUCGUAUAUCUAAAGAGCUGCCUCGUGGAAGCUUGUUUUCUCCUGCUCCAGAGGCUAGGACUCAAACCAAUGGAUUCAAGCAUCAAGAAAGGAGAUUCCAGAUAAAUACAGGAAGAACUUUCUGACUGCAUUUCUCAGAAGUUGCUGGGGUCAUUCACAACCUAUUUAAAAUACAGAAAAAUGGGCUUGGGUGCACUUGCAUUUGCGCUUCAGUUGAGUUUCCUGCACUGCAGGGGGUUGGACUAGAUGACCCUUGGGUCCCCUUCUAUGAUUCUAUGAUUUCACCCUCUAGUUCUCAGAUGCCCCAAGUGCUACUCUUCUGACCUGGAAACGGCUGCUGAACGGAAUGGAGUAUCAUGGGAAAGGUGUGGCUGGCUGGCUAGCUGGCUUCCACCUGUAUAAUUUUAUUAUUCUUGCUUUAUUAACUGGAGUGCUGACCUUUAAAGCCCUAAACAGCCUCGGUCCAUUAUAUCUGAAGGAGCGCCUCCACCCCCAUCGUUCUACCCGGACACUGAGAUCCAGCGCCGAGGGCCUUCUGGCGGUUCCCUCACUGCGAGAAGCCAAGUUACAGGGAACCAGGCAGAGGGCCUUCUCGGUAGUGGCACCCACCCUGUGGAACGCCCACCCACCAGAUGUCAAAGAGAAAAACAACUACCAGACUUUUAGAAGACAUCUGAAGGCAGCCCUGUUUCGGGAAGCUUUUAAUGUUUGGUGCAUUACUGUAUUUUAAUAUUUUGCUGGAAGCCACCCAGAGUGGCUGGGGAAGCCCAGCCAGAUGGGCGGGGUAUAAAUAAACUGUUAUUAUUAUUAUUAUUAUUAUUAUUCCCAUUCACCUGGGGGCGGGGGGGAGGACCGUAGCCCAGUGGUAGCACACCUGUUUUGCAUGCAGAUUGCAGAAUGCCCCACCUACAGCCCCCUAGCAUCUCCAGGUAGGGUUAGCGCUAGCGCCUUUUGACAAGCUGUUGACUGCCUGCCUAUUUUGGCCCUAUUUGGGUCUGUGUCUGCCACCUUCUGCUGAGCUGAUUUCUGUCCAUAUCCAUCCAGAGCUGUCCAAAGUGCUGCUUGCAAUGUGAACUUUCAUUUGCCUUUCCAACAGCUGAAGUUUGCCUUGGUUCUUUCGUAUUACAGUGGUACCUCGGGUUACAUACGCUUCAGGUUACAGACUCCGCUAACCCAGAAAUAGUGCUUCAGGUUAAGAACUUUGCUUCAGGAUGAGAACAGAAAUCAUGCUCCAGUGGCACAGCAGCAGCAGGAGGCCCCAUUAGCUAAAGUGGUGCUUCAGGUUAAGAACAGUUUCAGGUUAAGUACGGACCUCCGGAAUGAAUUAAGUACUUAACCCGAGGUACCACUGUACUCUAGGAAUCUAAGCAAAACAAAGCAAGGACCUUGGAUAGCCAUCAAAAAUAUGGGCUGAGAACCUGCCAUAUCUGCCAUUAAUCAACAGUAAACAGAUCUCAUGCUCAGCUUUGUAUGGGUGAGUUAUGAUGCUCUCUGAAGUGGCUUCGCUUCGAAUGCCACCAGCCAGCACCCUAAUCUUUCCCUCAAUCUUAUCUUCCCACUGGGAAUAACCAUCAGUGUCGGACCAACACACUCUUGUACCUCACCCCUGUCCAACAAUCUGAUACCACACCAUGAUUUAUCCAUCUUGAUAAGCGUUGCUUAAGUGCUUCCUUUAUCCACAACACGCACACACUCUUCGUAUAUAUCGUACAAUCACAACCACCUCCCCACAUGGAGAGGAGGAGCAGCUAGACUGGUGACUGGGAGAGGCCAAUGGGAGCAUAUAUAACUAGUCCUCAAAGAACUGCAUUGGCUCCCAGUACGUUUCUGAGCACAAUACAAAGUGUUGGUGCUGACCUUUAAAGCCCUAAAUGGUUUCGGCCCUGUAUACCUUAAGCUAUGGUUUUCCCCAGUAGUGAUGUAUGGAAGUGAGAGCCGGACCAUAAAGAAGUCUGAUCGCUGAAGAAUUGAUGCUUUUGAAUUAUGGUGCUGGAGGAGACUCUUGAGAGUCCCAUGGACUGCAAGAAGAUCAGACCUCUCCAUUCUGAAGGAAAUCAGCCCUGAGUGCUCACUGGAAGGACAGAUCCUGAAGCUGAGGCUCCAAUACUUUGGCCACCUCAUGAGAAGAGAAGACUCCCUGGAAAAGACCCUGAUGUUGGGAAAGAUGGAGGGCACAAGGAGAUGGGGAUGACAGAGGACAAGAUGGUUGGACAGUGUUCUCGAAGCUACCAGCAUGAGUUUGACCAAACUGCAGGAGGCAGUGGAAGACAGGAGUGCCUGGCGUGCUCUGGUCCAUGGGGUCAUGAAGAGUCAGACACGACUAAAUGACUAAACAACAACAACAACAAUACCUGAAGGAGCAUCUCCAUCCCAUUGUCCAGCCUGAACACUGAGGUCCAGCUUCGAGGACCUUCUGGCGGUUCCCUCACAGUGAGAAGUAAGAUUACAGGGAACCAGGCAGAGGUCCUUUUCAGUAGUCAGGCCCUCCUUGUGGAACACCCUCCCAUCAGAUGUCAAGGAAAUAAACAACUUUUAGAAGACAUCUGAAGGCAGCUCUGUCCAAGGAAGUUUUUAAAGGUUGAUGUUUUACUGUCGGUUGGAACAUAUUCGGUUGGUAGCCACCCAGAGUGGCUGGGGAAACCCAGCCAGAUGGGUGGGGUAUAAAUAAUAAAAAAAUAAAAUAUAUAUUACUAUGUUUGAGGUUUUAAUUUGCUGAAAGCCACCCAGAGUGGUUGGGGCAUCCCAGUCAGAUGAGCGGCAAAUAAAUAAAUAAAUAAAUAAAUAAAUAAAUAAAUAAAUAAAUGGUGCUGGGCUGUCACCGCCCUGCCCCCACCCCCAGAGACAUGGAGGCAAAGAAAAAUAGCCAAUAGUGUUUUGGAUGGAGAAAAGACGAAGCUGCUGUUUAUUGACCCAAGCCAUCGAUCCAUUGAGUUCUAUAUUGACUGCACUGACUGGCAGUGGUUUUUUGGACUUCCCCCUCCCAACCUGGAGGUGACACUGGGGACUGAACCUGGGUUCUUCUGCAUUCACAGCAAAUGCUCAACAGCUCAUCAAUGACUCUUCCUUUAAGACACAGAAACACUGCCUGUCUGAUGGUGUUUCCUGCUUGGCAGGGGGUUGGACUCGAUGGCCCUUGUGGUCUCUUCCAACUCUAUGAUUCUAUGAUUCUAAGUUCUCCAAGUUUUCAAUAGAGGUCCUUACAUGACAGGGACCUUCCUAGAUGGAGCUUUGGUUUGAUCCAGCAGGGUUUUCCUUAGGUUCUAAGGGCUGACAGGAAAGUGCCAAGUCCCUGCAAGUCAGGAAAAGGCCUGAGGUACAGAAUGCAAUUGAGGUCUUCCUGGCUCGACAGCUUCAGCUUCAGACAUUGCUAGAAAUUGAGCCUUUCCCCUCUAGCCUCUCACUCUGGAGCCCCCUGCCCCCCACAACAAAUGGAGACUAUGACUUGGAAGUGAGCUCCUCCUCUGGGCCUGUCUGGCCCAUUGCUCUUCAACAUGCAGGACUCUCCUAGAGCUGGUUGUGAGAGGAGGAGAGCCAGCAGGACUGAGACUGUUCUGCUGCGGGAUGGCAGGUGUACCAUCUGAUUCCUCCCCGUCUGUGUCUGUCUGUGUCUGCGCUCACAUUGAGAUGUUCACCCUCCAGCCCUGGUCUGGAAGGACCUUCUUCUGACCCACCUUGAUCACUCCAAUCUCCUGCCUCCAGCAUCUCCUAACUCAUCCCUUCCCCAGCCUCUUCUUCGUUGCCCCACCUCCAGGACCCAGGGUCUAAAUCAGCGGUUCUCAACCUGUGGGUCCCCAUAUGUUGGACUACAACCCCCAUCAUCCCUGAGCUCUGGCCUUGCUAGCUAGGGAUGAUGGGAGUUGUAGUCCAACAACAUCUGGGGAACCUCAGGUUGAGAACCGCUGGUCUAAAUCCUUGCCUUCCCUGUGCUCCCUGGGAAGCUCCUGGCCAGGAGACUCCCAGCACUACUCCUCCUCAUCCAACCAGUCCCUGAGAGCGGUGGGACAAUUGUGGGCACUCUCAUGUUGUGGGACUCCAACUCCCAUUCAGCUCCAGUCUGCAUGGCCAACGGUCAGAUGUGAUGGGAGCUGGAGUGCAACAACAUCUGGAAGGCCACAGGUUCCUCAGCCCUGCAUUAAAAGAAGGCAAAGUUGUGAUGGAGGUAGACAGGGACAGUAGAGUGGUAGCUCAGGUUACAGACGCUUCAGGUUACAGACUCCGCUAACCCAGAAACAGUACCUCGGGUUAAGAACUUUGCUUCAGGGUGAGAACAGGAAUUGUGCAGCGGUGGCGGCAGCAGCGGGAGGCCCCAUUAGCUAAAGUGGUACCUCCGGUUAAGAACAGUUUCAGGUUAAGAACGGACCUCCAGAACGAAUUAAGUUCUUAACCUGAGGUACCACUGUAAAGGCAAGUGAAGGUCUAGUUCAGGGAUGAGGGACCUUUGUUGCCUUUGAGAUGUUAGUGUCACGAUUCCCAGGCUAGCUGCCUAGUGAAAUCAGAGACGUAGAUAGCGUCUGCUGGUUCUUUUAUUUAAGUCAACACAGAAAGACCAUGGAUUAUGUUCUCCUCAGUCCUGAGACAUUGCUCAGAGUGCCUGCUCCACUCCUUUGCAGCACUUCCAAACCCCUCCUUACUGCCUAUGGUGGCCAGCAAUGGAAUCUUUCUGUCUCUGUUUGGCCUUCUGCUCUAAGAUCACCUGGGCCUUGGAAAAGGAGGUUCUACCAGGCUUUCAAGCGACAGUGUCCACUGAAUGCUGUACUGUUUCUCCCACUUCUGAGUCCUGUCUCUGUUCAGGACUAAAGCAUCUGCUAACUUGUUCCCAAUCCUCCAUUAUUUCCCAGCUCUUUGCUUCUUCUUCUAAGAUGCGUCCUGUCCCCUGCCCCCACUAUGAAUCUGGGUCCAUACUAUCAUCAUCUUCCUCCUGCCCAGAUGCCUCUUGAGAUGGAGGUCUUCCACCACUCGUCCCCACCUGCCCAGUCCCUGGCAGUUAGACUGCAAGUCACAUCAGCCGUGGUCAGGGGUGAUGAGAGAUGUCUUUGAGUUCCUACAAACUGACUUGGGUGGACGUUAUGGUUUCCAGUCAAAGGAAACUGCCACACCGUUUGUCUCUUGCUGCAAAAGCAACAAAGCCAGGAGGUUGCACCUUAAAAGUUAACAGGUUUAUUGCAGCAUAAGCUACUGUGGACUUAUCCACAAGAGCUCUCAGUCCGCAAAAGCUCAUGCCAUAAUAAAUCCUCUGGGUUUCAAGUAGGGAUCUGAAUACAAGGAGACCCUUCCUCCCCCCCCCCCGCAACACUGGAGGAGGAAGGGGUGCCAUUAUCCCGCCGUUCCAAGGGUGCAAGAGAACUCAUUGCGUUUAAUUAUCUUUCUGGAAAUGGACGGUUUGCUGACUAAUCUGCCUCGGCUAUCAUUUCGAGGUAUCAUUCUGGGCGUCUGUCGAACUGAAAAGGCGAGGGGGUGACGGGGGGACCAUUAGCGAAGGCGGAGAGAGACAGGUACUCUUACGCAAGAGGCAAUGAAAGAGAAGAUCAGAGUGAAGGCAGUGAAUGGAGGAAAACACACAGAAUCCAGAACCACCUGCAUGUGUCAAUGGAGGCGUAUUUUAUUUAAUUUAUUUUUUUAAGCCUUCCUUCCUUAUCACUAAUACACAGCACAUGUUUCCAGCUAGGUAGAAGGAGGGAGAGGAUGCUGGAGGGACAAUGGGGAAGGAGUAGGAAAUGAAAGGUAGAACAGCAGGCAUGCAAGAAGGGGUGGGUCUGCUAGUUCCAGUUUUCGCUACUAUUUUUUUUUUGGAAGGGAAUAAGAGACUCAUAAAUAGGAACGCUCCCUCUUUGAAGGAUUUACAUGUUCAGGCGGUGCUUUGGAAUUAGAGUUGGUCCCCCGCAUCCUACCCCUGUCAGGGGGAGAGUGGGGAGGAGAAGGGAAAUGUUGGGAAGGGGAUAAAUGGCAACAGGGAUGUGUGAUUUAACCCACCAGGACCUGGUUUUGUAAAAAAAAAGGAAGAAGUUUCAGGGCCUUGAUAGUGGGAACCUGUACUGAAUGCGAUGGGGAGAAGGUUCAGUCACCCAGUGUUGAAAAAUAAUUCUGCAGCAGCUGAUCACCUUGGGCGAAACCCUCCAUAAGUGGCCUUGGUAUGAGAAGCUUUACAGUGGUACCUCAGGUUAAGUACUUAAUUCGUUCCGGAGGUCUGUACUUAACCUGAAACUCUUCUUAACCUGAAGCAGCACUUUAACUAAUGGGGCCUCCUGCUGCCGCCGCGCCACUGGAGCCCAAUUUCUGUUCUCAUCCUGAAGCAAAGUUCUUAACCUGAAGCACUAUUUCUGGGUUAGCGGAGUCUGUAACCUGAAGCAUAUGUAACCUGAAGCAUAUGUAACCCGAGAUACCACUGUAUUUAUGUAUUUAUUUAUUUAUUUAUUUGUAAGUUACCUCUUUCCCAAGGCGGUUUGCACAAAUUAAAAUAACACAGAUGAAAUGCAAAAAGCUAAAGGCAUAUAAAAGACAAGUGUUAAAGAAGUAACUCUUAAUAGAAUGAAAACAAUGUAUAAAAAUCAGGGACACAGGUGGGGCUGUGGGUUAAACCACAGAGCCUAGGAUUUGCUGAUCAGAAGGUCAGCGGUUCGAAUCCUCUGUGACGGGGUGAGCUCCCGUUGCUCGGUCCCUGCUCCUGCCAACCUAGCAGUUCAAAAGCACGUCAAAGUGCAAGUAGAUAAAUAGGUACUGCUCCAGUGGGAAGUUAAUUGGCGCUUCCGUGCGCUGCUCUGGUUCGCCAGAAGCGGCUUAGUCAUGCUGGCCACAUGACCCGGAAGCUGUACGCCGGCUCCCUCAGCCAAUAAAGCGAGAUGAGCGUCGCAACCUCAGAGUCGGUCACGACUGGACCUAGUGGUCAGGGGUCCCUUUACCUUUACUAUAAAAAUCAGAUUUCUUACAAUGCAGGUAGUCAAAACAACAAGCACUAUUAAUAUAUAUAUAUAUAUAUAUAUAUAUAUAGAUAUAUAUAUAUAUAUAUAUGCUAGUCCCCUAAGGGCCUGUUGGAAUAAGGAAAUCUUCACCUGCCAGUGGAAUAACAGCAUGGAGGGAGGCAGUCUGGCCUCUCCAGGGAGGGAGUUCCAAACUCUGGAAACCACCACCAAGAAGGCCCUUUGGAGAAAGCUGAGCAUGCUGUUGAAGUGAAACUGAAGAAAAGUAUGUUGAAUGGAAGUCACCUUCUAUCAUUGUCCAAGGAGAAGGCUUUCCUUCAGGUGUGAACCAGCCAUUUAGGGGACUUCAGUUUUAUCCAGACCUCAUUGUUGGUUGUGAAGUGGGGCCCCAUGACAGUUCAGGAUUCAGGGCCCCCAAAAGGUAGGUCCGCCACUGCCAACAAUGCUACUGCAGAUGAUCUCAGUAAUCUAGCUGGGAUAGAAGUGUUCAGGGGAUUCCCCAAGGUAUCGUGGACCUAAGUUGUGCAGCCAGUGUAUUAAAAAUGGGGUCACAUGUUCUCAACCAGAUGCCCCAUCAACAGUCUGGCUGCUGCAUUCUGCACCAGCCAGAGCUUCUGAACCAGGCCCAAGGGCCGCCCCAGAUAGAGCGCAUUAUAGUAAUCCAGCCCCCUUCAACUUCAUGUGAAUGCCUUGUUGCACUCAAGAGCAUCACAAUGGUAUAAUACUGAUUGGGGUGUGCUGAAAGAGGCCCUAGAGUUGCUGUGGAAACCAACCCCCCUUGACUUUACUUAUUGCCAUAAUUGCAAACAGCAAGGGAGGUGGAGAUGUCAGUGCAUUGCUAUAAGCAAUAUGUUGGAAAUCGAACCUGGUAUAAUCUUAACCCCCAUUUUUUAAAUAUGCUGACACUUGCGUGACUGAAAUCCUCUGCCCGGGUGCUUUGCUAAUGUCCCCCUUUUUUGCAUAGAAUAUUAUUAUAUAUGCAUAAUGUAGAUGGCAAAUAACCCUCGCCAGCAAUUGUGAGGAGAGUCAUAUUUCACAAUGUCACCAAUGAGUUAUAAUUUAGCUGGAGCGACGCUUGAGCCCUCAGAUUAGAUCAGUUGCUACAGAGAGAGAGAGAGAGAGAGAGAGAGAGGACAAGACCACAUGGCAGAAUGUGCCUGUGGCCUUCAUAGAGUUGUAGAGAUGGAAGAGACCCCAAGUCUCAUAUGGCCCUGAAAUGCAGGAAAGAAGCCCUUUGAGAAGGCAACCCAAAUUCUGCUUAAAAACCUCCAAGGAAGGAGACUUCACCACUCUUCAUGGUCUUCCAUUCCAUUGUCAAGCAGCUCUUUACCACCAGAAAGUUCUUCCUAAAGUUUAAUUGGAACUGCCUUUUCUUGUAAUUAGAAUCAGUUGGUUCAGAUGCCUUCAGAUCCAAGAUGGUGGCAGCUGAAGGUCCCAUGAGAGCUUCUGUUUGGAAAGGGCAGUUUUGUCCAUUCAGCAUCAGAAGACCACUUGGUUGCCUUUGGAUGGUGCCAUUUUGGCUGCAUGAAGACCAUGGGGAAAUAGGCUGCCUUAUACCGAGCCAGAUCCCUGGUCCAUCUAGCUAAGGAUUGUCUGCACUGACUGGGAGUAGCUCUCCGGGGUUAAGACUUAAGAGCUGCCUUAUCCCAAGUAAGUAAGUCAAUUCAAUAAAUAAAUAGAUCGCCAGGAACUAAUCUCAGCUGCGGAAAAAACAUGUUCCCCUCUUUAUUUUUGACUCUAUUGGGCACAAGAUUUUAACCUUAAUUAUUUACAAUUUUUGUUUAAACCACAAGAAAGAAGGGCUUUUUCGCUGGCUAUAGGUUCAAUUCUAAUCCUUCUAACCUCCUUUGGGGUAGGUUUGCGGGUAUGGCAGAAGGAGAUAGGAUCUACCUAUGCAAUGCCCACCUGGUGGAAACUCUAGCUCACAUGGCCCUUAAAUGUAAAAUGUAUGAUGAUCUCCGCCAACAAUUUCUAGACCAUCUAUGUAUUCCAACAUGGAAACCAGAGACAGAGGUUAUAUGCUUCUUAUUACAGGGGAGAGACCAGGAGCUCACCAAGACCGUAGCUAAGUCCCUCUAUUUGAUUUUUUGUCGCUGAAGUAUGCUACAGGAUCCUGCCCUUGCUGGAGACCCACAGAGAUGAAACAGAUUGCUCGCCUCUUCUUCCCUUUGGCAAAUGUCUGUACUAUUGAAAUGGCAACAAGAUCGCACUGGCCUAUUUAUUCUGAAUGUAUUCUGAAUGUUCCUAUGUGAUGCCAAUAAAGGUUACUUGACUUGAAUAAAUAAAUAAUAAUAAGAAGAAGACUAUUGGUCCAUCUUGCUCAGCAUUACCUACACAGACUGGCAGCAGUGCCCCAUGGUUUCACAGGAUCCUCUAUCUGAAUAUGCCAUUGGGGAUUGAACCCAGGACCUGCUGCAUGCACGGCACUGGACUCUGAGCUUGAGUGGGGCCUUCCCCAUUCAAACCUGAACUUCACAAAUAGUGUCCUGCUGGAUCAGUUCAAAGGACCACCUGCCCCAGCAUUCUGCCUCCAAGGGUGUUCAGUUAGGUCCCUCCAGGAAUCCUAGGAUCAGGAGAUGAAGGUGACCACCAACACUUGCUCAUUGUUCCCCAGUGGUAUCCACAGGCACACUGCCUCUGACCGAAGAGGUUCCACUUUAGCUACCACAGAUGUUAGAUCUACAGACAAGAAGAGCUACCUUCCGCCAUUCAGAAUAUAGCAGGUGUGUGUUUUGCUGCAGAACUGCACCAGUCCUUUCCCAUUGUAGUUUAAGGUUUGGGGGAGAAGUAGGAAGGGCACUUUGAACUUCACAUGUGGGUGUUUUUUUAAGGCUGGAAAUUGGGAUAAUGAGCCAAAGAUAAAUCCCCGUUAAUGCUAAUGGUGAGUUAUCUGUGGUUAAUUACCCCCGAGUGCUGGAUCUUCAAUCAUGUAAAGUGACUUUGUCAAGACCACGGGCAGUAGUAAGACUCCCCUUAACUUGCCUGAUGUCUUCACUUUGCCAGAGUUCAGCUGCCUGAUUAGAAAGAAAGUUUAAAACUAGCAGUCAGAAAUUCCACACCAAAGAAUUAGCAUAGAAUCAUACAGCCGGAAGGGACCCCAGGGCUAAACUUGUCCAGACCCUGCAAUGCAGAAAUCACUGCUAAAGAAUCCCUGACAGGUGGGCCUCCAUCCUAUGCUUAAAAACCUCCAGUGAAAGAGAGUCCAUCAACUUCCAAGGGAGUCCAUUCCACCGUUGAACAGCUCUUACCCUAGAAAGUUAUUUCUAAGGUUUAGAAUGCCAUUUGAAUCCAUUGGUUUGGGUCCUACCCUCCAGAGCAACAGACAACAAGCUUGCUCCAUCUCCCACGUGACAACCAGGGACAAACGAAGGUGUCGUGGCACCCAGGGCAGGGUGUCGCUACGUAGCUUGCAUGUGCGGCGCCUCUACGUACUACGCAUGCGCCGUAUGUAAUAAUAAUAAUGAUGAUGAUUUAUUAUUUGUACCCCGCCCAUCUGGCUGGGUUUCCCCAGCCACCCUGGGUGGCUUCCAACAAAGACCAAAAAUACACUAAGAUGUCACACAUUAAAAACUUCCCUGAUGUCUCCUGAAUGUCAGGUAGUUGUUUAUCUCUUUGGCAUCUGAUGGGAGGGCGUUCCACAGCGUGGGCGCCACUACCAAGAAGGCCCUCUGCCUGGUUCCCUGUAGCUUUGCUUCUCACAAUGAGGGAACUGCCAGAAGGCCCUCGGUGCUGGACCUUAGCAUCUGGGCGGAAUGAUGGGGGUGGAGACGCUCCUUCAGGUAUACUGGGCCGAGGCCGUUUAGGGCAUUAAAGGUCAACACCAACACUUUGAAUUGUGCUCUGAAACGUACUGGGAGCCAAUGCAGAUCUCUCAGGACCGGUAUUAUGUGGUCCCGGCAGCCACUCCCACUCACCAGUCUGGCUGCCGCAUUCUGAAUUAAUUGCAGUUUCUGGGUCACCUUCAAAGGUAGCCCCACAUAGAGCGCAUUGAAGUAGUCCAAGCAGGAGAUAACUAGAGCAUGCACCACUCUGGCGAGACAGUCCGCGGGCAGGUAGGGUCUCAGCCUGCGUACCAGGUGGAGCUGGUAGACAGCCGCCCUGGACACAGAAUUGACCUGCACCCCCAUGGACAGUUGUGAGUCCAAAAUGACUCCCAGGCUGUGCACCUGGUCCUUCAGGGGCACAGUUACCCCAUUCAGGAUCUGGAAGUCCCCCACACCAGCCUGCCCCUGUCCCCCAAGAACAGUACUUCCGUCUUGUCAGGAUUCAACCUCAAUCCAUUAGCUGCCAUCCAUCCUCCAACCACCUCCAACCUCACAUGCACUGUACAUAGCGGUUUGCCGGCGGCACCGCUCCAGCACUGUAUGGACGCUACUGGGAUCCUCUGCUUGUGGCUGCAGCCGCGAACGGAGGAUCCUCUACAGCCACUGCAAAGGAUCCUGGCACCGUUUGUACGGCGCUGUAGUGGUGCCGACGGCAAAACACAAUUACAGUGCAUGUGUGGCGUCGCUACAUACAGCAGAGGAUCCCAGCACUGGAGGCAAACCACUAUGUACAGCGCAUGUGCGGCAUCACUACGUAUGGCGCAUGCGCUGUAUGUAGUGACAAUGCACAUGCACUGUACAUAGCGGUUUGCCGCCGGUGCCGGGACCCUCUGUUCGUGGCUGCAGCCGCAAAUGGAGGAUCCUCCACAUGCGGCUGUGGCGACACGAUGGCUGUUCGCGCCACCACGGCGGGUCGCCUUCUUGUCACCCCUGCAGAUGUGGCACCGGGAGCGCACCACCCUCCCGCCCCACGUUGUGACGCCACUGGUGACAACCCUUCACAUAUUUGAAGGUGGCUCUCCUAUCACCUCUCAGUCUCCUCUUUUCCAUGUUAAACAUACCAAGAUCCUUCAACCAUUCCUCAUCCGGCUUGGUUUCCAGACCCUUGAUCAUCUUGGUCGCCCUCCUCUGCACACGUACCAACUACCCAAUAUCCUCCUUCAACAGUGGUGUCCAGAGCUGGACACAGUAUCCCAGGUGUGGUGUGACAGAGACUAGAGGUUCAUCCGUAAGGGAUUUUUGUUUAGCUGUGAUUCUUGCAUCGCAGGGGGUGGCACUGGAUAAUCCUUGGAGUCCCUUCCAGCUCUCUAAUUCUCUGAUUCCUUUCUGUAAGCUGAUUUCAUCUCAUAACACAUUCUCACCCAAAGAGCCCCUAGCAUCCAACAAUCUUCAAAACACAGAAUGUUAUUGCAGCAUUAAAACGUGCGUUUAUAGUGCCCCAUAAAAAAUAAUGCUUAUAAAAUGGAUUCGAAAGAUAUAUUUUAUCUUUGGCACAUCUUUCAAAUAUACAGCUGAAAUAAAGCCUUAUUUAGUCUUGGCUGCUUAACAGGAAGAUGGAGGUGGGGGCAGGGGGCAGAAUGAAUGAAGGAUUUUGUGUUCUACUUCUGGGCUCCCUUGAGGCAACCGACCAGUCAUGUGCACUCAGUUAGCUGGGCCUAAUUAGGGGCUGAUCCACCAAGACUAUUCUAUUUCAUUUUUCAUUUUAUUUUUUGCAUUUAUGAAUGUAUUUGAUGCAUUUAUAUCCCACCUUUCUUCCAAUAAUAAUAAAAAUAAUAAUUUAUUAUUUGUACCCCGCCCAACUGGCUGGGUUUCCCCAGCCUCUCUGGGCAGCUUCCAACAAAAUAUUAAAAUACCGUAAUAGAUCAAACAUUAAAAGCUUCCCAAAACAGGGCUGCCUUCAGAUGUCUUCUAAAAGUUUGGUAGUUGUUCUUCUCUUUGACAUCUGGUGGGAGGGCAUUCCACAGGGUGGGUGCCACUACCGAGAAGGCCCUCUGCCUGGUUCCCUGUAACUUGGCUUCUCACAGUGAGGGAACCGCCAGAAGGCCCUUGGCGCUGGACCUCAGUGUCUGGGUAGGAUGAUGGGGGUGGAGAUGCUCCUUCAGGUAUACUGGGCCGAGGCCGUUUAGGGCUUUAAAGGUCAACACCUUUAAAGAUCAACAGCUUCCAAGAUGCUCAGGGCCGUACACAUUGUUCCCCCCAACCUCAUUUAAUUCCUACAGCAGCCCUGUGAGGUAGAUUGGGCUGAGACCCAGUGACUGGCCUAAGGUCACCCAGUGAGUUUCAUGGCCAAGUGGAGAUUUGAAACCUGUUCUCCCAGGUCCUAGUCCAAUGCUCUUACCACUGCAACAGAUUGGCCAGCCCACCGCAACUCCUGCUCAUGAGAAGGAUGCCUAGCAACUAUCUAAACCAGCCUUUCUCAACCUGUGGGUCCCCAGACGUUGUUGAACUACAACUCCCAUCACCCCUAGCUAGCAAGGCCAGAGCUCAGGGAUGAUGAGAGUUGUAGUCCAACAACAUCUGGGGGCCCACAGGUUGAGAACCACAUUCUAAACACUCUCAUUGAUGUCUCUGGUAUCUUCUUUUUUCACACCAUGGGAAUAGGGACCCCGAUCACAAGUCAAAAAGAGUUGGGCGCAGCAAUGCCAAAGUCUAAAGCUGCAGCAUCUAAUCUUAUACACCGUCUUUGAAGUGUAUGGAAUUAAAUGUGCUCUUUGCCGUUCUUGGACAACCCUUCUUCAAAGCGAACUCUAUAUUUUCAUAUGGAAAAGGAGCAGGUGCCACUGCCAAGUCUAUUUCCUGAGGAGCAAGACCUAGCUAUUUAGCAACAUGAAAUAAUCCUAGAUACAGGAGAGGAUGGUAGGGUUUGCUGGAACAAGUCGGCCCGUUCACAUGCUAAAGUGUGGUUAAUUUAAAGCAGGAGCUUUCAAUCUUGUGGCUGUGUCUGCAUGCAGGCAAGUUGGAAGUGAUCUUCUCAGUAUAGCACAGGGGACUAUCAAGUACAAAAUCUUGCGGAAGAAAUACUGUGUGGCUGGUAUGGGUCAACUUUUCACAAUGGUAGUUUAUGGAUCUGUUUGUGACCUUUCUUCCAAGGGGCUCAAGGUGAUGUCCAUGUUUCUCUUUCUCCCCAUCUUCUCCUCCCAAGAACCCUGUGAGGCUUGUUAGGCUGAGACUGACUGGCCCAGUGAGCCUCAUGGCUGAGUGGGGAUUUUAACUCUAUUCUCCUAGCUCCUAGUCCAGCAUUCAAACCACUAGGACACACGGUCUCAGAGGAGCUUUGUGAAUAAAUCCAUAUGGUUUGAAUGGAAGCCCAGAGCUGGAGGGACAGUGCCCAUGUGGCAAGAUGUAGCCAACCCACCACAACUCCUACUUGUGAGAAGGAUGCUUAGCAACAAUCUAAAUUAGCUCGUCAGUGUCUCUGGCACUUCCUCCCCCCACCACCAUGUAAAUAGGAACCCUGAUCACAAGCCAGAAAGAGUUGGGGCAGCAACAUCGAACUCUAAAGUUGCUCAGGUCAAGCUGAACCAGUGCUGAAGCAACGUCUAAUGUUGCUCUGCUGAUCUGCUUGGACAGCUCACCUGCUAUCCGGCACCUUCUGAAGUUUGAUUCGCUGGACAGCUCCUGGUAAGCGGGAUACAGUGGUACCUUGGGUUAAGAACUUAAUUCAUUCUGGAGGUCUGUUCUUAACCUGAAACUGUUCUUAACCAGAGGUACCACUUUAGCUAAUGGGGCCUCCUGCUGCCGCCGCGCCACCGGAGCACGAUUUCUGUUCUCAUCCUGAAGCAAAGUUCUUAGCCUGAGGUACCACUGUGGGUUACAGGGGUGGUAGUAUUCCAAACAGCUUGGAGGGCAAUUUAUUUCUGCCCUGCCAAUCCCCUCUUUCAGUCGCCACUUAGUCUCCUGUAAAGGGAGGGAUGGAGAUGGGCAGGAGCAAAGGAGAACUGCGGUCUGUUCCCUCUCUCCAUUUCCUCAUUAAUCUUGAUUACAGAGCCCUGGUGCUGAAGUUAAUUUUCUUGUAGAUUCCUAUCAGUCAUGUUAGCUGGGAAUCUCUCUCCAGCUAAUGAGGAAAUCGUAUUCCUUGCUACUUUAUUAUGCCGCUAAUUAGUGCACAGGAUUCAGGCAAAUGGGCCAGGAGGAAGAAAGAGGGGGCGGGCGGGGAUGAGAUUUUGUGCUGGUUUAGAGGGGACAUCUCUCUCUCUCCCGCAGUUUUUGACCUGACUCUGGGCUGCAAGGGCAGAUGUUUUGUGUGACCUGCAGUACCUAUGCCAUGGCUGACCCCCAGGACUUGCUAGGGACCGGCCUCUGAAGUUUGGGGGGUGGGCUGGAAUCACAGGUUCAACUGUCUGGACCUUUUGUAGCAGGAAAGGCAAAUUCCAUGCUGAAGAUCUUUAGGAAAGGAAUUGAGAGUAAAACUGCCAAUAUACUAAUGCUGAAAAUCUAUGUUGUGACCACAUUUGGAAUCCCAUUUACUAGUUCUGGUCGCCUUUCCUUACAAAGGAUACUGUAGAGUUGGAAAAGGCUCAGAAACAGGCAGCCAAAAUGAUACAGAAAGGAUGGAGCAGUUCCCUUAAGAAGAAAGGAUGUGGCAAUUGGCACUUUUUAGAUUCAAGAAAAGACAGAUAAGAGGCAACAAGGUAGAAGUUUAUAAAAUGAUGGUGGCAUGGAGACAGGGCCGUCUUUAGCACAUAAUAAUAAUAAUAAUAAUAACAAUAAAUUUUUUGGGGGGGUGAACGCAAAGUUGUUGAGCGUUUUUUUGGGGGGGGGGGAGCUAACGAUGCAGUGGAAAUAUCUGCUUUUGUUUCCUGACUCGUCGGGAAUAUUUGAUGCAAUGGAGUAACAGAGCGACAGAGGAGGCUGGUGGGGACUUUCGCUCCAUUGUUUUUCACUGCCACCGAUACAUUUGGCGCCCCCCAGAAUUCAGCGCCCGGGAGCACUGCAACCCUUGCACCCCCGGGUAAAGAUGGCCCUGCAAGGAGGAAAGAGAUAGAGAAGAAGUUUCUCUCUCACACACAUGCAACACUAAAACUGGUGGAUACAGAAUGAAUGUUGGAAGAUUCAGGGCAGAUAAAACUAGGUUAGUUGUGUUGGCUAUUUGCAGUAUGGUAGCGCUGCAGAGAGCUUGCUGGGGAGACCAUGCAUUAAAAAGGGACUCAAAAAUAACUUAAACAAGGUUUUAAUUACAAAAACUAAAACACUAAAUACAUUAACAAACAAACAUGACCCAACCACCAACCCAUCCCCCAGGGUAAUGGGAGAGCUAGGUGCUGCUCCUUAUAUACUACACCCAAUUACCAACACAGCUUAAUCAAUACAACUCAGCAGCACCUGCUAUGUUUCACAGCUGUAAAGCUGGGUCUCGUUAUCUUGCUCUGGCCCUUGCUCUGGCCCCUUAAAGACAUACACAUCGGGUGGAACAGUGAUGAACCUUUACAUUUAAAGAAACCAUUCAACAAGUUGAACUAUGGAACUCAUUGCCACAGGAGCCAGUGAUGCCCACCAACAUGGAUGGUGUUAAAAGAGGAUUGGGCAAGUUCAUGGAAGAGAGGCCUAUUGGCAGCUACUAACCAUAAUACCUAUGUUCUGCCCCUCACAGUUGGAGGCAGCAGUGGCUCCGAAUACUAGUUGCUGGAAAUCGCAGGAGGGGAGAAAGUCCUCUUGUACUCCAGUCCUGCUUUCGGGUUUCCCACAGGCAUCUGGUUGGCCACUGUGAGAAUAGGAUGCAGGACACGAUGGGCCACUGGCUUGACCCAAAAUAAUAAUAAUAAUAAUAAUAAUAAUAAUAAUAAUAAUAAUAAAUUUAUUUAUACCCCAGCCAUCUGGCGGGAUAUAAAUAAAUACAGUAAUGCAUCAAACAUUAAAAGCUUCCCCAAACAGGGCUGCCUUCAGAUGUCUUCUAAAAGUUUGGUAGUUGUUGUUCUCUUUGACAUCUGGUGGGAGGGCAUUCCACAGGGUGGGUGCCACUACCGAGAAGGCCCUCUGCCUGGUUCCCUGCAGCUUUGCUUCUUGCAGCGAGGGAACUGGCAGAAGGCCCUCGGCGCAGACCUCAGUGUCCGGGCAGAACGAUGGGGGUGGAGAUGCUCCUUCAGGUAUACAGGACCAAGGCCGUUUAGGUCUUUAAAGGUCAGCACCAACACUUUGAAUUGUGCUUGGAAACCCUUGCUUGUAGAGGUAGAAGGGGGCUAUCAAGUCCAACCCUCUGCAGUGCGAUUCAACCCCUGGCCUUUUUUCUUUCUCGCAGGAGAAAGAUCUGUGAAUGGAGGAGGAGACUGAAAUGGAUGCAACACCCAACUCCUUUGUGAGUGCAAUCUUCAGGAUCUCAAAAUGCUUUAUCCUGCAACUUUUAACACAUAACUUGACUCACACCGUUCAGUGUAUUUCUAACUUCCCAAAGUAUUAAAUACCUUACUUUUCUUUUUAACAAUGAUUUUGCAUAUAGAUCCAGCGUAGGGAGUGGAACUGUGAGUUACUGCUUCUCAUGGUACUUACAUACAUAUUCACGCUUGUCAACCGGGAGAAUAGGAAUCGAAUAGAACCUGGUGAUCGAAACCAUCAACAUUGUGGUAAACAGAGCGAAGGUUUUAUUGGGUUUCAAAAUGAUAUGUAGGUUAGGGGUGGAUGAACUUGUCACUUACAGUUUCUCUCAAUUUCUCAUUUCCCCCCACAUCUUAGAAUCAUAGAAUUGGAGACUUGGAAGGGACCCAAAGAGUCAUAGAGUCUGACCCCCUGCGACGAAGGAAUCACAGCUAAGCUCAGUUCCCUUCCUUUCCACAUCGGUUUGCAAUUUAUUUAAUUCUUUCAAGUCCCCGUGAAAAUUCACCAGCACUUCAGCAAAAAUUUACCCUUACACCCAUGUUUCUAGGCAAUUUUUCCCAAUGCACGCCCAUUUCGCAAAGCCAUUAUCACAAAUAGAAAAACACUUUGACUGUUGUUUUCAGGCUAUAUGUAUUUUUAAUGCAUGCCUUGUCCCAGUGUAUACGUUUUCCCCUUUUGACACAUUAUUUGGCUGUAGUGCUACAUUGAAAAAUUUGGAGAAGAGCAGAUCUCAAAGGAUGGAUCUGUUUAGGCUUUCUUGUCAUUCCAGAAAGUGAAAAUUGGGUAAAGGUAAAGGGACCCCUGACCAUUAGGUCCAGUCAUGGCCAACUCUGGGAUUGCGGUGCUCAUCUUGCUUUAUUGGCCGAGGGAGCUGCCGUACAGCUUCCGGGUCAUGUGGCCAGCAUGACUAAGCCACUUCUGGCGAACCAGAGCAGCGCAUGGAAACGCCAUUUACCUUCCCGCCGGAGUGGUACCUAUUUAUCUACUUGCACUUUGAUGUGCUUUCGAACUGCUAGGUUGGCAGAAGCAGGGACCGAGCAAUGGGAGCUCACCCCGUCGCGGGGAUUUGAACCACCGACAUUCUGAUCGGCAAGUCCUCAGCUCUGUGGUUUAACCCACAGCGCCACACGGGUAGGUUUGCCUUCAAAUGAGAACUAGAUCAAAUUUUUCUGCCAUCUCUAAUGCAGGCCUCAGCAUUAUCGUAUACUGAGAAAAUAAAUUUGCCUUUUUGACUCCUGACUUCAACAAAGGUUCAUGGGAAGCUGCUACACCGUGUUGAACCAUUGAUCCAUCUCUCUCAGUAUUGUCUCCAUUGGCAGCAGGGUUUUGGGGAGCUACCUGGAGAUGCUGGUGACAAAACCUGGGAUUUUCUGCAUGCAUAGCAGGUGCUCUACCCCUGAGCUAUGGCUCUUCCAGAAAGGAUACUUGAUUUGUUAAGGCAGCUAGAUCCUCUGUUCUUCUUCCCUCCAUACCUCCCUCCUUCCUUCCCUCCCUCCCUCCUUUCUUCCAUGGCCUGCGCUGCUGACUCCCUUCCACCAGAACAUUCCGCUCGCCCCAAAUUAAAAACCAAGCAGAACAAUGAAUCCAGACACCUCAUACAAACAGCAAUCUUUCCCGUCUGACAAUUUACAUCGCUUACUGUCUCUUUUAAUGCCCUUCAACCGCCUCGAAGUCCCUUUCGGUUCCUUUCCAGCAUGCCGCCUUACCUUACAAUAGUCCAUCCAAGAAGACGUCAGAACAAUUUCACUGCUGGGAGAAGAACAGAAGCAAAACCCAAACGACCCUAAAUCCAUUUUCAAAUGGUUCAAGAGAAGAAAGCAAAUGAAAUCCCCUCUGUCUGCUUGGCAGAUGGAUUUGGAAGCCUCGAAUGGAAAAAGCAAAUAUCUGAAACGGUGUGAGACAACUACAACUUCCUCCUCUUCCUGAAGAACAAGAUGGUGAAAAGGAAGUCUUCCUUUCUACUCUCUGGCCUUCUCUUACUCUACCAAAUUACUCCUUCUGAAAGCGUAUUUCCUCUAUUUCCCCUUUGUUCUUCUGCCUCACAUCCUAGUAUUGCAUAAACAGUAUUUCAUUUAUUGAUUAUUAAUUAUAUUAAUUGCAUUUACAUUCCACCUUUUUCUUCAAGGAGCUCAAGGUGGCGCUCAUGGUUCUCCCCUCUCCUCAUGUAAACAUCACAACAAUCCUGGGAGGUAGGUUAGGCUGAAAGAGGCAGUGAAUGGCCCAAGGUCAGUGAGCCUCAUAGCUGAGUGGGGAUUUGAGCCCUAGUCUCCCAGGUCCUAGUCUAACCCUCUAACCACUAUGCCACUCUGGCUCUUCAAAGGUUUAAUUUAGGACUUCACCCAGUCUUAAUGUCCUCUUGCAGUUUUCAGUUGCAUCCGUUCCCCUCAUCACAACCCCAUAAUACAUGGAGGGUGACUCGGGCAAGGGAGCAUGGGAUGUCAAUCUCUUUGGGACCCCCUGAUAUGGAAGCCAGAGCUUCAUCCCCGUCUGCAGAGUCAGAGGAGGAGCCCUCAGCCACCCAAUCCUCUCCUUAGCUUUGCAGAUGCUUGACAAUGCAAAAUCAGGGAAUGACCCUUUAAGAAAUAUAGCAAAAUUUUCCAAAAGGGUCCAGCCUACAGCCAAACAGGACUUAUCUGCUUUUAGGAGCCUUCAGAUGGAACUAGCUCCUUGCUGGGACAAUAUCUCCUUUUAUCUAAUGAGGGGAGUCAUUGGGAGCUAUCCAAGGUGCUGAAAGGCUUUCCUGAAACCGUGACUUACAAUUCCAGCAACUGGUGUUGCUUGUGACAGCGAAGGUAGAACAUAGUCAUCAUGGCUCGUAGACACCAACAGCCUUCACCUCCAUGAAUUUUCCAACCCCCUGAUAACAAAUGAGGAGGAGGUUAGGCCAGCCUUUGUACGGCUGCCAAUCAAAUUGUACCAUAAGAACUUAAGAAGAGCCUGCUGGAACAGGUCAAUGGCCCAUCUAGUCCAGCCUCCUGUUCUCACAGGGGCCAACCAGAAGUUCUAGAAAGCUGGCAAGCAGGACCUGGGCACAACAGCAGUGCUCUCCCCGGUUGUGAAUCCAGCAACUGGUCUUCAGCAGCGUUCUGCCUCCAACAGUGAAGGUAGAACAUAGACAUUGCUAGUUGUGCCAUAAACCCAAUUUAAGUUGGCACCAGAAUGUUCAUCCAGCCUGUGUGAUGCAUCUUGUGCGCAUCCUGCCACCUGAUCUCUCCAGGAGAGCCCUUUCAGCUGCUCAUGUCCCUCUGUGUCUAAGUGAGAUGCAGAAAAAGAGAGUAUUUUCAUCCUUCCCCGGCUCUCUAUGUGUGUUUAUAAUGUAUGUCAUUGGAGCUUAAAUAAUGAUCUAAAAAAGACUUGUUUAUCAGGCAGAUUCCCCUGAAAUCAUAAAAGCAUUAAUAACGUCAUGUGUUCCCAAGCAAGCUGGCGCAUUAACAUCCUUUUAAAGGACAGCAUGACUUUCCGAGGGCGAAAACCUCCCUUUCUUGUGCGUCUUUAAUUCUGAGUCAGUUCCAAAAGCCAAAUGUUUUCUUCUUCUUUUGCUUCUUCCAUCUCCCUGUUAGUUGCCGGAGAUUUUAGCCUCUUCUCUUCCCCCCCCCCUCCCCAUCUGCCAUGAAGCCUUUUUGGCAAAUGAACUUGUGAGCGAUGGAGAAAAAAUGGAGAGGACUGGAGAGGAGGGGGGGUGGGUGGGAGAGAGAGGGAAAGAUGAGAGACUGGGAGGGGGGAAAUAAAUAGGAGCAGUUUGGAAAGUGUCCAUUUUAUUCUCAGAGGUGUAGUCAAGAUAUAAUUUCUAUUGAUCUGUAAUAGUGUGUGUGUGCAUGCGGGGGUGUCUCCAAGACAGAUAAACACCCAGCUGGGUAAGGAGUGAGAAAAAGAGAGGGUGUAAUAAUAGAGAAAUCGAGCGGAGCAGAUGAAUUGGUAUAGGGCAGGAGAGAAAAGAGGAUGUUUGAUGGAGGAGGCCAUACUGUGCCUGAAUGCUCCUACCUGCCAAAAGGAGCUCAACUAGGCGUCCUUAAUAAUAGUUCUGCUUCCAAUGUGGGCCAGAGAUAGAGACUUGUGUUUCUUGCGUGCGUGUGUUUUCAGUUUCAAAUGGGGGAGAGGCGGUAUGUUUGUUCAGCAAGCUUGAGGGGGAGUGCAAACCAUUGCUGCUAGAGCAGCUGUGAGGCCUGUUUAUCAAAGCCCCAUUGAAGCACAGAAUGUCACCUGUAGCCUAGGCUGGAGGAGUGCAAACCAUUGCUGCUAGAGCAGCUGUGAUGCCUGUUUAUCAAAGCCCCGUUGAAGCACAGAAUGUCACCUGUAGCCUAGGCUGGAGGAGUGCAAACCAUUGCUGCUAGAGCAGCUGUGAAACACGUCAAUCAAAUCAAUAGUGAAAUGCAUGGUGUCACCUGUAAGGUGGGCUAGGGGAAUACAGGACACUGCUGUUAGAGCAGCUGAGAAGCAAGUUUACCAAAGCGACCUGUAAAAUGUGUUUCACCCCCUUUAAGGUGGAAAGCCAUCCAAAGCACCCAGAUGCUUUAAAAAAAAGUUUCCCCCAUUGUAUGUUACAAGUUGACAUAUCCAGACACUUGUAUACAGCCCCAAAGCAAAACCUUCCAGCAGCUGGUAUUCAGGAGCCUACUGCCUCCAACAGUGAAGAAAAGAACAUAGCCAUGGCUAGUAGCUUUCAAUAGCCCUAUCAUCAAUGAAUUGGUCUCAUCCUUUUUUAAAGCCAUCCAAGUUGGCGGCCAUCACUGCCUCCUGUGGUCGGGAGUUCCACAGUUUAACUGUGCACUCCACAAAGGACUUCCUUUUAUCUGCCCUGAGUAUUCCCACAUUCAACUUCAUUGGAUUCCCAUAAGUUCUAGUGCUGUGAGAGAGAGGGAGAAAGAGAGAGAGAGACUGACUUUUCUGUAUCUACUCUAUCCAUAAUGGGUUAUCAUAUAAUGCAUGGCAUGGAGAUUGUCACACAUAAUUCGAUAAACUUCGAUCCUGUUGCCUCUCACUUGCCUUUUCUCUAAACUUUGUUCAGUUUCUAUGUUCAAUUCUACUUUUACCCAAUGGCAAUGAGCCUCCGGAGGCAACGCGGGCUGCCAAGCAGGUACGCGGUGUAACUUUCCUUAGUUAUAUCCAAAGUUGGUUUGGUGUGUGUGUGUUGUUUCAUUUCAUCUUGUAUAACAGACGCACUUGGGGGGGGGGAUUUAGCUCCGCGUGGAGCAGCCCGGCUGGCAAAGAUGGAGUAGGUGGAAUUUAAAUACCUGCCAAUUUGCAAAACCAGUGCCCCGGGACACUGGAGACAAUGCUUAGGCAAAGCUGGGUAGUUUUUAUCACUGUUAAUAACAUUCUGGAGCUCGGAAGGCACAAAACGGUGAUAUGGAGCAUCACAUCUUCCACCGAGAGGGAGGCUGUUCCUGUGCUGGGGCUGAGGAGGAAGCGGCAGGCUCUGGUUCCAGGUUGUUGAGUUUGGUUGCUCUGCUUUUUCUAUAUAUAUAUGAAAUUCUUUCCUCUCCCAAGAAUUCUGCCUAGGAUGCACUUCGUCCUCAUCCAAUAUUUAACUUCGUUCUGUCACAAUUCAACCCCUCUGUCAAAGAAUAAAGACUCAUCAAAAUGCUUUAGAUGUGUCCUGUCUCUCUCGCCCAUCUCUCCUCCUUGCUGUUAGGCCAGGGAUAAGAAUGAGGACCUGCCGGGUCUCUGUGUGGCCCCUGAAACUCUAUCAAAGACACAUUAAAAUUCUCUGAAGGUGUCCUGUCUCUUUUGCUUGUUUCUGCCGUGGUGCCCGCCAUUUUUCCUCUCUGCACAACACAUCAUAUGGGGGAUUCUGGGAAGGAAAAAUGGUGGGCGCCAUGACUGCAAGCAGCUCCUGAAGCCAGCCAGAGCCAACUGUGCUCUGGGCUGUUGACUGCUACUGCCGCCACUGCCGAAGGGGAACCGGGGACAUCCGGCGGUACAGAUCUCCUGCCCCCUUCCUCCUUUGUUUUGACUGAUCGGGGGAGGCUUGGGUUGCGAGCAGGUGACCGUUGCCCAGUUUUUUUAAAAAAAACUCGGCGCAUUUAUGUUUCACAGGGUGCGGAAGAAGGGCUUUGCACCUUUAUACAAUAUGCUUGUGUUCUUGGGCCCAGAGUCUUUUGCCUCACCAUCUCUACUACUGACUCCCUGUUGCUACUCAGCUUCAAAAAAUAAAAAUAAAAGUAUCCCCGGAUUCAUUGAAAAAAAUCUGGUAACCAUAUCCUAGCCCCCAUCGAUUCCCCACAAGCCCCCAGCUAUGCUGCCUCAAGGACAGUUGGUAGACCACCUGCUAUCUUGCAGGUUGCAGGAUAAUUCCCUGCAGCAUUUCCAGGUAGGGUUAAGAGAAAUCCUGGCCUGAAACCUCAGAGGGCCUUUGCUGCCCAGCAGUGUAGACAACCAUGUCUUCCUAUGUCCCCAAUACUGGGAGGGAGGGAGGGAGGGAGAAGUAUGGUGCCCUCUAGUGUAAUGGAAGGGAACAGUAUUGUGCAACAACACCCCCUGUGAUUGGCUGGCAAUGCAGAUACUUUGUCUUAGUCACAUGUGAUGUAUAAAUGCUAGACUCUGUACCUGUUGCUCCUUUUGCAGAUCAAAGAGCAGCAUCUUCCUGAGACUUCGGCCAUUGGCCGGGACAGGGUUUGUGAAAUAUAAAGUCUCUCUUGGCGGUGCUUCAGCUAGAAAAUUCCUACCUGGGUCUAUGCAUGUGUGGUCUGCUGCCUUCCCAUGAGAUCUCCAGUUCUGCGUGUGCAAAAGCCACUUGACCUCAAAUGAACCUUGAGUCAAUUACAACUAUUAUUUUCACCCCUGUGCGUGGCUCCUUACUUCUGGCGGGGUUGUGUUGACUCUUAGAAACGCACAUCCAGAAGAUACAAGGAAGCACCACACUGACCAAAGGGGUUUCGCCGUAGCGCGAUUGCAUCUGCCGUCGAAUAAACUGCUACAUGAUUACCAUACAGCCUUUGGCACUGGCCUUCGGCAUUGUCAAGGAACUGUCAAGCAAGCCCAGGUCAUCCACAGGGCAGUGAAACAUGGGAGGCACAGAACGCAAUUAGCUUUUUAUUAACAGAAAAUAACAACACAACAGAGUCCUCUGGCUCAUCUUCAUUCAGCUGAGACGUUGCUGAAACUGACCCUUCCCUGCUCUAACCACUCAUUCUGGAUCCCUCCCAAGCAACAUGCGGGACUGUCCUCGAGCAGGGUGUCAGACUGGGAGGAGAGCCAGCAGGACUUGGACUCCCCUGCUGCUGGGUCGCAAGGGCAACCUCUGACUCCUCUCUGUCCGAGUUUGCACUCACACUGUCACUCUCAGCCUCGAACCCUGUCCUGGAAGGCUAUCCUUCUCUUGCCCUCCCUUGAUUGCUCAAACCCCCUGCUUCUAGCACCCCCCAGCCUGUCCCACCACCAGGAUCCAGGAUCUAAGUCAUCUUCUAUGCCCUCCGGCGGGGGGGCUUUUGGGCACGCAGCUCCCCCUGUUGUUGUUGUUUAGUCGUUUAGUCGUGUCCGCCUCUUCGUGACCCCAUGGACCAGAGCACGCCAGGCACUCCUGUCUUCCACUGCCUCCUGCAGUUUGCUCAAACUCAUGCUGGUAGCUUCGAGAACACUGUCCAACCAUCUCGUCCUCUGUCAUCCCCUUCUCCUUGUGCCCUCCAUCUUUCCCAACAUCAGGGUCUUUUCCAGGGAGUCUUUUCUUUUCAUGAGGUGGCCAAAGUAUUGGAGCCUCAGCUUCAGGAUCUGUCCUUCCAGUGAGCACUCAGGGCUGAUCUCCUUCAGAAUCCCCUUCAUGGAUCACUGCCUUGCCGUGGCAAAGGGGCUUGAAUAACUCAGAGAAGCUAUGAACUGUGCCCUGCAGGGCACCCAAGAUGGACAGGUCAUAGUGGAGUUUUAACCAAAUGUGAUCCACCUGGAGCAGGAACUGGCAAGCCACUCCAGUAUCCCUGCCAAGAAAACUCCAUGGACAAAGACAACAGGUGGCUCCCCCUACUCUUCCUCAUCCAGCUAGUCCAUCUGCAGAGACAGUUCAUCUGGAGGUUAGCAGGGGAAAGGGUCAGAAAACCCCAUCUUGUGCAAAUGGAGCAUGGAGAGCCAAUUGAUUCUUCUCUCCGGCCACACUCUUCUCAAUAUAUGAAGAUGGUUUGUGGCUUGCUUCUGUAUCGCAAUUGCCGCUUGCUGGGUUUUGAAGCAGGGGUGGCAGUGGAGGCCAGGGGAAACUGACCACAGGGAUGGGGAACCUCUGGAAGCUGGAGGGCAGGGAGGGGCAAAAAUAGCCAUGCAAACUCUCCUUAUGACCCCCAGAACUCCGACCAGACCACACUCCUCACUGGGCAGAUGCACAGUUUUUAACCAUUCAAGGAAUUAUGGUUAAGGCUGGAUACAAAGUCCUACAGAGUAGACCCACUGAAAUUAAUGGCCUUAAGUAGGUCGUGGCAUUAAUGCAGGGGUCAGCAAACGUUUUCAGCAGGGGGCUGGUCCAGUGUCCUUCAGAACUUGUGGGGGGCCAGACUAUUUUUGGGCGCGGGGGAAUGAACCAAUUCCUAUGCCCCACAAAUAACCCAGAGUUGCAUUUUAAAUAUAAAAACACAUUCUACUCAUGUAAAAACACCAGGCAGACCCCACAAAUAACCCAGAGGUGCAUUUUAAAUAAAAGGGCACAUUCUACUCAUGUAAAAACAUGCUGAUUCCCGGACCGUCCGCGGGCCGGAUUUAGAAUGUGAUUGGGCCGGAUCUGGCCCCCAGGCCUUAGUUUGCCUACCCAUGCAUGAAUUCAAAUGGGUUCUGGAUACUUGCACCUUACUCCCUACCCCCUCCCCCCCACUACAGAAUACCUGCAGGAUUCAGGAGCAACGAGGGAUGGAAAAGAAGUGGGACUCUUGCUAAGCAUAGAAGGGAGAGUGUGGAACCCUCAAGCAGGUUCUAAACAUAAGAUCUCCCCUCCUGUGGCUAGUAGCCAUCAAUAUCCCUCUCCUCUGUGAAUUUCCUCAUUCCCUUUUAAAGCUGAUGGCCAUCGCUGUCUCCUGCGGAAAGGAGUUCCACAGCUCAUCAGCGCACAGUUUGAAGAAGGACUUUUUGAACCGCCCAACCUUCGGUUUCAUUGGAUGCCCACAAAUCCUAGUGUCACAGCAUCCGAUUGGCUGCUCUGGGAUACAGGAUUGGCAAUAUCUGGCUUAUUUCUCACCGGGAGACAGAGCUGGAAAAGCUACUGUAGCUCUGGAUUUCCAAGCUGCCUUUUCGUUUCACCGGCUUUCCCCAGACAUUAAUUUAAAGCAAUUUAAUUGGGGGAAAUCGUUUUAAUUGGAAUGUCUUCCCUGACCACAGGCAGUGGAGGAGAUAACCACAGGUGAUGGCAGCCAGGCCUCUGCUUGUGCAUUACAGCGCCCUCUAGUGCCUGUAGGCUCAUGUUUAGCUGUGUGCCUGGGGCCUGUACGGUGCACAGAUGGUGAGUUUCCCUGAUGCCCUUGGCAAAGGAGCAUCUGAAGGCCGUAAUACCUGCUUCUUACCAGCUCUCAGCAGUGGAAGUAAGAUGUUACCAGCUGGAACAGACCAAAGAUCUAUCUAUUCCAGCAUGGUGCUUCCUAGAGCGUCCAAUCAAAUGCUUCCCAAAAAGAAUUUGAAAGUGGGGCUUGAAGAUAAGAGCCCCUCCUCAUUAUAUCUCCCCCAGCAUCCAGUAUCAGGAGGUCAGCUUCUUAAUCGUACGGAGCUUCUGUUCCUGUCAUAGCUAAUAAGGAUGUCAGACGCUGAAUUUGGAAGAUUGAGGACAGAAAUAAGGAAUUACUGCUUGGUCUCAGGUGGCACAAUGGGUCAGUGUGUCUGGCUCUUAGCCAGAAGUUUGGUGGUUUGAGGCCACCCAGGGCAGGAUUCCUCCGGAUCCUUUUCAGCUCUACACUUCUAUGAUUCUAUGAUUCUACCUCUUUGCGCAGCACAGAGUUAAACUAUGGCACUCACUCCCACAGUAUAUGGAGCUUCUGUUGCUGUUACUGGGAUUUCAAAGGCAGAAAUGAUGUCCAGGGGGAAUCAACAACUUUGGGGUUCCCUGGGUUUUUACUUUUUGAACUAUGGCAACCCUAGCUAAUAAGGACACGGAAAGGUGAAUGUUGCAAGAUCCAUGGCAUACCUAUUUGCGCAGCACAGAGUUAAACUAUGGAACUCACUCCUGCAGGAGGCAGUGACGGCCACCAAGUUGGGUGGCUUGGGCAGAUUCAUGGUGGAGAGGGCUCUCAGUGACUACUAGCCACAAUGGCUAUGCUCUGCCUCCAUGGUCAGAUCCAGUCAUGCUUCUGAAUACCAAUUGCUGGAAACCACAGGAAGGGAGGAGGCUCCUGUGACCUGAUCCAGCCGGGCAUUGAUAUAGUCCAUGGGUACACAAACUAAGGCCUGGGGGCUGGAACUGGCCCAAUCGCCUUCUAAAUCUGGCCCACGGACAGUCUGGGAAUCAUCGUGUUUUUACAUGAGUAGAAUGUGGCCUUUUAUUUAAACUGCAUCUCUGGGUUAUUUAUGGCGCAUAGGAAUUCGUUCAUUUCCACCCCCCACCCCCCAAAAAUAUAGUCCCAUCCCCCCACAAGGUCUGAGGGACAGUGGACCAGCUCCCUGCUGAAAAAGUUUGCUGACCCCUGAUAUAGUCCUUUCCAAUGUUCAAAGUGUUUCAAAGGCCUUUCUCUGGCUCCCGGUUCUUACAAAUACUCUUUAACCUGGCUUUUGACACUUGGGGUGUUUAUUUUUAGGCUCUACCUUAUUUCUGUGAUUGUAUGUUGUUUUAAAAUGUUUCUCGCAUUAUGUUGUAAUUGCUUUAACCAACCCAGAGACCUUUGAGUGAAUGAGGGGUGAUAAGUGAUGAUGAUGAUGAUGAUGAUGAUGACACAACCUUGUAAGGUUAUUAUACCCAUUUUGCAGUUGGGAAGACUGAGAAAAUGAGAGAGAGAAAGAGAGAGAGAGAGAGAGAGAGAGAACAGAACAACGUGCCUAACGCUUCUUAUUAAAGCCAGCGCAGAAGGGAGACUUUGAAUCACUGACUCCUCCCCAAACAAGACUGUCAAAGGAAGGUUUAAAAGUGGAAUUUGCAAACAUCACUUUUUACGUGCAAUCACGUACCAUCUCCAUAUCGGGGCUGAGACUUCCUUCCCCAUUCAUACCUGCACAUAAAUUGACGUAUCGUCAUUAUUAUUGCUGCAGAUUAAAUCUCUGCGCUGACUUUCCAGGCGUCUCUCCUUGACUCGGAAUGUGGAAGCAGCGUGGGGGUUGGCUGCUAAAGGGUUAAGCCUCUAAAGAUAGAGGGAGAGAGAGAGAGAGAGAGAGAGAGAGAGAGCAUGAGAGAGCGCUGGGGAGGGAGGUGCAAUAGAAGAGAGGGACUGGCUUUUCUCUCCUCUCUCACUCUCUCUUGCUGCAAUAAAUCCGGCUUAAAGGACGAGAGCAGAGGAGCCUAGAAUGGAUUAAAGAAAAGUCUGUAUAAUACAGACGCCAGCACAAGGGGGAGGGGGGAGAGAGAGAGAGAGAGAGAGAGAGAGGAGGAGGAGGAGGAAGAAGAAAGAGAAUAAGAAAAGGAGCAAAAAGGAGGAAAGAAGGAUGAGUUGAAGAUCCCAAACUCCAGCUGCUAAUCUGCUUAUUCCACGGGAGGAGAAAGAGAGGCAGGGACUGAACAGGUGCAUCCUCUGGGUACCACUCUCGGCAUCCUCUGGGUACCACUCUCAGCAUCCCUUCGGUACCAUUCGCCUUCGUGGUCUUUCGGACAUACUCCUCUCUUGCCAUCGCCUGCCUUCCCUCCCCGCUCCCCGUUUUCCGUUUUUUUCUGCGGGGAGAGAGGGGUUUCUUUCUACAUUUCCUCCGUCUCCAAACCCCUCCCCAGCAGGCAUCCACGAUGUGUUCCUCCGCCGCCGGCCACGGAUGCUCCGGCACCCCGUCUUCCCUGCCCGCCUUGCCUUCCGGAGGAGCCUCGCCAUGCGGAGAGCCGAGGUGCUUCUAAACCAGAUGGAGUUUCUAUCCGGGGGGCCAAGACACCCACAAUGAACCGCCUGCUGCCUCUCUGCUUCCUAUUCCUCAAACUCUUAGAUGCGGUGCUGGGUGAGUGUGUGCGAGAGACACCUGCUUUUUUUGCGGCGGCGGCGGGUUGGGGGGGGGAGAGAAAGAGAGGAUAGAGGCAUGGCUUUCAUGUCCCCCCAUCACCAAAGGAGAUGCAAGAAUCCCAUGCGACGCCAGCACCCCCUCCCAAACCAACGCUGCUCAGGUUCUCUCCAAAGCCACGAACGGCGAGAGAAUUUUAGCUCGGGGCAUCAAACCGCUCUCCUUCCCCCGUUCAAGUCAAUAGAGGAUGCUUUGGAGCUGGGCAGAGGGAAGUCAGUGGGAGAUGAACGGGGUGUUUUCUCCCAACUCAUGCCAACUUUCCCCAUCCUGGCUUGGUUGUUUAAUGCUCCUGUUCUCUGGUCCUUCAAAGCUGCCCUUUGUUGGACCUCAACUGCUAAGAGUUGAGUGGGUCUCUCUCUUUCUCUCUUUCUCUCUCUCUCCCCCUCUCCCCCCCCCCCAGUUAGGAGGCAGUGAUGUUGUGCAUGGAUCUAUGAAAAGCCUUACCAAAUGCCAAAGCAAACACUUUCUCUUUUUUUCCUCUGGUGGUGGUCGCAAUAAUUAUUAUGAUAAUAACCCCCCCUUCCCCCGAAGCUCCCACAAUCAGCAUCCAUUGUGGAACCAGGUUGCAAGCGGACAAUAGACUUUUCAAUGGCAUCUGACGAGUUGUUGUCGUCUUCUGGAGAAAACACAACCCGGUUUGAGCAAAAAGAGGCGAAAUAAACCAAGAGAGGGGGUGAUGGAGGAGGACUAUGUUGGGGAUAAGUAACCUGGGGGGUUCACAGAGAAAAGAGUGGGAGGGGAGGAUAAACAGGGAGGUACUUGUUUUGUGGGUUUACCUUUGGACUCAAACUCUGGACCGGUUUGUCGAACAGCAGAUGCAUCCACACACACGCACACCCCUCUCUCGUGUGUGUGUUCGUUCCCCUUUGGAAAAUUCUGUGGUGUGUUUAUUAUUUUGCGAUUGAAUUUAGGCUAAAAACAACAGAAACAAACAAAAGACUUUCAUUAGCUCAGGCUCUUUUUUUCCAGGGGUUACUUGAGGGCAGAUGGGUUGAUGCUCUGUGUGUGUGUGUUUGUGUGUGUGUGUGUGAUCCGGAGAGCAAAAGCAGAAAGUUCCCCUUAUUUAUUUUUUCAAAGGAACUGAUUUAUUGAGCACCCACCCACCUGCCCAGACUUUGGGGCAUGUAUUGACAGAACCAGAAUGGACCUCAAUGCAAUAUUUUGUUUCAGUUCCAAUCCUAUCCCCCCCCCCACCAUAUAUAUAGCAAUGGGAGUUCUCAAAAAGUCACACUCUCCUAUCACCUCUGGUCAGCCACACCAAUCCUUGGAUGAUUUCAGUCUCCAAACUUAACCCUGUUGUAAUUUCUGAGCUGGGCGGUGUGUGUGUGUGUCUUUUCUCCUCUCAUUUUUUUGCAGUGGUUUUUUUUUGGGUGGGGGGAGGGUUAGGGAAAGGAAUUGGUGGUUGAUAUCUCUUUGCUGAUUCUUUACCUUUUGAUUCGGAGUGAAAAUCCAGUUCAAAUGCUUCCAGCCUAGGUUAUCGCAUACUGUCGAUACAGCACUGAGUUUAUGGGUGUCCUCCUGCCCCUUCUUCCUAUAAUAGCCCAACUCAAAUCUUCCAGGUGAGCUGAAAUUUGAAUGAGUAAUAACCGUGAAUAAUGUCAGGCAGCUGGUUGAGAAAACAAGUUGCUGGAAGGAAGAGAUGACUUCUUCUUCCCUCGACUCUUUGGGGAAGUAGCAAGAAGGAUUCGAUAUGCGGCCUUUGGUGGGAUUUAUUUGAUUAUGAGGAUCUCCCGUUGGUGGUGGAGGUGAACAAGGCAAAGUAUUGCUUCUGCCUAGACAUUCAGAACAAUAAAUGACAGUAUUGGAAACAAAGAAAAUGUAAGUGUGUUUGUGUUCAAAAUAGGAAUGAUUCUACUUUUAUUUACAGCAUCUUAUGUUUAUAAUGCGGGAGGCAAGCUAUGGGGUUACAAUGGACUCUUUUUCAGCUUGAUGUUGUUGUUUUUAAAGUGGAAUAAAUACAUAUUGGUGUUGGUGUUUGAGCUAUUUUGACCUGGCUGCUUUAUAUGUGAUCUGUACACUCUUUUCUUUUCUUUUCACGAAGCAAGGCAAUAGGAGCUGGCCAAGCAGUGUAGGCUGGGUUUUGGGAGUAGCAAUGGUGGCACCAGUGGCAGAGCUUCACCUGCAUGACACAGCUUGGCUUACUUACCCGAGCAAUCUAGAUACAUGAUCACUUCCCCAAGCCACUUCUCUGCUGUGAUAUGGCAAACUCUGGCCUAAAUUCUUGUGUUUACAGUGGGUGUAAGGGCUGGGUUCAGUGUCCUUGGCCCCUCUGUACUCCGUGGAUUCAGCUUUUCUGAGAACCAAUAGCACCUGAUAACAUCAUUUAUUGUCCUGUUAUUUAUUUAUUUAUUAUUUAUUUAUUUAUUUUGCAGUGGAAGCUGGUCCACUGGGGUGAAAGGGGCACUGCCCUCCCAACCUCAGUCCUCCCUCGGCCUGUCUUCAUUUGCCCUUUUCCUUUCUUCCAGUCUGGAAGGUGGUUCCGCUUGCUAGUUUCCUCGUGUAGCAGGGAGGAGGUGGAAGAUGGGGGCGAAAGCAGAAUGAGUUGGCUCCACCUCUCAUUGUGCCCUGGGGCCAUCCUGGUGGAGUCUCUGCCUUCUGCCCCACUGGUCCUAGUGGGCACCAGCCACUACUGGAUUUAGGGAUGAUAAGUUGCCUUAAGUUGUUCCUGCAGGAGGCAGCAAGGGUCACAAAUGUGGGUGGCUAUAAAAGAGGAUGGGACAAAUUCAUAGCUGAGAAGAGGGCUGUUGAUGGCUUCUAACCACAAUGGCUAUGCUCUGCUUCCAUGGUCAGAGGAAGCAAAUACAUGUGAAUAACAGUUUCUGGGAUCCACAGGAGGAGAGGGGUUGCUCAAAUUCUCCUUGCAGACUUCCCAUUGGGUCAUCUUGUUGAUGGCUGUGAGAACAGGAUGCUAGACCAGGUGGGCCAUUGGCCUGAUCCAGCAGGGUCUUCUGAUGUUCUUACAUUCUAAUGGGAAUAACAGGAGGGGAGGGCUCCUCUGUGCUUGAGAAGUUCUCAGGGCCCCCUGGGUGACCACUCUGUGAUGAGGGCGCUGAAAGCCUGACCCGAGGGCUUUCUGGUGGUUCCCUCACUGCGAGAAGUGAGGCUACAGGGAGACAGGCAGAGGGCCUUCUUGGCAGUGAUGCGAUCCAUGUGAAACGCCCUCCCAGCAGAUGUCAGGGAGAUAAGUAACUACUGUAUAUAACCUUUAGAAGACAUCUGAAGGCAGCCGUGUAUAGGGAAGCUUUUUAAUGUCAUUGCUUUACUAUGUUUUUAUAUACAGUGGUACCUUGGGUUAAGUACUUAUUUCAUUCCGGAGGUCCGUUCUUAACCUGAAACUGUUCUUAACCUGAAGCACCACUUUAGCUAAUCGGGCCUCCUGCUGCCGCCGUGCUGCUGGAGCACGAUUUCUGUUCUCCUCCUGAAGCAAAGUUCUUAACCCGAGGUACUAUUUCUGGGUUAGCGGAGUCUGUAAUCUGAAGUGUAUGUAACCUGAAGCGUAUGUAACCUGAGGUACCACUGUACGUUGGAAGCCCCUUAGAGUAGCUGGGGCAACCCAGUCAGAUGGGCAGGGUACAAAUAUAUUAUUAUUAUUAUUAUUAUUAUUAUUAUUAUUAUUAUCCAGCAGGGCUCAACUUAUGUGCCUAUGUUUCUACUCCGAGUCUGACUGAGUUCCCUGGGGCUUGUGCAAGGAUGUGUCUCCUUAUUCUAGAGGCAGGUCUUCAAAAUCUCUUUUCCCCUUCCUGAGGAAAGAAUAAACACGGGAGCUCAGAUUGGCUGGGAUUUCCUCAUUCCUCCAGCAGAGGGCGGCUCCACGUGCAGGCACGUGCCAUGCAGCGAUGUGAACUUUGCAAACUUCUCCUUUCAGAUUCUCACACUUGUGGCUUCACCAUGACCCCCUGCAAUUCCUCGCCUCCAACCAUCUCUCUAUGAGCUCUGUGUGUGUCUGCUUCUCUUGUGCUGACUGAUUCAUUCAGAGAGAGAGAGAGAGAGAGAGAGAGAGAGAUUCUCAAUCAAGGGACAUAAAAAGGCUUUAAAUAAUAGAAAGCCAACAGAAGCUGGAUGAUCUUUUCUUUUAAAGCUGCCUCGGUGGUGGUAAAAUAAAUUAAUGGCCUGGAAAUUACUCUGUACCUCCCUGCCAUGGAAAAGUGGUUCGUCUGGUGUCUGCAAGAUGGGCCAAAAGGCAGAGGAAUAUUACAUAGUAAUAUUACAGUGUAAUAUUGUUCUGGACACUGUACAGAAUAGUACAGUGUCCAGAUCAAGGGAAGUAACUGCCACUAUUUUCUGUCUUGAUCUGACCCCGCCUGGAGUCCUGUGCCCUGUUCCGGGCUCCACAGUUUAAGAAGGAUAUUGACAAACCAGAACGUGCACAGAGGAGGGCAACUAAGAUGAUCAAGGGUCUGGAAAGCAAGCCUUAUGAGGGAGCUGGUUGUGUUUAGCCUGGAGAAGAGAAGACUGAAUAUCUUCAAAUAUCUGAAGAGCUGUUCCAUGGGAACCAGCUUGUUUUCUGCUCCUCCAGAGGGGAGGACCCGAACCAAUUGAUUCAAAUGACAAGGAAAGACAUUCCAACUAAACAUUAGGAAGAACUUUCUGAGGGUAAGAGCUGUUUGACCGUGGAACAGACACCCUCAGAAGGUGAUGGACUCUCCUUCCUUGGAGGUUUUUAAGCAGAAGUUAGAUGGCCAUCUGUGAGGGAUUCUCGAACUGUGAUUCCUGAAUUGCAGGGGGUUGGACUAAAAGGCCUUUGGUGUCCCUUCCAAGUAGAAUUCUAUGAUUCUAUCUCUUUGUAAUGAGACAUUGUGUGGUGCGAUGAUGAUUCUGGGGUUUGGCUGUUUGUCCUCUUCCCACAUAUCAUAGACAGGUGUUCAAGGGAUGUGGUGGCAGAAAUGUCAGUAAACAUGUCCCUUAAGGUGCUGCUAGGCUGUCAAUAUUUCACAGGAGGGAUUUAAGUGAACUCUGGAACUUUAGGACAUGCACAGUUAAAGUGGAUCAAAGCAGUCUAUUGCCCUAGUACAGGCAUCCCCAAACUCAGCCCUCCAGCUGUUUUGGGACUACAACUCCCACCAUCCCUAGCUAACAGGACCAGUGGUCAGGGAUAAUGGGAAUUGUAGUCCCAAAAUAGCUGGAGGGCCGAGUUUGGGGAUGCCUGCCCUAGUGCUACUCUGGGUAGCAUCGUCAAAUUUAAUAGACACGAUUAACUUAGGUUUGUGAGUUUCAAAAAGGACCUAAUCUGAGUAGGUCUUGACAGAAUACAACCCCCAAUGCUGGUGUGUUCUAAGUUGGGACUUUCAUAUAUCACCCUCUUCCAUUUCCACUCCCCUUGGAAUGGUUGUCAAUGUCUCUUUAAGAGGGCGUGGGCAAGUGAAAGAGAUCAGCCCACCUGCUUAUGGUGAUGUGAUAUGCAGGUCAGCUGACCAAGUGGUAUAUAAAAAGGGAGGUGCUGGAUCUUAGUGGGUAGUUGAACUUCUAACAUGAGUGAGGAGGAACCCUCCCAGAAAUGAAAAAAUGAGGGAAGCAGGUGUUUAGUCAUAGCCAGUGACAGGCAAACAUUUUUUGUUAAGAAUAUCAAGCUAGCAAAAAAAAAUUGGGAGUGGUGGAUCCCUUCAACAUGUACUGGAGUCUUCUGAAAAUGGUGAGUUAUGCGUUCUUACUUCUUCUGUGUUGGUGAAUUUAACCACCCCACCCCCCGGAUGUUCAGCUUCAUAAUGGAAUGGCCCAUCAAGAAGCUCCAAUUGUGGAUUUUAUUGAUUGCUUUCCAGAUAACAGCAGUCCUUUUUAAUGGAUGUUCUGUGGGUUUAAGCUGGCUGGCUGGUUUUCCAUAUUGUUCUGGGUCUUAGUGGAAGAUGUGCUCAUUUUUUAUUUAUUUUUUACAGCCAUAUAAUCUUUAGGGGAGGCUGAGGCUAUCUGGAUUCCUUUAAAAACUACAUUUGAUUCAAUAUUUUUACCCACUACCUUCCGCUGGAGAUAGCGCUGCUUCAGAUUCCAUCACAGCUUCAUCUUUCCCUACCAGGUUCUUCCAUGGAGUCUGGGAGAUUUGUCGUUCUCUGUUGAACGGGCGAUGUAGAACAACUGCCUUUCCCCGCUUAACUCUGUCUUCACUUACAUGUGCCCAGUGAAGCUGAAUUUGGGGAGAUUCGGGACAGAUGGAAGAAAGUCCUUCUCUACACUGCGAGGAGUUAAAACCAUGGCACUCGCUCCCACAAGAAGCAGUGAUGGUCACCAACUUGGAUGACUUUAAAAGAGGAUUGGACAAAUUCAUGGAAGAGAGGGCUAUUGGAGGCGGCAAAGCUUCUGAAUACCAGUUGCUGGAAACUGCAAGAAGUUAGGGGGCUCUUGUGCUUGGUUCCUGCUUGUGGGUUCUGCUCCUCUUGUGUUCUCAUAUGUCUAUUCCCCCCAGUUACUCAUAACUGUUCCUUUUUGAACUCUGCUUGUUGUGGUAGUUUGGAGUGGAGAAGGUGGCUCUUGUUGAAUCCUUUGUUGAGGCUGAUCCCUUGGCCUAGUUGGGAUUUGAACCCUGAUCUUCCAGGCCCUGGGCCAACACCCUAACCACUGGUUUUAGGUUGGAUGCAAUUCCAUUAUGAAUAGUGCAAUUCUGUUAAUGCAUGUUUUGUUGUACAGUGGUGCCUUGGUUCUCAAACUUAAUCCAUCCCAGGAGUCCGUUCGACUCCUGAAACCAUUCAAAAACCAAGGCACUCAAGCAGAAGCCGCGUCGGAGGUUCAGCUUCCAAAAAAAGUUUGCAAACCGGAACGUUGACUUUUGGGUUUGCGGCGUUCAGGAGCCGAUUUGUUCGGCAACUAAGCCAUUCAAGAACCAAGGUUUGACUGUAUCGUGAAACGGCUUGGAGAUGCUCCAUCAGAAGUGACCCAUAAAUGAAAUUUUAAAAAGUAUAUGGCAUGGUAAAGGUAAAGGUAAAGGGACCCCUGACCGUUAGGUCCAGUCACGGACGACUCUGGGGCUGCAGCGCUCAUCUUGCUUUACUGGCCGAAGGAGCCAGCGUUUGUCUGCAGACAGCUUCCGGGUCAUGUGGCCAGCAUGACAAAGCUGCUUCUGGCGAACCAGAGCAGUGCACAGAAACACUGUUUACCUUUCCGCCACAGUGGUACCUAUUUAUCUACUUGCACUGGUGUGCUUUCAAACUGCUAGGUGGGCAGGAGCUGGGACAGAGCAAUGGCAGUGCACCCUGUUGCAGGGAUUCAAACCACCGACCUUCUGAUCAGCAAGUCCUAGGCUCUGUGCUAAAUAAAUGUGUGUGUGGAGGUUGGUUUAUGCCAUUUUUUCCAGCCCUGCCCCAAAUCACACAGGGAGGUGUGUCUUGUGCCUAGCAGCCACCAGCUUUCGAAAGCCAUCGAAGAAACAACCUCUUUGGCUUAUCAUUGUGAAAAAGGCUAGAGGUGGUUGAUCUCUCCAAAGGACGUCACUUGAGAGGGUGCUUCUCGUUUCACCCUGGCCCUUGAAAAAAAUAAAAAUAACAACCCUAUCUUGUGGGCUCAGUCGUCCAAGAAGAAAUUGCACUGGCAGAAGGAGGCGAUGCUUAGAGUUCCCUUGCAUGAACCCUUUGUGCCAUCUCUCUCCUCGUCCUCCUCCUCUUCCCCUUCAUGAAGUGCCUGUGCAGCAGCCCCCGGGGGCCUCUUGUGCAGGACGACAGAAACCCUGCACGCUCCCUUAGCUCAGUUCGCAAGCGCCUCUUGCUUUUGUUCUUCCUUUCAAAGUGAUGAUGUGGUUGUUUUCCUGAACUAGAGGUUGGGUGGGGAGAGAGAGGAAGCCAGUUUUGUGUCCGCGAUCAGUUUCUUUCCUUUACAUGCCUAGCAAUUAAGAAGCUGGGAGAAACGCGAUAAUCAGACCCUCCAAGUGUCCCUAUUUUCCAGGGACAGUUCCAGAUUUCCAGAAGCCGUCCCAGUUUCUGAUGAGAUCCCAGCACAUCCCACUUUUCCUUAAAGGUAAAGGGACCCCUAAUCAUUAGGUCCAGUCAUGACUGACUCUGGGGUUGCAGCACUCGUCUCGCUUUAUUGGCCGAAGGAGCUGGUGUACAGCUUCUGGGUCAUGUGACCAGCGAACCAGAGCAGCACACAGAAACGCUGUUUACCUUCCCGCCGGAGCGGUACCAUUUUUCUACUUGCACUUUGACGUGCUUUCAAACUGCUAGGUUGGCAGGAGCAGGGACCGAGCAAUGGGAGCUCACCCCGUCAUGGGGAUUCGAACCGCGACCUUCUGAUCAGCAAGUCCUAGGCUCUGUGGUUUAACCCACAGCACCACCCGCGUCCCUCCGCUUUUCCUUAAGAUGUCCCUAUUUUCAGCGGAGAAUUGCUGAAGGAUGCCCCUAUUUUCAUCAGAGAAAUGUUGGAGGAUACAGAGUUAUCCAUCCCCUGAGCCAUAUGAAGACAGGCCCGUAUAGUGAAUAUUUUUAAUGUUUCAUGUUUUUUGGAAGCCACCCAGAGUGGCUAGGGCAACCCAGUCAAAUAGGUAGGGUAUAAAUAAUAAAAUUAUUAUUAUGGAAGAGGAUGUCCCUCUUUCCUCAGAGAAAUGUUGUAGGGUAUGCAAUAUACUUUCCAGCAGUUUACGCCUCAACACGCCUCUUCCUCUUCUUCUCUGUCUCUGCAAAUCUGACACCAUGAUGAGUAACAUUUGGACCAAGGGGCUGGGCAGGGAAAACUGAAUACUAUGCCAGGGUUCCUGAAAAGCCUAUGGGAGGUUGAGAGCAAUGCCAGAUUUAGGGUGUUGUGAGCAGUUCCCCGGCACAGGCCACCAAGCCGAAGGGGUGCAAAAUUGAGAAGAUCCAUGACUGAGAUGAUCCAUUUGGGUGGUGCCAAAUUCUGGACUUGCACAGGGUGCCGUAUUAGGAAAGAUUACCAAAGGCAGGACCUGUGAAUAUGUUCAUUGGUGGCAGAUGGAUGGCAAAGGAUGAAGAACACCAGUGGCCCUCCAGAUGUUUCUGAAUGACCCCCACCUUGAUCCCUGGCCAUUGGUUGUGCUGGCUGCCAGGGCUGCUGGGAGUUCUCAUCUUAGCAACAUCUGGAGGGCCACAGAUGUUCCCCAUCCCUGAAUUAGACCAUUAGUGCCCUGAACUACCUUCAUCACCACUUUGACCGUCACUUGCCUUCACUGCCCCAGCUACCUCCAUCACAACUCUGUUUUCUCCAGGGCGUUUGAGGGUGGUGUACACCGUUUUCUGUUCCCCAUCCCAUCUGUUUAAUCCCUGCAACAACCCUGUGGAGUAGGUUAGACUGAGAGUGACUGCCUAAGAUCACACCCAGCCAGCUUCAUGGAUGAGUAGGGGAUAUGAAGCCAGGCCUCCUGAGGCUUCCUGUGAUGGCCUGGGAUUCGGACUCAGAGGCUGAACCUGAGGAAUCCCAGCCUGCACAGGAGUCCCUGCCUCCAAAUCCAGCUGAGCCGGGGCUGGGGCCUGAGGCUGAAGGGUCCUCACCUGUGCUGGAUCCUCAGGUGCAGGCACCAGCUGAGUCUGCUUUGGCUCCUGAGGUGAUGGAGGACCCAUUGCCUGCAGGUACUCUGGGUCCAGUAACCCUCCAGCCUCUCCUGAGCUGCAGAGGCUCAGGGCAGAGAGGCGGAGGCAACUAAGUUCCUGCAGGAGGAGUGCUCGCCUCCAGGCCAGGAGAGGCAAGUCACCUGCGGACCGGGACCUUGGGGCAGAUAAAAGCCAGUUAGCCCCAGUCUCAGGUUGUGGGAGCAACGUUGUUGCUAGCCUGUUCCUGCCUGCACCCUGUCCUGCUCGUCUGCCAGAGUUCCUGAUCUCACCCGACUCCCCACCUUGGAUCCAGCUACAGCUUUGAUGGACAGCCUCCAUACCGCACCAUCGACCUCGGACUGGACUCGGACCUCGCCUCUCGGUUAGCCCCCGGGACCAGCACACUUCCAGAGCCCGAGAGAAGCACCUGCAAAGGACAUUUCUGGACAAGAUGGUUCCUAGAAUGAUGGGACCAGGAAGGCCCUGAUUCAAAGUAAGGAGGACGAGACAGGUUAAUCUCCUCCCAUCAUCCUCUCCUCCCCAUGGCUCAUAAAUCAUCUCAACUCACAGGCAGCCUCGGAACUGCAAGGUUGCAAGGGAUCUGCCUAGACCUAUAUUUUUUGUCCACCUGCCAAAACUUCCUCUGUGCCCUUAGCUUCCUGCAGAAGUUCUUACUAUACUGAUGGCUCCUACCUUUAAGUGUGUGUGUGUGUGUGUGUGUGUGUGUGCGCGCGUGUGUGUGUGCAGCUAAUGACUGGGCACUUCCGUUAUCUCCCCGCCAUUAUUGUUCCUUCGUCCUCUUUGACAGCCUUCCUAAAAUAAACUGUCAAUCACAUGCACUCUCUCUCUCUUGCUCUCGUGUGUGUGUGUCGUGUGUGAGUGUGAGUGUGUGUGUGUCCAUUCCCCUGCGUGUGUUGCUUUUGAAAUAUCAGAGAGCCUUUGUCUGGAGCGCAGACAGCAAAAUGCGGGGAAAUGAGGAAAAACCUACUUUGCAUCUUAUCUGGCCCUUCCAGCCUGCUUCUGUGGAAGGCAACAUGGUGGAUAGUGGUUAGAGCACUGGUUCCCAAAGUGGGCGGUACUGCAGUUCUGGAGGUGUCAAUCACUGCCAGAGUUUGCAGGGGGUGUGUGUGUGCUAUCAUUGGAUCAAGUUCAUCCAUUUUGCUGAAUUAAUUGGAUCGUUUUAACUGGAAUUUGAGUAAACGUGCAAUUAAUUGUGGCUUUUUUGAAUCCCUUAGUGGGUCGUGCAAGCAGCUAUUCUGAAUAGUACUCUUAUUAUAUGAUAGGGGGCACUGGGAAUGAGUUUAUAGGUCCAAGGUGGGUCCCCCCAAAAAGUUCAGCAACUACUGGGUUAGAGAGUUGACUGUGUGACUGGCAGAAUCCGAGACCAGGGAGAAGAGUCGAUGGAAGAAGAUUGGAAAAAGUUUAAAGACUAUCUACAGAAAUAUUGCAAAAUUAAUGAAUGUUAGAAUGAUGUUGGAUAGAAACUAAGUGCUCUUUAGCUGAAAUGUUAUAAGGGAAUAUGAAAAAAUGGUUUAUUAAUGGGUAAAAAUCUAAAAUUACAAUAUUUUAUGAUUAAUGAUUAGGAUAUACAAAGAGGGGAGGGAUUUGCUGAACUAACAAUUGAACUGGAAUACAAAAAAGGGAGGUGUGAAGAGGUCCUGAAAACUAAGCAAAUGAAGGAUAAGUAAUGGAAGGAAUUGUUUUUAACCAUUUUUACUUUGUAUUUUUUCUUUUUUUUUUUCUUUUUUUUGUUUUGUAAUAUUCUGAAAAUCCUAAUAAAUAACUUAUAUAAAAAAAGAGAGAGUUGACUGUGGUUUGGGGGGGGCAUGAUUGUAAUUCUUGUUCCGUCAUUAAGUUCAGUGAGGUCACUGGGGUACAAUCACCACCUGGGAGUGAAGUCCACCUCACAGGGCAGUUAUGAGCAGGAGAGGAGGAAACUAUUCGUACAUGUAUGCAUAUAAAAUAUUUUUCAUUUGCUUUUCGGCUUGCACCAAACAUCCCAAAUGGCACACAUGUCUAUCUGUCUGUCUAGGGACUCAGCUAUACAGCUGCAAAUAUAACAUUUUAAGUGUGUUUUAAGUGCAUUAUACAAAUGUGAUACUAGAUGGCACUGGUGAGCGAAUGGCAAAUUCCAUGUAUAUUUUAAAACAUGGUGUUGUUUUUUAGGAAAAGCAUUUUCAUAGCGUUUUUAUAUACAAUAUGGGCAGAUUCAGCCUAGCUGUCCAGCUAUCCACAUACACAUAUCUAGAUCAUAGUAGGAAUUUCCUUCCUUGUAAUUGGAAUCCUUUGGUUCAGGUCCUAUCUUCCAGAGCAGCAGAAAACAAGCUUGCUCCAACUUUCAUGGUACAACCCUGAGUCUGUAAAAUAACUCAGUUGCUACAUAUGAUCUUGCAUUUCUGUGCAUUGAAACCACACCCCAAAUCAUACACUAGUGGCAAAAUUGUGGAAACCUUUUGGGAAAAGUGUAUUUCUGAGGUUUGAUGGCUCAUAACACCACUUUUUUGGGUAAUGUCAUAAAAUUAUAUAUCAACAGAAAGAUAAUUUAAUGAAGAAUGUAAUACAACCAAGUUUGUUCAAUUAUCUGUAUUCUAUCAAAAGUUAUAGCCAAAUAACCAGAAAAAAGGAAGCACGACUUGCUUUUUUUUUAAAGUAAUAUUUAUUGAAUUUUAAAGGGUUACAAAAAGAAAAAAUUAAAAAACAGCAUAUUUAAGAAAUACAAAACAUCACAUCACGAUAAUAAAAAGAAAAGAAACAAGAAAAAAAGAAGAAAAAAAAUAAAAUAAAUCUUCCCAUAACUUAUCUUUCAUUUGCUUAUUUCCUUGACCUCCUCACACCUCCCUUUUUUGUAUUCUAGUUCAAUUAACUAUUUCAGCAAAUCCUUUCCAUCUUUUCCAGUUUUUGUCCUUCCUCUAUUCUAUCUUAAUAUAAUGUAACUUUACUUUCCCUCCUUCACCAUUUAGCAAUCAAUUUUUCCUUAAUCCUUUUUAGCAUUUCUGCUAAAACCGCAUUAUUUCAUUCCAACAUCCUUCUAACAUUCCUUAAUUUUACAAUGUUUCUGUAAAUAAACUUUAAAUUUCUUCCAAUCUUCUUCCACCAACUCUUCUCCCUGGUCUCGGAUUCUGCCAGUCAUUUCCGCCAGUUCCAUGUACUCCAUCAGGAAGCACGACUUGCUUAGGUUGAUAUGCAGUAGAUUUCCUUCAUUUGAAUAUUGCCAAUUAGCAUGAGCAUGAGCCAAGCAGGUAUUAUGAGCCAUCAAACCUCGGAAAUACACUUUUCCUUCCACAAUUUUGGCCACUGGUGUAGCUGCCCUGCCAAAUCCAGAGCGAUGUAUGUCCUCUGCCUGUGUGUUGUGUUCUGAUCCAUGUGCAGAGUUCCACGAGUUGCUUCAGUCCAGGAUGCGUCAUAGAGCUGUUGUCCAUUCUUCGUGGUCAGCUGUCCCAUGCACGAGGCAGAGUGUGUUAGAUUGAGGAAGGAGAAUAAGCAUCUUAAAAGAUAGAUGAAUUCUUUGGAUCUCCUCCAGCCUUGGAAGGGUCUCUCUCAGAAGUUACUGGUCUACAAAAAUGUUUUAGGGUCUCUGCUGCCCACACUAGCCUCUACUAGUCAUUCACGGCAUGCCUCCAGCCUGAGAGGACGAGACUUCUACUCCUGAUGAUUCAAGGUAGCGACAACAGGGCCUUGAUUUGGCAGAUCGCUGUUUGCAGUCAAGAGACGGGCGAAGCUGUCAAUUUAGCUUUCCCCUCAAAAUGUUCAAUCCCAAACCCUCUAGAAAAGUGACCAGCAUUUUAGUGCGAAUUUCUCCUGAUAUGUUCAAGCCUGUAUUAAUUCUCUUUUUUUUUUCCUCUUAUGCACAUUUUUAUAGCACAGUUUCACUGAAUAUAAUGCAUUUUUGUUAUGAGAAAGGGCUAUAGUUCAGUGGCAUGGAACCUGAGUUCAAAUCCCUCCAGCAUCACCAGGUAAAAAGGUAAAAGGAUCCCUGACCAUUAGGUCCAGUCGUGACCGACUCUGGGGUUGCGGCGCUCAUCUCGCUUUAUUGGCUGAGGGAGCCGGCAUACAGCUUCAAGGUCAUGUGGCCAGCAGGACUAAGCCGCUUCUGGCGAACCAGAGCGGCGCACGGAAACACCGUUUACCUUCCUGCGGGAGCGUUACCUAUUUAUCUACUUGCACUUUGACAUGCUUUCGAACUGCUAGGUUGGCAGGAGCAGGGACCGAGGAAUGGGAGCUCACUCCGUCGCGGGGAUUCGAACCGCUAACCUUCUGAUCGGCAAGUCCUAGGCUCUGUGGUUUAACCCACGGCGCCACCCGCGUCCCAUCACCAGGUAGGGCUGGGGAAAAGACUCCCUGCCUGGAGAGCUAUUGCUGCCAGCCAGCAUAGGCAAUACUAAAGUAGAUGGAGCAAUGGCUUGACUUGGCCUAAGCCAGUUUAUUAUGUCCCUAUCUAAAUCGACCUUUCAGCACCAUAAGGACUUGGACCUUUUUUCUGUUUAGGGGAAGGAUUAUAGCUCAGUAUCACAACCCCUGCUUUGCAUGCAGAAAGCCCCAGGUUGAAUCGCCGGGUUGGGCUGGGGGGGACUCCAUGUCUGAAACUCUGGAGUUUCUGACAGUCAGUGUAGGCAAUACUGAUCUUGAUGGAUCAGGGCUCUGACUCCAUCUGAAGUUGCUUCCUAUGCACCUAGCCUAGAUGGAAAGUUGAGCCUAUGCUUCAGUGUGAGCCCACAAACAGGAUUUGAGCUUAUUGACAUCCUCCUCAUUCUUGAUUCCCAGCAGCUGGUAAUAGUGGUAAUAGUCCCUCUCUAUUCUGCCUUGGUCUGACCACACCUGGAAUACUGUGUCCAAUUCUGGGCAACACAAUUUGAGAAGGAUGUCGAGAAGCUGGAACGUGUGCAGAGCUGGGCAACCAAGAUGAUCAAGGGUCUGGCAACCAAGCCUUAUGAGAGAGAGUUGAGGCAGUUGAGUCUGUUUAACUGGGACAAGAGGAGACUGAGAGGUUCUAUGAAGGCCACCUUCAAAUAUCUGAAGGGCUAUCACAUGGAAGAUGGAACAAGCAUGUUUUCUCCUGCUCCGGAGGGUAGGAUCUGAAGGAAAGAAGAUUCCAACUAAACUUUAUGAAGAACUUUCUGGUGGAAUGGACAACCUCAGAUGGUGGUGUACCCUCCUUCAUAAGAGGUUUUUAAACAGAGGUUGAAUGGCAGUUUUGUCUGGAAAUGAAAGGUUGAAGGAGCUGGGUAUUUUUAGGCUGGAGAAAAGGAGACUCAGAGGAGAUAGGAUAGCCAUCUUCAAAUAUCUCAAGGGCUGCACAUGGAAGAAGGAACAAGCUUGUUUUCUCCUUCUCUGGAGGGUAGGAUUUGAACCAAGGGCUUCAAGUUACGAGAAAGGAGUUUCCAACUAAACAUCAGGCAGAACUUUGACAGUAGGUUGGAUGGUCAUCUAUCUUGGAUGCUUUAGUUGAGAUACCUGCAUUCCAGGGGGUUGGUCUACUCUAGAUGACCCUCAGGGUCCAGGGGCGCCAACUUGGGCCACAGGUUAUGGGUGCCCACUGCGAGUGACGUGACAUCAUGAUGUCAUGCACCUCGUGGCCUCAGAACCUGACUUCCCAUGGCACUGGAAGUCAGGUUCUGAGGUCUCGCAAGGCCUCGGACAUGAUUUCUUGUGCUUUAUGAGGCACCGGAAUUUGUGUCAGGAGGGAGGGAGGGAGGGAGGGAGGGAGGGAGAGAGGGAGAGAGGGAGAGAGGGAGAGAGGGAGAGAGAGAGAGAACCUAAUGUGCUCCAUUCUAGGGAUGCUGAUCUUAAGCAGUGCUGAUUCCAAAGGCUACUCUGCCUGUUUUAUUCCAGGGAGAGGAACAAAAUGCCAUCUGCAGGAACUUCCUCAGCCGGAAGCAAUCUUGUCUCCCAGGACCACCCCUUCCCUCUCUCAGUUUGAAGCUGAGGCAAAGGAGCUCUGGAAGGAGGGGGACCUUCAGUGUCUUCUGAUAUGAGCUCCUAAUGCUGUGUUGAACAUAUGGAAGCAGAAGUCCCUCGAAGCUUCGGAGAGAGCUCUGUACGAGCUGGUGGGAAGGGAUGUGGGCUGGUUGAAGAUGCUGCAGUAAUCAUUCUGAUAAGACGAAAGGCAGGAGAAAAGGUCUGCAGCAUCUUCCCCACCCACAAGUAAUGGGAAUGGGUUCCCUGACAGGGAUGAAAGGACAGGGGUAAAGUAAUAGAAUCAUAGAAUUAUAGAGUUGGAAGGGAUCAUGAGUGCGAUUUAGUCCUCCUCCUGAAAUGCAGGAAUAAGAGCUAACUGAUCCUUGACAGAUGGCCAUCCAACCUCUAGUGAAACCCACCAUCUUCUGAGGUUGUCCAUUCCAUGUCAUAUAGCACUUAUGCCCAGAAAGUUCUUCCUAAUGUUUAGUUGGAAUCUCCUUUCUUAUAACUUGAAGCCUACCCUCCAGAGCAGCAGAAAACAGGUUUAUUCCAUCUUCCACGUGACAGCCCUUCACAUAUCUGAAGAAGACUAUCAUAUCGCCUCUCAGUCUCUUCUUCUCCAGGCUAAACAUGCCCAGCUCCUUCAACUGUUCCUCAUAAGGCUUGGUUUCCAGACCCUUGAUCAUCUUGGUUGCCCUCCUAUGCACACGUUCCAGCUUGUCAACAUCCUUCUUAAAUUGUGGCACCCAGAACUGGACACAGUAUUCCAGGUGUGGUCUGACCGAGGCAGAAUAGAGUGGGAGGAUGUCUUCCUUUGAAUGUGGGAUGACGAGUUUAGCAUUUGCUCUCCCCACACUCCAAAUAUCACCUCUCUCUCAAGACAGCGAGAUCGCAGAGGUGCUUGAGUCAAGCUUUCUGUGGGUUUUAUUCAAGCAACCCAGUGUAAGGAUGGAUGGCCAGUCCUUGAAGACAGAAGGCUCUGUCCCCUUGAGGGUCAGUGUUGCAUUUUGGCUGUGAUGGGGAGUCCAGGGCUGUCGGAGAAAGGGCAGAGGUGAAGAUUCCAAUUAACGCUUCCUUAAAGACAGCAGAAAUUUCAAAGCAGAGCUUUUCCUUGGCAGGGAGGAGGAGGCCCCAUAAACUAAUUAACCUGUGUGGAAGGCCAAGCCAAUGAUGGCAGAUGAAAGGUUUGGGUUUUAAAAACUUUGCUUUGGAGGGAAAAGUUCUCUCCUCUCACCCCCCCCACUACACCUUUACAUUCUAUCGCUCAGUGAGGAGGGAGGAAUCAUCCCAGUUCUGUUCUGAGUCAGUUCUGUGUUCGUUCAAUAAUAUUUCCAUUUUCUCAAUUAAAACAAAGCUCUCUCUCUCUCUCUCUCUCUCUCUCUCUCUCGUGUGUGUGUGUGUGUGUGUGUGAAUGACCCCAAAGCUCAGUGGCACAACAUCUGCUUAGCAUACAGAUGCUAAGGGAAGUGGGUGGCAUUGUGGUUUAAACCACCGAGCCACUUGGGCUUGCUGAUUAGAAGGUCAGUGGUUCGAAUCCCUGUGACAGAGUGAGCUCCCAUUGCUCUGUCCCAGCUCCUGCCAACCUAGCAGUUCAAAAGCACACCAGUGCAAGCAGAUAAAUAGGUACCAAUGUGGCGGGAAGGUAAACGACAUUCCGCCACGGUGUCCCAGAAGCAGUUUAGUCCUGCUGGCCACAUGACCUGGAAAGCUGUCUGUGGGCAAACAUGGCUUCCUCGGCCUGAAAGCAAGAUGAGCGCCACAACCCUAUAGUCACCUUUGACUGGACUUAAGCACCCAGGGGUCCUUUUUCAGCAUGCAGAUGGUCCCUGAUUCCAUCCCCCAAUAGGCUUGGGAAUGAUCGCUGCCUGAAACUCUGCAGAGCCAAUGCUAGUCAGUGUAGAAAGUAGUGUAGACCAAUUGUCUGUCUCCAUGCAAGCCAGCUUCCUAUUUUCCUGUUUAAUUCAGCUCAGGGCUUUAACUCCCACACGCUGGGGAUCCUAAGACCAGUAAAAAUGAGCUACACUUGGAAGAUGCUUCCCAGUUUUGUUCCAGUGCAGGGCUACUGAAUUCUGCACCAGCAGAAGUUUCCAAACUGUCUUCAGAGGCAGCCCUAUGUGUAAUGUGUUGCAGUAAUCUAACCUAGAGGUUACCAGAGGAUAGACAACUAGAAGUUAGGCUAUCCCUGUCCAGAUAGGGGUGCAGCUGGGACACUAGCCCAAGCUGAUGGAAGACACUCUGAGCCACGGAUGUCACCUGAGCCUCAGGUGACAGCAAUGGAUCCUUAUACCCACUCCUUCAAAGGGAAUGUAAUGCCCUCGAGAGAGAGUCUUCCACCUAUCUGGUCUAGGGAACUGCCCACCAACAGUGCCUCAGUCUUAAUCUGGAUUGAACCUCAGUUUAUUGGCUCUCAUCCAGUCCAAUACUGAGGCAAGACAACAGGCCAGCACAUCCAAUGCCUUGCCUGCCGAUAUAAAGGAGAAGUAGAACUGUGUGCCAUCAGCAGAUUAGGAAUUAGGUAGGUUCCUUUAGCCCAGUGUUUCCCAAAUUUGGGUCUCCAGCUGCUUUUAGACUACAGUUCCCAUCAUCCCUGACCACUGGUCCUGCUAGCUAAGGAUGAUGGGAGUUGUAGCCAAAAAGCAGCUGGAGAUCAAAGUUUGGGAAACACUGCUUUAGCCUGUCGCUGCUGAUGCAGCAAAUCAACCAUCACACAUCAGCAAACUUUUUCAGAAGGGCCAGUCCACUGUCCCUCAGACCUUGUGGGGGGCCGGACUAUAUUUGGGGGGGAGGAGAAUGAAUUCCUAUGCCCCACAAAUAACCCAGAGAUGCAUUUUAAAUAAAAGGACACAUUCUACUCAUGUAAAAACACAGAUUCCUGGACUGUCCGUGGGCCGGAUUUAGAAGGCAGGGGGCUGGAUCCGGCCCCCAGACCUUAGUUUGCCUAAGGCAAAGACUAGAUCCCAUGAUCUAGUCUUUAUCAACCUUGAGUUCCUAGAUGUUGGUAGUACAACUCUCAUGAUUCUUGGCCAGCAUGGCCAGUGGCCAGGGAUGAUGGUACCCAAGGGUGAGAGAGGCUGAUAUAGACCAUCAUUAGAGCAUCACUUGCUUUCCUCUUAAGGGGGAACAUAACUCCCACCUAAAAAUGUCAGCUCUGCAUUUCCUAGAUAUUAAAGAAAGUAGUUGCAGUGAUACUUUUUAGCCGUGUUAAUGGAAGCACACUUGCACUCUCUCUCCCUUGCUAGAGAUAUAAAACUUCCUGGUAAGGGAAUACAAUGUUAUAAAUAUCUCCAAACCGGCUUGAGUUGGUUUUUAGUCUUCCGCACCCUUUCCAGACCCGAGAGAGAGAGAGAGAGAGAGAUGCAUCUCUGAACUUUGUGGUAUUGAUGACAGUCAAAGCGCUGUUUAAAGAGCGUAUAAGUCCUCUCUCAGUUCUAGCAGAAACCCAAACACAUUGAUUGCAAAAAGCAGAGACCUUUCAAAUUAGGACUCUGCAAUUUCUGCUGCCAAGGACAAAAUGGGGAGGGCGCAAACAUUUCUUCCUUUUUUGUUCUGGUGGUUUGUUUUAGGGGUGGGGGGGAAAUCCAUGGGGAAUUGCCAAAACAGCAAUGGGGCACUAUGUUUCUGGUCUCCCAGGAAACACUCAGCAGCUGGCGUGCCCACUGACCAAGGAAGAUGGGAGUUGUAGUUCAUCAGCGUCUGGAAGGCCACACAAAUCCCGCAUUUUUCCAUUAAAAGGAAGCGGAAUUAGAAUAGAGGGUGCUGUGGGUUAAACCACAGAGCCUAGGACUUGCCGAUCAGAAGGUCGGUGGUUCGAAUCCCCGCGAUGGGUGAGCUCCCGUUGCUCGGUCCCUGCUCCUGUCAACCUACCGGUUCGAAAGCACAUCAAAAUGCAAGUUGAUAAAUAGGUACUGCUCCGGCGGGAAGGUAAAUGGCAUUUCUGUGCACUGCUCUGGUUCGCCAGAAUCGGCUUAGUCAUGCUGGCCACAUGACCCGGAAGCUGUACGCCGGCUCCCUCAGCCAAUAAAGCGAGAUGAGUGCCGUAACUCCAGAGUCAGCCACGACUGGCCCUAACGGUCAGGGGUCCCUUUACCUUUACCUUUUAAAGGCACACAGCCAUCAUGGUCACCUUAUGAAUUUGUCUAACUGUGUGUGUGUUUUUAAGCCAUCCUAGUCCAUGUCCAUCAGUUUUCCUUGGGGAAGCGAGUGACAGGUCUGUGUUCGAAUGAGAAGGAGGAAGUCUUUGCCUUUGGAGAGCUGGAGAGCUCUUUCCAUCAUCUCCCGGCCCUGGUAUAAGAUGCUGUUGUUACUGAGGGUUAUUUUGGGGUGGGUUGUUUUUUUUACAAGCGGCUCCCAGAUUUAUUGCAAAUCGCGAUGGUGGUGGCAGGAGUUGUUAUUGCAGGAAACUGUAUUUCUCUUCGCUCGCCCUCUCUCCACUAAAGCAGGCCUGCCCUCCCUCCUUCCGUAGCGCUGAAAGCUUCCUGCAGAGGGGAAGGAGGCGGGGGGGAGAUCGAAUACGAAAUAAAAUAACCAGUCUCUUUAAACAUUUAGAGGGCUUAUUUAAACAAUGUUAACUCCCUCUGAAAAAAGAAAAAAGAGGGAGCGCAUUUAAUGGUUAUAUUUAGCGCGGCGUGGAGGAUGGAGCCGAAAUGUGGUGGGAUUUUUCAACGCUGGGAAUAUUAAUUGCUUACACCAUUGCCUUCCGUAGAAUGGAGUUUGAAGACUGCAGGGACUGGAGCUUGGUUAGAGAAAAAUUACUAUAAUAAAGUCCAGUUUGGGGGAGGCUAUAAUUGGGGUAUUAAUAUUUCACAAUUCCAUUAUGGUGUCAACAUAAGCAAUGCAGACCCUCCAAGUAUCCCUAUUUUCCUGGGACAGUCCCAGAUUUACAGACGCCGUUCCGGUUUCUGAUUUGAUCCUAUAAUGUCCCACUUUUCCUUAGGUAAAGGUAAAGGGACCCCUGACCAUUAGGUCCAGUCGUGACCGACUCUGGGGUUGCAGUACUAAUCUCGCUUUAUUGGCCGAGGGAGCCGGCGUUUGUCCGCAGACAACUUCCGGGUCAUGUGGCCAGCAUAACUAAGCUGCUUCUGGCAAACCAGAAAUGCCGUUUACCUUCCCGCCGUAGUGGUACCUAUUUAUCUACUUGCAUUUUGACAUGCUUUUGGACUGCUAGGUUGGCAGGAGCAGGGACUGAGCAAUGGGACCUCACCCCAUCAUGGGGAUUCGAACCGCCAACCUUCUGGUCGGCAAGUCCUAGGCUCUGUGGUUUAACCCACAGUGCCACCCACGUCCUCCACUUUUCCUUAGGAUGUCCCUAUUUCAUUGGAGAAAUGUUGGAGGGUAUGGAAUUACGCAACCCCUGAGCCCAGGAGAUAAGUAACUAUGCAACCUUUAGAAGACAUUUGAAGGCAGCCCUAUAUAGGGAAGUUUUUAAAUGCUUAAUCUUUUAUUAUGUUUUUACAUCUGUUGGAAGCUGCCUAUAGUGGCUGGGGCAACCCAGUCACAUGGGCGGGGUAUAAAUAAUACAAUUAUUAUCAUUAAUAUUAUGGAAUAGGAUGCCCCUGUUUUCAUUGGAGAAAUGCUUGAGUGUAUGAGCAGGCUGGAUGCAGAGUUCCGACUGAUGAAUUAUUUUAAUUUUUUAAUUUGAAAUAAAGUUUCAAGGCCUUAAGCUUGCAAAUGCAAAGAGAGGCUUGGGAGUGUCUGCUGAAAUCUAAGAGGUCCGAGGAGAGGAUGAAUAAUGAGGGUGGAGCAGGGGCAUUAGGUCCAGUCGCGGACGACUCUGGGGUUGCGGCGCUCAUCUUGCUUUCUUGGCCGAGGGAGCCGGCGUACAGUUUCCAGGUCAUGUGGCCAGCAUGACUAAGCCGCUUCUGGCGAACCAGAGCAGCGCACGGAAACACCGUUUACCUUCCCGCUGGAGUGGUACCUAUUUAUCUACUUGCACUUUGACGUGCUUUCAAACUGCUAGGUUGGCAAGAGCAGGGACCGAGCAACGGGAGCUCACCCCGUCGCGGGGAUUCGAACCGCCAACCUUCUGAUCAGCAAGUCCUAAGCUCUGCGGUUUAACCCACAGCGCCACCUGAGUCCUAUACAAGUUGUACAAGUGACAAUAAAGUAUUCCAUUUUUUCCCCUAUUAUUAUUAUUAUUAUUAUUAUUAUUAUUAUGUUGCAAGCUGCUCCUUCCCCCAAAAGCAAAGUAAGAUUCUAGUCCUCACAGCACUGAUUUCAGCAAAAACCUGCCUUUACCAAAUUAGACACUUGAUCCAUCUAGUUCAAUAUUGCCUCCACUGGCUGGCAGCAGCUGUCCAGGGUUUCAGAAAGAGAGUCUCUCUCAGCGCUAGCUGGAUACGCCAUUGGAGAUUGAACCUGUGAUGUUGUGCAUGCUUCACUUCUGACCUUCUGCUGAAGAUGUAGCAGUAUUCUAGUCCUCAUAGAGGACCUGACAUAACUAGGAAGCUGCCUUACAGUGGGUCAGAGCACUGGCUUGAACCUGGGGCCUUCUGCGUUCAGAGCAGGUGCCCUGACACUGAGCUACAUCCCUUGCUUUAAGGCCCAGGAAGUUUCUGCAUAGAGAUUUGCACCUGCCGGUCUGCCUAGCUCAGUGCUGUCUACACGGACUGGCAGCAAGGGCUCAGGCAGGGAACCUCUCCCAGCCCUACCUGGAGAUGCUGCCAGCGGGGAUUGGAGGUGCAUGCUCUUCCACCGAGCUGCAGCGCUUCCCUUACUGCCCCCUACGGAUCUGUUUAGGCACCUUCGCCUUUUCUUUCUUUUUUAAAAGGGAAACAUAAAAUCCCUGUUUUAGCAAACAAGGCUUUCCAUCUCUCCCAGCCAAACGGCCGAACCCAUUACUGAGCUGCUAUUCCCACUUCCUCACGGGAGCACUGAAUUAAAGGAAAUAUUUUACGAUGCCACGCUUCAUUAUGUUUCAUUAAAAGCAGUGUGUCAGCGCCUCUCCUGCCACAUUCAUCAGAUGGGCUGUUUGCCUUCCGCUCCCCUCCUCCCAACCCUAGGGCUGGAUUCUCCCCAAGUGUUCGUUGGUGGUAGUGUCGGCCCUGGUUCCCUCUGAAGUGAAACCGAGCCCCUGAGCAUGUGCAGAGUGCCAGCUGUGAGCCUCCACUAGUGUGUCUGCACAUGAGCAAAGAGUGGUUCGGAAUCAUCGACUCGUAGGACUGCAGAGCUAGAAGGGACCACGGGUCUCAUCCAGUCCACCCUCCUGCAAUGCAGGAAUCUUUUGCCCAACGUGGAACUCAAACCCACAACCUUGAGAUUAAUAAUAAUAAAAAUAAUUUUUUAUUUAUACCCCACCCUUCCCGGUUCAGAAAACCAGGCUCAGGGCGGCUAACAACAAAUUUAAAACACUUAAUUGAUGCAACAAAAAACAGCAUAAAAUACAGUAUAAAAAGUGAAUAACAAUAAAUUCAAAAUUCAAAAAUCAAUUUAGGGGGGAAAUCCAUCCAAUAAACAUUAGGUGAUCACCAGGGCUAGCUGGCUAAAUUAGUCCUAUUUGGGCCAGUGAGGAGACCAGGGGAGAAUUAGCUGUGAGAUCCCAGAGUGGGUAAUCUUCAUAAAAAGGGGAAGGAAGGAAGGAAGGGGAAUAAAAGAUCAGGCUAAGUUCAAAUGGAAAGCUAGGCGGAAUAGCUCUGUCUUACAGGCCCUGCAGAAGGAAGUUAAAUCCUGCAGGGCCCUGGUCUCAUGGGACAGAGCAUUCCACCAGGUCGGAGCCAUCACUGAGAAGGCCCUGGCCCUGGUGGAGGAUAAUCUGACUUUCUCAGGGCCUGGGACCUCUAAACUAUGAUUAUUCAUGGACCUUAAGGUCCUCUGCAGGGCAUACCAGGAGAGGCGGUCCCAUAAAUAUGAGGUAAAUUAAGAGUUUCAUGCUCUACCCAUUGAGAAACUGCCCCCUUUCUCCCUCCCCUGCCUCAUCUAGGACUGGAAAAAGGCAGGUGUCUUAGACUGUCAUUUGCUGGAAGAUUUGGUACAGAUAAAAGAAAGGCAAGCAUGUAGUUGAACUGUGGAACUCCCUUCCACAGUGAUGGCCACCACUUGGACAGCUUCAAAAGCAGAUUGGACAAAUUCAUGGAGGAGGGGGGCUAUCAAGGGCUACUAACCACAAUGACCACCCUCUGCCUCCAUGGUCAGAGGUAGGAAUUGGUUCUGGAAUCGUAGCUGUUGGGAAACCUCAGUUAUCCGACCCCUGAGCUGUCUGAAGGCAGCCCUGUCUAGGGAAGGUUUUUGUUUAAUGUUUUAUUAUAUUUUUAUAUAUGUUGGAAGGGACGCGGGUGGCGCUUUGGGUUAAACCACAGAGCCUAGGACUUGCCGAUCAGAAGGUCGGCGGUUCGAAUCCCUGCAACGGGAUGAGCUCCCGUUGCUCGGUCCCUGAUCCUGCCAACCUGGCAGUUCGAAAAAACGUCAAAGUGCAAGUAGAUAAAUAGGUACAGCUGUGGCGGGAAGGUAAAUGGUGUUUCCGUGUGCUGCUCUGAUUCGCCAGAAGCGGCUUAGUCAUGCUGGCCACAUGACCCAGAAGCUGUACGCCGUCUCCCUCAGCCAAUAAAGCGAGAUGAGUGCCGCAACCCCAGAGUCGGCCACGACUGGACCUAAUGGUCAGGGGUCCCUUUACCUUAUAUAUGUUGGAAGCUGCCCAGAGUGGCUGUGGCAACCCAGUCAGAUGGGCAGGUUAUAAAUGUUGUUGUUGUUGUUGAAUAGGAUGUCCCUAUUUUCAUUGGAGAAAUAUUGGAAGGCAAGUGUGUAAGCCCUGCUUUUGGGCUUCCCAUUGGAAUAUCUGCCCCCGAGACAACAGGAGGCUAAACUGGAUGGACUAAUGGCUUGAUCUUCUGACGUUCUUGAGCUCUGUGUUUCCUCGCAAUGUGGAGGGCAGUUCCACAGUCUAAGCCUGAUCUGUGUCCAGAAGUUCUUCCUUCUAUCUGCCCUGUAUCUUCCAAACUCCAGCUUCUUGGGACGCCUGUGAGUUCUAGCGUUAUGAGAGUGGGAAGGAAGAAAACCUUCACCGUUUCUGGAGAUUAUCGGUAGCAGAGCAGGGCAAAGAGUCAAGGGAUUGUCUGGAGAGAUGGGUGGGUGAGUUCCUGAUGAAUAUUUGAUAGGCCUUCAUAUCUCGGCGAAACCGGGAGACAGAAAGGUAUUAAUUAGCUGCUAUCCCUCAGUGGCUCAGAUGAGGAUUAAGGUAACGGGGCUUCUCAUCUGUUUCCAUAGCGGCUGAGAAGUAACGGUAAAUCAGCAUUAUGGAUCGGUGCUGUAAUAGGGAGAUACGUUUUAAUCUUAUUAGCAGGCCCAGCAUUACGGAGAAAGCAAAGAGAUUACUAAUCGCUGGGAGCAGAUCGGUUCAGGGAGGUUGCAGAUGGGGAAGAGAGGGUAAAGGGGCUUCAAAUUAGCAAAAGUGUGCAUUGGAGGUCAACUUCAAAGCGAUGAGAAGGGAGAGGAAUUGGGUGCAGGUGAAAUAAGUGGAAGAACGGUGACAGUAGGUUUAAAAAAUGGUGUCGUUUUAGCCUAGAAAGAAAACUGGGUAACAAGAAAGGUGUGUUUGAUUAUGCCUGGUAUGGAAAAAGUGGAUGGAGGGAAAAUAUUAUGCCCUGUCGUGGGCUUCUUUGAAUGCUAGUCCUACUCAGGGUAAAAUCAUAGUAAUAAUAAUAAUUUAUUAUUUAUACCCCACCUAUCUGGCUGGGCUUCCCCAGCCACUCUGGUAGGCUUCCAACAAAAUAUUAAAAUACUGUAAUACAUCAAACAUUAAAAGCUUCCCUAAACUGGGCUGCCUUUAGAUGUCUUCAAAAAGUCUGGUAGUUGUUGUUCUCUUUGACAUCUGCUUGGAGGGCGUUCCACAGGGAGGGUGCCACUACCGAGAAGGCCCUCUGCCUGAUUCCCUGUAGCUUUGCUUCUCGCAGUGAGGGAACCGCCAAAAGGCCCUCGGUGCUGGACCUCAGUGUCUGGGUAGGAGGAUGGGGGUGGAGAUGCUCCUUUAGGUAUCUGCUUCCCAGUGGCGUAGCGUGGGGGGUGCAGGGGGGGGCCGGCCGCACCGGGCGCAACAUCUGGGGGUUAGGGUUAGGGGCGCAAAUCCACAGGUUAGGGGGCGCAAAUUACUUGCCUUGCCCCGGGUGCUGACAACCCAUGCUAUGCCACUGCUGCUUCCUGCCAAGGCCGUUUAGGGCUUUAGCACCAACACUCUGAAUUGUGCUCGGAAACAUACUGGGAGCCAAUGUAGGUCUUUCAAGACCGGUGUUAUGUGGUCUCGGCGGCCGUCACCAGUCUAGCUGCCGAGUUCUGGAUUAGUUGUAGUUUCUGGGUCACCUUCAAAGGUAGCCCCACGUAGAGCGCAUUGCAGUAGUCCAAGUGGGAUAUAACCAGAGCAUGCACCACUCUGGUGAGACAGUCCACAGGCAUAUAGGGUCUCAGCCUAUGUACCAAAUGGAGCUGGUAAACAGCUGCCCUGGACAAAGAAUUGACCUGCGCCUCCAUGGACAGCUGUGAGUCCAAAUUGACUCCCAGGCUGUGCACCUGGUCCUUCAGGGGCAUAGUUACCCCAUUGAGGACCAGUUGUUCUGUAUUGCCUGCCUUAGCAAGAACACACAAUGUCUGCACAUUGCAACUAGAUGGAAAGAUUGAGGGUUUAUUUUGAAGGGGGGGGGAGUCAGAGAGGCCCCAAUCUGUACUAGUCCCUCCUUUACCAGAUGCUGGGGUUGUGGGGGAGAUGGUUUGUCUCUUUCCUGCGAUCGCUCUGGCUAGCAACACCAGCUGGCGCUUGUGACUGAGAAAUUUCCAAGUUUAAUAAACUACGUCUCCUUUUAUCUUUGGCAAAGGGUUGGACAGCUGACACCUUCCCCCAGCUUUAUGCAAAUGAGUGUCUGAGACAUGUUUCCAUUUUUAGAUAGAUGAAUAUUGCAUAGAUUUUUUUUUUAAAAAAGAUUGGCUUCAAGUGUGUGCCUGUGCGUGUCGGGACAGAGGCAGUGUUGCCUAGUGGUUAGAGGGUUGGACCUAGGACCUGGGAGACCAGGGCUGAAAUCUCUCACUUGGCCAUAAAACUCACUGGAUGACUUUUGGGGCCAGUCACAGCCUCUUGGCCUAACCUACCUUGCAGGGUGGCUGUGGUGAUUAAAUGAGGAAGGUUGUAAAGGUAAAGGGACCCCUGACCAUUAGGUCCAGUCGUGACCGACUCUGGGGUUGCGGCGCUCAUCUCGCUUUACUGACCAAGGGAGCCGGCGUACAGCUUCCGGGUCAUGUGGCCAGCAUGACUAAGCUGCUUCUGACAAACCAGAGCAGUGCACAGAAACACCGUUUACCUUCCUGCCAGAACGGUACCUAUUGAUCUACUUGCACUUGACGUGCUUACGAACUGCUAGGUUGGCAGGAGCAGGGACCGAGCGACGGGAGCUCACCCCGUCGCGGGGAUUCGAACCGCCAAACUUCUGAUCGGCAAGUCGUAAGCUCUGUGGUUUAACCCUGAGGAAGGUAUAGAACUAUAUAAAUGCCGGCUUGAGCUGAGAAAUCAAUGGAAUGAAUGAGUCAAGGAAUCUAUCAGCGUUAGGUCCCCAUUGUCUCAAUCAUAAGCUCACUCCCUAUCCCCCACUUUCCACAUUGGUUUGCAAAGUUUCUAUAGCGCCAGAUGUCUCAAAAGUUCUGUGCAUGUUUUUCUAAUAUGCUUAGGUACGUAAUUCGGCUGCGCACACAUGCACACUUUUGCAAGCGAUUUCCCCAAAUGCAAUGUCUUUUUGCUUGGGAAAUUGCCUUGCAAAACUCAGAGGAGGGUGAAUUUGAAAGGAAAGAUGUGUUUGCAGGUCAUGCGUGGCAGGGACGGGGAACCUUCUCUGAGCCAGAGGGCUGGCUACGGGCAACUUCCUGAGGGCCCCAUAGACAUGGUGGGUGGGUCCCAGUGCAACAGAUGCGACUGUUAACUUUGUGCUACAGGUUGCAUUCUGCACCCAUGUAGACACACUGUAUACUUCUCCAUUCCCAUCCCCACCCAGUCAAGCAGGCAGCGUUGUCACAGUUCAAGGAUACAUUUAGGGCUGGGCGAUAUAUUGAUAUAUCAUCCAAAACUGCUUUGAAGUCCAUAUUGUGAUAUCUAUUUCAUAAUUUUUGACCUGGCAAUAUAUUGCGAAUCAUGAUGUGAUUUUUGCAUAGCACACACACACACACACACAAUGCCAUGAAAAACCGUGAAGCCAUUCGAUGCCUCUCCAUAACUCCAUCCUUCUUUCAGACAUCAUGACGUAUUGGUAUAUUGUGCUGUUUAGCUGUUGAUACAUCCAGGGCCAGAUUUAGAUUUGAUGAGGCCCUACACUACUGAAGGUAAAGGGGCCCUUUAUAUGUCCAGCUGUCUUUUGUCAACAACAAAUUAUUGCUGUUUUGUUGUGCUGAAUAUAUCCUACAUGGUAAUUUAUGGACCUAAUCAGUAUCUAAAGCCAUUUGCACAUAUCAAAAUAUGUAUUUCAUCAAAGUAAUUGUUGAACUCAUAUUUUGGAAAUGUACAUCCAGUUGGUUUUUUCCUUUAAAUUUUUUUGGGGGGCCCACUUGGGGCCCUAAGUUAUAGCUUGUUUAGCUUAUACGUAAAUCUGGCUCUGGAUACAGUCAUACCUCGGGUUGAAUAUGCUUCAGGAUGAGCGCGUUUGAGUUGCGCUCCACGGCAACCCAGAAGUAAUGGAGUGCCUUACUUCCGGGUUUCGCCGCUUGUGCAUGCACAGACACUCUAAAUGACGUCAUGCGCAUGUGCAGAAGCAGUAAAAAGCGACGCAUGCGUGCGCAGACGUGCCGUCACUGGUUACGUUUGCUUCUAGAUGCAAACGGGGCUCCAGAACGGAUCCCGUUCGCAUCUAGAGGUACCACUGUAUAUCAUGAUGCUGAAAACCAGAUAUUGCCCAGUCUUAGACACUUUCCAGCUUUGCAGCAAUACUCAAAGAACAUGUGACCCGGAGAGACUUCUGGGAGCCAAAAAGAGAGCUGCAUUUGAUCCCUGUGCCAUUUUUUGCUGUUCUUCCAGGAAGUGUGAAUUAUGUAGAUUUGCACUGGAAUUUCUCCUUAAGUAGGAAGUCGCUUUCUGUGGAGUCGGCCCCUUGAUCCACACAGCUCAGUAAUGCCUACACUGACUGGCAGAGACUGUCCUGGGUUUCAGGAUUGAAAUCGGGCCUUCUGCAUGCCAGGCAGAUGCUCUACCCCUGAGCUGUGCAUUCUUUCCCUGUGUGUGCGCUGGGACAACAUUGUUGGUUUGAAAUGAUAGCUCUGAUCAGUCCUUUCUGAGUUCUUCCUCCUUGUUAAUUAACCCACGUUUAACAGGAUAGAUUUUCUCCCUUGGAGGUUAGCUUGUGCGCACUUCCGCGAGUUAGCUUUUUUUAAAAAAUUAAAAAUAAAAUAAAAAUAAAGGCCAUUUUGUCUUCUGCAGCUGCUCUGCAAAAUCGAUUCCAAGGCCCAGGCAUUAAAAUAUAACAAUAUUGAGAGGGGGAAAGGGAGGAUCAAUACUACCAAAUGAGAUGGAUCCCGUCAAAAUGCUGUGAUAAUUGGAUUUCCUAAAAAUUCAUCAGCUGGAGCAAAAGCAUUCACUUAGUCUCCCUGCACCUUUCCUGACACGGCCUUCUUUGCUUCCGUGACUCCGUGGUCGAUUCUGUGUUGUUGGGUGGGAUUCUUGCGGAAGAUGCUUUUUUAAACAGCAACAGUAACAAAAUGGGGUAGUGGGAGAAGAGAGGCAUUCUGGCAUAGUGGUUAGAGCACUGGACUAGGACCUGGGAAACAAGGGUUGAAAAUCCCCACUUGGCCGUGAAGCUCACUGGGCGACGUUGGGGCCAGUCACUGCCUUUCAGCUUAACCUCCCUCUUGUUUACUCCUGCUCUCUAAGGUAGGACUUGAACCUGUGGCUCCAGGCUCCAAGGAAGGAGAUUCUGACUAAACAUCGGGGGGAAACUGUCUGACAGAAAGAGCUGUUUGACAGUGGGAACUGUCUCCCUCGGGAGGUUGUGGAGGUUUACAAGCAGAGGUUGGAUGGCCAUCUGUCAGGGAUGCUGUAGCUGAGAUUCCUGGAUUGCCGGGGGUUGGGCUAGAUGACCCUCAGGUGUCCCCUUGACCAACUCCACAAUUCUAUGAUAAUAACUAGAUGGACUGAUGGCCUGAUUCAGCAUGGGGCAGCUUCUUGCAUAUCUUUUGAUGCAUUUGCACAGCAGUGUGUCUUCGUAGGGAUCCUAUUCUCUGUGCUACUUGUGACACCAGACUCAGUUUUCUCCUGAACACCUGAUUGGUCAUGGGGGUGGCACUGUGGGUUAAACCACAGAGCCUAGGACUUGCCGAUCAGAAGGUUGGCUGUUCGAAUCCCCAUGACGGGGUGAGCUCCCAUUGCUCGGUCCCUGCUCCUGCCAACCUAGCAGUUCGUAAGCACGUCAAGUGCAAGUAGAUCAAUAGGUACCGUUCUGGCAGGAAGGUAAACGGUGUUUCUGUGCACUGCUCUGGUUUGUCAGAAGCAGCUUAGUCAUGCUGGCCACAUGACCCGGAAGCUGUACGCCAGCUCCCUUGGUCAGUAAAGCGAGAUGAGCACCGCAACCCCAGAGUCGGUCACGACUGGACCUAAUGGUCAGGGGUCCCUUUACCUUUAAGGAUGCUCUAAACCAGGGGUCAGCAACCUUUUUCAGCCGUGGGCUGGUCCACUGUCCCUCAGACCAUGUGGUGGGCCAGACUAUUUUUUUUGGGGGGGGGGAAUGAACAAAUUCCUGUGCCCCACAAAUAACCCAGAGUUGCAUUUUAAAUAAAAGCACACAUUCUGCUCAUGUAAAAACACCAGGCAGGCCCCACAAAUAACCAAGAGAUGCAUUUUAAAUAAAAGGGCACAUUCUACUCAUGUAAAAACACGCUGAUUCCCGGACUGUCCGUGGGCUGGAUUGAGAAGGCGAUUGGGCCGCAUCCUUGCCUACCCCUGUUCUAAACUCUCCUCAGAACUUAGGAGAGGAAGAGGGGGGUGGGGAGGAGAGAGACAGAGCGAGAGAGGGUGCUUAAGGGAGAGGGAGAGAAGUGAGUCUCCUGUGAUUUUGAAGGGGAAGGUCUGAAGUCAGCCCCUAACCAUUCCCAGCGAGAGAGUCAUCCGUUCUGUGUGUGUGUGUGUGUGUGUGUGUGUGUGUGUGUGUGCAUAGCAGCAAAAACACUGAAAUGGAGAACUUCACCUCCCAGCAUGUUGAAUUGGCAAAAGCGGAGAGGAUUAAAAAAAAAAAAAAAAGCACUCUCUGUACCCUGCUAAACAGCAGCAUCUAAUUUUUGCAGAUUGCAGAGCCGGGGUGUUUAUAUAAUUAGCAGGAAUGAGUUACAUGUGUAUUGCGAAGGGAGCGCAUACCCAAACGAACAGCCUGGGCGUAGGUUAGGCAAUCAGAGAGCGGCACGCAAAUUAAGUCUCUUGAUUAAAUCUGCUAGGUGGCGUGGAGGCUUUCCAGUUGCAAAAACAGAACGCAAGCACAGGCACAAAGAAACCCUCAAAAAGAAGGAAAGGGUAGAAAUUGCCAAGUGGGCAGCUACCUGCCUCCUUUGUUGUCUGCAGGUUUGUGAUUCCUGAGUUGCAAGGGGGUGGACUAGAUGACUCGUGAGGUCUCUUUCCAGCUCUGUACUUCUAUGAUUCUGUGUGGUGGUCUAGUGAGGGAGGCCAGACUGAUUGCCAUUCGGUGGAGAUGACAUUGGUUUUGGUUUUUUUGAGAGGAGGGAUGGAACUGAGAUGCUUUGAAGCUGCACCAAGGCUGAUGUUGACUCCCACCUAACCGGUACCCUUAGAGGGCCCCCCACAAAUGAUGCUUAGCCUGGAGAAGAUCUUCCAAUAUCCAAAGGGCAGUCACAUGCAAGAUGGAGCAAGCUUGUUUUCUUGGUCAGGCCUCUCCUGCAGUGUCCAGUUCUUGGAAACCACAGUUGAAGAAGGAUAUUGAUAAGCUGGAAUAUGUGCAAAGGAGGGCAACCAAGAUGAUCAUUCAAAGGUCUCGAAACUGCAGCUGAAUAAUACCUGACAAAUGGCCAUUCAACAUGUUUAAAAACCUCCAAUGAAAAACACCACCAUCUGAGGUUGUCCGUUCCACUGUCUAACAGCUCUUACCACCAGAAAAGUUUAGUUGGAAUCUUCUUCCUUUCAGAUCCUACCCUCUGGAGCAGGAGAAAACAUGCUCAUUCCAUCUUCCAUGUGACAGCUCUUCAGAUAUUUGAAGGCCCCCAUAGAACCUCUCAGUCUCCUCUUGUCACAGUCUGGUUCACGGGUGAUCAAAGUCCCGGCUGGGAACGUCGGGUCUGGGGGCAAGAUGGUGGGGUAGGAGCAGGAACAGGAGUCCAGAAGCCAGGAGUCAGAAAGCCAAGAGUGUGAGGGUCAGAAAGCCGGGAGUCACAAAGUCAGGGGUCCGAGGAUCACGAAGCAAAGAGUCACGAAGUCAAGGGUCCAAGGAGCAAGGAGUCACAAAGUCAAGGGUCUGAAGAUCAAGAAGCAAGGAGUCAAGGAGUCAAACGCAGCAAGGCAGGGAACGUGUUGCGGUGGCAAAGAGCUGAAGGGAAAAUGCUGACCUUAUAUCCCUUCCCAGCUCUUGUCAGCAGGUGCUGUGAGUUACCAAUCGGCCUCACCUGUGUGGCCAUGCCUUGCCUCUUCAGAACAAACUUAGGAAGGCCCCAGUCCUGCAAAGUCCUAUUGGUCACAGGGCCUGGCUCCUGCACGCACACCUGACACCUCUUAUCCUAGUUAAACAUACUCAACUCCCUCAACUCUCUCUCAUAAGGCUUGGUUCCCAGACCCUUGAUCAUCUUGGUUGCCCUCUCCUGCAAACCUUCCAGCUUGUCAACAUCGUCCUUAAAUUGUGAUGCCCAGAACUGGACACAGUAUUCCAGGUGUGAUCUGGCCAAGGCAGAAUAGAGUGGUACUAUUAUUUCCCUUGAUGGGGACACUAGACUUCUGUGGAUGCAGCCUAGAAUAGCAUUCUUCUUCUUCUUUUUGCCACGGACACUUGGACCCAUUGCACCCAAUGGGACUACUACGGAUGAAAUUAGUUGGAUAUGAUCCCAUAGCUUACCAGGGAACGCCUUGCCGCUGCCCCUCCAUCCUCCUCUGAGCCAGUGGGAGUUCUGAGGCUGGAGAAGAUGCCAAAAUGUGAUGAAUGGGAUGCCUCAAUGCCUUUUAGAGCCUCACAAUUCCGAUCCGUGCCGUCUCCCACUCCUCCUUAUCAAACCAGAAUUAAGGAGCGCAUGCAGAGUUUUCCCGGAGCUUUCAUUAGAUGUUCAUCUUUCAUCCCCGCCUCCCUGCGCGAGAUAGAUAACAAAGCCACUGUGAGUCGAUUCUGUGCGCUCUAGAUACUUUUCAUACGGGGCUUGAUUGAUGAGCACAAGGAUCAACACAAAAACACUGCUCUAAAAGGAUCUCUAAAUGGCUGCCACCAGCAUCUGGUUGACCACAGUGAGAACAGAGUGCUUCACCAGAUGGGACUCCCGACCCCAACACCCAGCUUGACCUUGUUGUUGUUUAGUCGUUUAGUCGCUCUUCAUGACCCCAUGGACCAGAGCAUGCCAGGCACUCCUGUCUUCCACUGCCUCCUGCAGCUUGGUCAAACUCAUGUUCGUAGCUUCGAGAUCACUGUCCAACCAUCUCGUCCUCUGUUGUCCCCUUCUCCUUGUGCCCUCCAUCUUUCCCAACAUCAGGGUCUUUUCCAGGGAGUCUUCUCUUCUCAUGAGGUGGCCAAAGUAUUGGAGUCUCAGCUUCAGGAUCUGUCCUUCCAGUGAGCACUCAGGGCUGAUUUCCUUCAGAAUGGAGAGGUUUGAUCUUCUUGCAGUCCAUGGGACUCUCAAGAGUCUCCUCCAGCACCAUAAUUCAAAAGCAUCAAUUCUUCGGCAAUCAGCCUUCUUUAUGGUCCAGCUCUCACUUGCAUACAUCACUACUGGGAAAACCAUAGCUUGACCUUAGGACAUUCCUAUUUUCAUCGGCAAAAUAUUGGAGGGGAUGUCUCCAUUUUCAUCAGAGAAAUGUUGGAGGAUAUGGAAUAGGAUGUCCCCAAGGUUUCAUUUUUCCAGCCAGAACCCAGUUCCGGCACCUCUCAGAUAGGUGCCAUUGCCAUAAGAGAACAAGGGAGGUGUUAUUGUUCCUGCACCUCCUCUUCUAGAAACAUUAAACUGGUCAUCCUUAUUUUCAUGGGAGAAAUGUUGGAGGGUAUGGAUAUAGCUGCAGGACUCUACUUAUGCUGUUAGGUUUCAGCAACAUUAAAUAGGUGGACUCUCAAUACUCAGGGACAGUUUACAUCCAAAUUCUAGUCCCUGGGAAAUGUAAGUGGGGAGAGUUUUGCUCUUGCACUCAGGUCCUGCUAAGAGGGGAUCUGGUUGGGAUCUGAUGCUGGACAAGACAAGACUCCUUUGCGCUGAUCCAGCAGGGCUCUUCUUAUGUUGUGCGAUCAUACAUAAUGCGAUCAAAAUAAAACCACUCUUUUUGGGGGCUGGAGGUGAGGGCAGAAUAAGGUCUUCAUUCACUCAUAGAAAAGAUGUCCUGUACAGCUGCUGGCAAAGGACUACAUGCACUACAGGACUGGGAAUUAGUGUUAUAAUUAUCAGGCCACCUCUAGGAUACGGUGACAGCAGCCACAGAGAACGGAAAAAGUUCUUCUUCACAAGGUGCAUCAUUAAACUACAGGAUUCACUCCUGCCAGAUAGAAUCAUAGAACCGUAGAGUUGGAAAGGACCUGGAGGAUCAUCUAAAGUCCAAACCCCUGCAACACAAGUGAAAUAUACUCGGAGUCGAGUGUGAAUUUCAUGCUCUUUAUUCAGCUCAUAGUAGCAAAGAAUGAAACUUUCCCCAAAACGUCUAGCUAUACAGUGGUACCUCUGGUUACAUACUUAAUUCGUUCCAGAGGUCCGUUCUUAACCUGAAACUGUUCUUAACCUGAAGCACCACUUUAGCUAAUGGGGCCUCCCGCUGCUGCCGCCACACGAUUUCUGUUCUCAUCCUGAAGCAAAGUUCUUAACCUGAGGUACUAUUUCUGGGUUAGCGGAGUCUGUAAGCUGAAGCGUAUGUAACCCGGGGUACCACUGUAUAUACAUUAUUUACACAAUAGUGUGAUUGGCUAAUUCCGGGCUGCUCCUGUAGGCCAAUCAGGUUGCGGACUCACCUCCUCCAGAAGCCUGAUUGGCUGCUCCUUCAGGCCAAUCAGGUUGCUGAUUCACCACCUCCAGAAGCCUGAUUGGCCUGCUGGAGCAGCCAAUCUGGCCACUGAUUCACUUCUACCUGGACCUGGAUUGGGUGGCUCCUGCAGACCAAUCAGACUGCUGCAUUCUGGAUCCUAUUGUUCUAGGAUUCAGCUCAGUACAUAACACCAAGAAAUUCAGCUCUCCCAUAAGGGGAUCGAACCUUCAGUCUUGGUGUUAUCAGCACCACACUCUAACCAGCUGAGCUACCCAGAUGUAGUGAUGCACUCAGGGUCUGCUUGCAGGCUUGGCCAUCAUUAGAACAAAAUACUGGCUUACAGAAUUUUUGGAUUUAUGAACUUAUGGAACGUGGUGCCGUACAAGAGGUGGUGUUAUCAACCAUUGCAGAUGUCCUUAAGUAGUCCGUGGAGAACAUGUUGGCUGAAAGGAAACUUCUCCUUCACACAAUGCAUGGUUAGACCAAGCAACUUGCUCUCACAAUAGGGCAGUGAUGGAUCCCAGCCCCCUAUUUUCCAGGGACAGUCCUAGAUUUACAGAAGCCGUCCCGGUUUCUGAUUUGAUCCUAUAAUGUCCCACUUUUCCUUAGGAUGUCCCUAUUUCAUUGGAGAAAUGUUGGACGGUAUGGAAUUAUGCAACCCCCUGAGCCAAGGAGAUAAGUAACUGUGCAACCUUUAGAAGACAUCUGAAGGCAGCCCUAUAUAGGGAAGUUUUUAAAUGCUUAAUCUUUUAUUAUGUUCUUACAUCUGUUGGAAGCUUUCUAGAGUGUCAGGGGCAACCCAGUCAGAUAAAGGUAAAGGUAAAGGGACCCCUGACCAUUAGGUCCAGUCGUGGCCGACUCUGGGGUUGCGACACUCAUCUCGCUUUAUUGGCCGAGGGAGCCGGCGUACAGCUUCCGGGUCAUGUGGCCAGCAUGACUAAGCCGCUUCUGGCGAACCAGAGCAGCGCACGGAAACGCCGUUUACCUUCCCGCCAGAGUGGUACCUAUUUAUCUACUUGCACUUUGAUGUGCUUUUGAACUGCUAGGUUGGCAGGAGCAGGGACCCAGCAACGGGAGCUCACCCCGUUGCGGGGAUUCGAACCGCUGACCUUCUGAUCGGCAAGUCCUAGGCUCUGUGGUUUAACCCACAGCACCACCCGCGUCAGAUGGGGGGUAUAAAUAAUACAAUUAUUAUCAUUAUUGUUAUGGAAUAGGGUGUCCCUGUUUUCAUCAGAGAAAUGCUUGAGGGUAUGAAUAAUACUGGAUGCAGACUUCCGACAGAUGAAUUAUUUUUAUUUUAAGUAAAGUUUCUAGUCCUUAAGCUUGCCAAUGCAAAAGGAAAACGCUUUUCCUUAGGACAUCCCUGUUUCAUUGGAUAAAUGUUGGAGGGCAUGCCAAAAGAGGAUGGGACAAAUGCAUGGAAGAAUUUGGGCUCUUGGGGGCUUCCAACCCCAGUGACUCCAACGCAGCAACUGUGGUUUUGCAUUAGCCACAGCAGAGGCCUUGCUUGUUGGCCAUUGUGAGUCACAGAUUUGGAUGCUUCCAGCUGGGCUCUUCUCAUGUUCAUUUAGCUGCACGGCACGGCAGCUUGCUUUGAAGGCAGCAGAGCAUCAUUUGCAUAUAUGCAAAUGGGGAGCGCUUUACCCAUAUAUUUAAAAAUAAAUAAAUGGGUCAGUCGGGGACUGUGGCUUGACCUGUCGGCAUGGCUUGCAUUAAUGGGGGAGGAACAGCUGGACAGGCAGAUGGGGGGAGGGGGAGAGAGUCAGACCAGGCUGGAAUGCAGUGACCAUAAAGACUUUGGCCAGCUCAGCGCCUCCAAUUUAACAGCAUCCUUUCAUGGGUUGCCAAGUGCGCCUGCCACAUGUCUAUUUGCAUACAAUUCCCAGAGUCCUCUGCAGUGGCGGCGUGGCAGAGAGCAAAGGCAGUCGCCGUAAGCGGCAGGGCCCUUGCCACACAGGGAGAGAUGCUUCCUAAAUGCAGUCUGCACGGUGUCAUACGGUGCUUGUCUUAAUGUCGCCUGCCAAGCGUGAGAUUUCACACCUAUUUAUUUAAUGAGCCUCUUCCCCAGUCCAUGAAAACACAAGUCGAUUCAGAGUGUGUCCUUUGUAGAAUACAGAAUGACAGCUGGGCCACAGAGCUCACGGCCAUCUCAUGAAGUUGAAUGCUGGGAUUUUCAGGACAUAUACAGUGGUACCUCGGGUUACAGGCGCUUCAGGUUACAGACUCUACUAACCCAGAAAUAGUACCUCGGGUUAAGAACUUUGCUUCAGGAUGAGAACAGAAAUUGUGCUACGGUGGCGCAGUGGCAGCAGGAGGCCCCAUUAGCUUUUUUAAUUUUUUUUUUUUGUUUUGUUUAUUAGGAAUUUAAACAAAACAUAUUAGCUUACAACAUAUCAUCCUUAAUUCCCCCCUGACUUCCCUCAGUUCUAAUCUCUGGCUUCUCUAUAUAGUGGUACCUCAGGUUAAAUACGCUUCAGGUUACAGACUCUGCUAACCCAGAAAUAGUACCUCUGGUUAAGAAUUAUGCUUCAGGAUGAGAACAAAAAUUGUGUUCCGGUGACGCUGCGGCAGCAGGAGGCCCCAUUAGCUAAAGUGGUGCUUCAGGUUAAGAACAGUUUCAGGUUAAGUAUGGACCUCCGGAACGAAUUAAGUUCUUAACCCGAGGUACCACUGUAGAUGCUAUUCUCUGCAUGUUACAAAAUUGUAUAAAUCCUUAAUUUAUCUGACUGGUUAUUAUCAAUAAAAAAAUUGUGAGUGUUUAUUCAAAGCCUGCCAAGGAGUCCAGUUGGCUUUGUUGCUUCUUUAAAUACUUUGUAAAAGGUUCCCAUUCAUCUUCAAAGUCACAGUUAUCCUUGUCCCGUAGUUUAUGUGUCAAUUUUGCCAGUUCUGCAUAGUCCAUCAAUUUCUCUUGCCAUAGUUCUUUAGUCGGGGUUUCCUCACACACUAGCACAAUAGCACAUCCUUGUGCUAUUAAGAUUCUUGAAGAUGGAAGGCACCAUUAGCUAAAGUGGUGCUUCACGUUAAGAACAGACCUCCAGAACAAACUAAGUUCUUAACCCGAGGUACCACUGUACAAGAAAGUCCUUUUUUCACACAGACCAUAGUUAAACUGUGGAACUCACUCCCACAAGAGUCAGAGAUGGCUAACAACUAGGGUGGCUUUGAAAGAGGAUUGGGCACAUUCAUGACUACCAAAGCCUACCAGCCAUACUAGCUAGGCUCUGCCUCCGCAGUCAGAGGCAGUGAUGCCUCUGAAUAACACUUGCUGGAAACCACAGGCGGGGAGACUGCUCUUGUGCUCAGAUCCUACUUGCUGAUUUCCUGCAGGCAUCUGUUGGGCCACUGUCGGAUCAGGCCCCCUUAUAUUCUCACGUUGUUCUCAUGAGCUGGCUCUAGGAUACUGCUUGGGAAGCUUCUUCACACCCCACAGAAUUAAACUCUGGAACUCCCUGCCACAAGAGGCAGUGAUGUUCGCCAAUCUACACCUAAAAAGGUAAAGGUAAAGGAUCCCUGAAAGUCAAGUCCAGUUGCAGACGACUCUGGGGUUGCGGCGCUCAUCUCACUUUACAGGCUGAGGGAGACAGCUUUUCCGGGUCAUGUGGCCAGCAGGACUAAGCCACUUCUGGUGCAACGGAACACUAUCUUCCCUCUUUUAAACCAUAAUGACAAUACAAUAAUCUCUCAUUCCUUCUCUUACUCAGAAUUCAAAUCCUGCUUGUGAAUUCCCCAUACUAUGAAGGUAAAGGUAAAGAAACCCCUGACCAUUAGGUCCAGUCGCUGACGACUCUGGGGUUGUGGCACUCAUCUUGCUUUACUGGCUGUGGGAGCCGGCGUACAGCUUCCGGGUCAUGUGGCCAGCAUGACUUUGGCAAACCAGAGCAGUGCAUAGAAACACAGUUUAUCUUCCCGCCACCGUGGUGCCUAUUUAUCUACUUGCACUGGUGUGCUUUUGAACUGCUAGGUUGGCAGGAGCAGGGACCGAGCAACAGGAGCUCAC